RNAcentral lists this long non-coding RNA (117500 nucleotides) under Triticum aestivum (bread wheat). RNAcentral describes it as "long non-coding RNA (TAES_LNC024443)". The stretch from base 79073 to 79207 matches the Rfam family "MIR1120/MIR1122 microRNA precursor family". Lineage: Eukaryota; Viridiplantae; Streptophyta; Magnoliopsida; Poales; Poaceae. The record is from RNAcentral.
UCCGGCACAGGGUCUGCAUCGAUAGUUAAAGCAUCUGCCUAAUUGGUAAGAAGAAGAAAUUCUUCAAACAACACUAAUACUAUGGUAGACUGAAAGCACAAGUGCUCCCUGGGUCAUUUUGGUAAUUAAUGGCAACAUAUCUCUUGUUGGACUAACACUUUUACCUAGUAUGUUUCAGACAAGUUCAACAAUAGAGUGGCAUGGACUAAAGGAUGUGAAACCCCUUCAAGAUGCUAAGGACAAAGGAUUGGCUCAAGCUCAAAGCUCAAGACUCUACAUUUUUUAUUUUAGUGAUCCAAGAUCACAUUGAGUCUAUAGGAAAAGCCAAUACUAUCAAGAGGGGAUGAGGUGUUGCUUAAUGGCUUGAUUGCUCAAAGUGCUUAGUGAUAUGCUCCAAAGCCCUCAACUACUUUCUCACAUCCACAUAUGACCUAAACCAUAAGUCAAACUCGGCCCCACCGAUUCUUUCUAUCCGGCGCCACCGAGUUCAGAUGUCUUAGCCACUGCCACAAACCCUAGGCAAAUCGGUCUCACCGAUAGGGAUCUCGGUCUCGCCGAGAUGGGAUUGUAAUCUCUCUGUGUAUGUCGAUUACCAAAAUCGGUCUCACCGAGUUUGAGCAAUCGGUACUACCGAGAUUACAAUGCAAACUCUCUGGUUAACUUAUUACCAAAAUCGGUCCCACCGAGUUUGUGUAAUCGGUCCUACCGAGUUUGCCUGACCAACUCUCUGGUUAGCUUAUUACCAAAAUCGGUCCCACCGAUUUUGUGUAAUCAGUCUCACCGAGAUUAUGUUAUGCCCUAACCCUAAUCAUAUCGGUCCUACCGAGUUGCAUGUCGGUCCCACCGAGAAUCCUAACGGUCACUAGAUUUGCUGAAUCGGUCCGACCGAGUUUCUCAAUUCGGUCCCACAAAGUUUGGCAAGUUGUGUGUAACGGUUAGAUUUUGUGUGGAGGCUAUAUAUACCCCUCCAGCUCAUCUUCAUUCGUGGAGAGAGCCAUCAGAACAAACCUACACUUCCAACUUCUAUUUUCUGAGAGAGAACCACCUACUCAUGUGUUGAGACCAAGAUAUUCCAUUCCUACCAUUUGAAUCUUGAUCUCUAGCCUUCCCCAACUUGCUUUCCACUCAAAUCUUCUUUCCACCAAAUCCAAAUCCUGUGAGAGAGAGUUGAGUGUUGGGGAGACUAUCAUUUGAAGCACAAGAGCAAGGAGUUCAUCAUCAACACACCAUUUGUUACUUCUUGGAGAGUGGUGUCUCCUAGAUUGGCUAGGUGUCACUUGGGAGCCUCCGACAAGAUUGUGGAGUUGAACCAAGGAGUUUGUAAGGGCAAGGAGAUCGCCUACUUCGUGAAGAUCUACCGCUAGUGAGGCAAGUCCUUCGUGGGCGACGGCCAUGGUGGGAUAGACAAGGUUGCUUCUUCGUGGACCCUUCGUGGGUGGAGCCCUCCGUGGACUCGCGCAACUGUUACCCUUCGUGGGUUGAAGUCUCCAUCAAUGUGGAUGUAUGAUAGCACCACCUAUCGGAACCACGGCUCAAAAAUCUCCGUGUCUCCAAAUUGCGUUUGAAUCCUCCAAUCCCUUCCCUUUACAUUCUUGCAAGUUGCAUGCUUUACUUUCCGCUGCUCAUAUACUCCUUGCAUGAUUGCUUGUUAUGUGUUGUGACUGUUAAACUGGUGCCUAAAUUCCACUCCAACGUAAAGAAGUCAAAAACUGCAACUUUUUGGUACUUAGUGUCUAAUCACCCCCUCUAGACACCUCUUCUCGAUCCUUUCAAUUGGUAUCAGAGCUCUGGUCUCCAUUGCUUUGGUUUAAACACCAUUGGAGGAAGAUGGAUGAGUCUACUUUGGGGAGUCUUAGACAUAGAGUGCCUAUACUUGAUGGAGAGUAUUUUCAUGAGUGAAAAAUGAGAUGCUUGUGAUUUUAAAUGAAUAUCAUUUGAACAAGUACCUUGCUAGCCCUUGUGCACCUCAUGUUGAUCCUAUGCAUCCUACCCUUGAUGAGUCAAUUGACAUGAUUCGCAAUCUUAGAACUGUUAAUCUUAUCACUAGAGGCUUGCCUAGAAACUUGAUUGGAUGUUUGCCUACUCUUGAGUGUGCCUACACUAUAUGGAAAUUUCUUGAGGAACGUUCUCCAGAUUAUUCCUUGAAAAAUGUGGAUGAAAUUCUCCAUAAGUCUAUUGCCUUGAGUAAGAUGAAUUCCAAUAAUCCUAAGUUUGGUGAUUGUCUAUUUGAGCUUACAAACCUUAUGCGUGCCAAAGGAGAUGUUGGAAUUAUUAGUGAUAUUAUUUCCGAAGCUAUUAAAAUUCAUAAAAAGGAUCAUUGUCAAACUCACUCUAACGAAUCACCCUCUCUAGGAAUUGAUCCACCACAUGACGAUGUUGAACAUGGAUACUAUGACGAGGAUGAUGAUGGUGACUUUGAUCUUGAUGAUGCAAUGAGACACUUUGGUCUUAUGGCAAAUCUUCGGGGAUAUAUGGCAGGAGGAAAGGAAUGGGCUUGAUAGUGGAUGUACCGAUCACAUGACCGGAGAUAAAGAUAUGUUUCGUGAGCUUGCUGAAAAUGACGGCCCUCGAAAUAUGUCACUUUUGGUGAUAACUCAAAGGGUAAGGUGGUUGGCCUCGGUAAGGUGGCCAUCUCACAUGAUAGCUCCAUACAAAAUGUCAUGCUCGUUGAAUCUCUUGGAUACAACUUACUUUCAGUAUCUAGACUUGUAGAUUUCGGUUUCAAUGUCCUAUUUACUGAAGUAGAUUGCCAAGUGUUUCGUAGAGGUGAUCUUUACAUUGUUGAUUUCACUAAAAAGGUUCAACCUAGAACUUGCUUUAUUGCUAAAUCCUCUAAAGGCUGGUUAUGGCAUAAACGAUUAGGUCAUGUUGGCAUGCGAAACCUUGACAAGCUUAUUAAAGGAAAUCAUAUCCUUGGCGUUAACGAUGUCAUAUUUGAUAAGGAUAGACUUUGCAGCGCUUGUCAGGCAGGUAAACAAGUUGGAGGGAGGCAUCCCGUGAAGAACAUCAUGACCACAAGGAGGCCACUCGAGCUACUUCACAUGGAUCUUUUUGGUCCCAACGCCUACAAAAGUCUCGGUGGAAAUUCUUUUGGUUUAGUUAUAUUUGAUGAUUUUUCAAGAUUUACGUGGGUAUUCUUUCUCAAUGACAAAUCGCAGGUCCAAAAGAUCUUCAAAAAGUUCGCUAGGAAGGCCCAAAAUCAAUUCGAAGUGAAGAUCAAGAAGGUUCGCAUCGACAAUGGAACGGAGUUCAAGAACGCAAAUGUGGACACCUUUCUUGACGAAGAAGGGAUCUCACAUGAGUUCUCGGCUACGUACACACCUCAAAAAAAUGGAGUUGUUGAGAGGAAGAACCGGACGCUCAUCGAAAUGGCGAGAACGAUGCUUGAUGAGUACAAGACGCCGAAGCAUUUUUGGGCGGAAGCGGUUGAGACAGCUUGUCAUGCAACAAAUCGCUUGUAUCUUCACAAGCUACUCGGCAAGACGGCAUACGAGCUUCUCACCGGUAACAAACCCCAAGUUGGAUACUUUCGAGUAUUCGGCUCAAAAUGCUACAUUCUUGAUAAGCAUCGUCGUUCUAAAUUUGCUCCUAAGUCUCAUGAAGGUUUCCUACUUGGUUAUGGCUCAAACACUCACACAUACCGUGUCUACAACAAUUUCACCCGAAAGGUUGAAGAAACGGUAGAUGUGAACUUUGAUGAAUCUAACGGCUCGCAAGUAGAGCAAUUGCCAAUUGAUGUAGGAGACAAAGAUCCCUCAGAAGCAAUCCAAGACUUGUCUAUUGGCAAGAUUCGCCCAACGGAGGUGAAGGAGAGCACCUCGUCCGUCCAAGUGGAAGCUUCUACCUCACGACAAGGUGAACCAAGAGUGGAUAUGGAAGUAUCCACAAGUGGGACAUACCAAGAUGAAGAAAACGAGGAAGUGCACCAAGACGAACGUCGACAACCUCCUUCUCCACAACGACAAGAGAACGACAACGCCAACAAUGAAGAAGACCGAGAAGAAGAACGAGAUGAAGGAGAUGUUCAACCAAGACCCAAGCAAAAGCUUUCACGAGUUCGAGCAAGAAUUGCUAAAGACCAUCCCGUCGAGCAAAUCUACAACGAUAUCCAAACCGGGAGAAUCACUCGCUCUAAAACUCGUUUAGCUAACUUUUGUGAACAUUAUUCAUUCAUCUCUAGCAUUGAACCUAUGAAGGUUGAAGAAGCAUUGGAAGAUCCGGAUUGGAUAAACGCUAUGCAUGAAGAGCUACACAACUUUGAGAGAAAUCAAGUUUGGACAUUGGUUGAGAAGCCCGACAACAACCACAACAUCAUCGGUACCAAAUGGGUGUUUCGCAACAAGCAAGAUGAAGAUGGACAAGUAGUUCGCAACAAAGCACGUCUCAUCGCCCAAGGCUACACACAAGUCGAAGGUAUGGACUACGGUGAGACUUAUGCUCCCGUUGCUAGACUUGAGUCCAUUCACAUCUUACUUGCCUAUGCUAAUCAUCAUGAUAUCACCUUGUACCAAAUGGACAUUAAAAGUGCUUUUCUAAAUGGUGAAAUAGAGGAGGAAGUUUAUGUUAAGCAACCUCCCGGCUUUGUUAAUCCUAAGAAACCUAAUCAUGUUUACAAACUUCACAAAGCCCUUUAUGGUCUUAAACAAGCUCCUAGAGCGUGGUAUAAAUGCUUGACCAAGUUCCUUAUUGAAAAAGGCUUUGAAAUUGGAAAAAUAGAUUCUACACUUUUUACUAAAAGGGUCAACGGAGAACUAUUUGUAUGCCAAAUUUAUGUCGAUGAUAUUAUAUUUGGAUCAACUAACCCUCAUUUUAGUGAGAAGUUUGGAAAUCUAAUGUCGGAGAAGUUUGAGAUGUCUAUGAUGAGUGAACUCAAAUUCUUUCUCGGUUUGCAAAUCAAGCAAACUAAGGAAGGUACCUUUGUCUCUCAAACGAAGUACACCAAGGACUUAUUCAAGAAGUUCAAUAUGCAAGAAUGCAAAGGUAUGACUACACCCAUGCCUACUAGUGGACAUCUUGAUUUGACCAAAGAUGGUGAACCGGUUGAUCAAAAGGUUUAUCGCUCUAUGAUUGGUUCAUUGUUAUAUCUAUGUGCUUCACGUCCCGAUAUCACGCUAAGUGUGUGCAUGUGUGCACGAUGUCAAGCUGCUCCUAAAGAAUGUCAUCUUAAGGCUGUGAAAAGGAUAGUGAGAUGCUUAAUCCAUACACCAAACUUUGGCAUUUGGUAUCCAAAGAGAGCCUCUUUCGAUCUUGUUGGCUACUCCGACUCGGACUAUGCCGGUGAGAAGGUUGAUAGAAAGUCCACUUCGGGUACUUGUCAAUUUCUUGGUAGAUCUCUUGUGUCUUGGUCUUCCAAGAAACAAAACUCGGUAUCCUUAUCCACCGCCGAAGCGGAAUACAUUGCCGCUGGUUCAUGUUGUGCUCAAUUACUUUGGAUGACCCAAACUCUUAAAGAUUAUGGGAUAUAUGUGAAACAUGUUCCAUUACUUUGUGACAAUGAGAGUGCUAUCAAGAUUGCUCAUAAUCCCGUGCAACACUCUCGAACUAAGCAUAUUGAAGUUCGUCAUCAUUUCAUUCAAGAUCAUGUUGCCAAAGGGGACAUUAAUCUUAAGCAUGUUCGCACCGAAAAGCAAUUAGCUGAUAUAUUCACUAAACAACUUGACGAGAAAGUGUUUUGCAGGUUAAGGGGUGAAUUGAACAUCAUUGAUGCUUCAAACUUGGAGUAGGAACUCCAUUGGAUACAUGCAAGACAUGAGCUUAUGACUAAUCCUUGAUAUUUCUCUUAUGAUGAUAAUGUUAUGUCUUGGAUAUAUUUGCACCUUGCAUGUUAUCUAAUCCAUGUAGGAACUUGGAUGAAUCUAAGUCUAUGAGAUUGCAACUCACUCACAUCUUGAGCAAUCUCUACAUCGCCAAGUCUCUACACAACGGUGGCUGAAGCCAAGGAAGCAUGAAACCAUUCAAACAUAUCCUUUGGAAAAUUCUAUGUUGAAUUUCAUGAUUGUCAUUUUGGAUACACAAGUGCUCUUCCUUGCAAAAACUAACCCAUGUAGGUAGAUGAACUCAAAUUCCAAGUGGUGCUCCCAACUCUUGAUGAGCUACAUCAACCUUGAGCAACCCACACAAGUUCAACUACAUGAUCACAAUCAACACCACCACCCAAGGUAUGUUAUUCCAUCUUAGAGAAGCUUUACUCCAAGUCAUGAGUUAGAGGAACUCGAUAAGAUGUGAAUACAUCAAGAUGAUUAACCCCAUUCUGAGCUUAAACUAUGAGUAUGACCUAUGAUCAAGUGAACUCACUUGACUCCUAAGUCAAUAUACUCUAACAUAGUUGACUUUGUCGCCGACCAAUUCUAGAUGAAGUUCUCUUGUGUUCUUUUCUGUGCUCUUGCAUUUCUCUCUUGCAUAUCUGUUCGCCCUUUCAAAAAAAACUUCAUCUAGAUUUCUUUUCUAUUUGUUCUGCAUUCCCCGCAUCCAAUUCUUUGCAAAUCUUUCAGUUAAUUCCUUGCAAAUCCUUGUGAGAUCUUACUUGUCUAAGUGAGCUGAGGUGACAAGUGUUUUCUCUGUGAUGAACUCAGUCACACCGGUCUCUUGUUUUUGGUCUAACCGAAUUCUUUCGGUGCAACCGAAGCAUACCACUCGGUGCCACCGAUUUCACUACAAGAAAGGCAUUUUGCCAUUUAUUCCUGCAUUACUUCUGAUCCAGCUCCACUCAAUGAAUCUUGUCCUCUACAAGCAUCACAUUUACCUUAGUGCUUUGUGCUGUGACUCAAGGACCAAACCCAUUCAUGACAAAUUCCAGAAGGCCCUUCUUGGAAAUUGAUGUCAAAGGGGGAGAGAGAGAUCACAUCAAAGCUUAAUCAUAUCUCUAGGGGGAGAGAACACUCAAGGAGAGAGUAAUCUUCAAGGAUCCCAGAUGCUUUGUGUUCAAGAGGAGAGAUGCCACAUGUCUUCUUGAGGGGAAAUACAUGUUCAUAUGUGCUCAUUUGCAAUUAGCUCUGUUUAUUUGUUUCCUUGAGCUCUGAUUUUCUGUUUGAGCUCUGAUCUUCUGUUCCCUAUCUUCUCCCAGUAUCCCAUGCUAGAUUCAGGGGGAGCAAGACUUCUAAGGGAAAGAAUCCUUAAAUUCAUUGCACAUCUUUACCUUUCGGGACAUGUCUAAAAUCCAAUGUGGUACUCAGUACUCAUUCUCUACAUGUCAUCCCAGUCUUGGUACUCUGGUGGUUUCUUGUAUUUGCUCUGGCUAGUAGGUGUAUCUGUGUUAUCUAACCUUGUUUACGCAGGUUCAUUCCAUCCUAAGCCAACUCAAGACCACAAGGUAAGUAUAUGCAUCACAGUCAUGUGUAUGAGGAAUUCUUGCUGAUGUAUAUACUGUUUGCAAGAAGGACUCAUAAGCAUGAACGUACAUUCACAUCUUUUGCUCUGAUGCAUAUAGCCAAGAUACAUGUAACACAUUGCCUACUCUAUCAUGGUUAUGCUCUCACAUGCUUCUAUAUUCCAUAUUCACAUGAUUGCAUACAUGUAGGGGGAGCAUAUGCAUGUUACAUGUCUUUCCAAAGCUUUACUUGCUAUUCUCUAUAUCUUUAUCUAAAGCUUUGAUGUAUGUUGUCAUCAAUUACCAAAAAGGGGGAGAUUGAAAGCACAAGUGCUCCCUGGGUGAUUUUGGUAAUUAAUGGCAACAUAUCUCUUGUUGGACUAACACUUUUACCUAGUAUGUUUUAGACAAGUUCAACAAUAGAGUGGUAUGGACUAAAGGAUGUGAGACCCCUUCAAGAUGCUAAGGACAAAGGAUUGGCUCAAGCUCAAAGCUCAAGACUCUACAUUCUUUAUUUUAGUGAUCCAAGAUCACAUUGAGUCUAUAGGAAAAGCCAAUCCAUCAAGAGGGGAUGAGGUGUUGCUUAAUGGCUUGCUUGCUCAAAGUGCUUAGUGAUAUGCUCCAAAGCCCUCAACUACUUUCUCACAUCCACAUAUGACCUAAACCAUAAGUCAAACUCGGCCCCACCGAUUCUUUCUAUCCGGCGCCACCGAGUUCAGAUGUCUUAGCCACUGCCACAAACCCUAGGCAAAUCGGUCUCACCGAUAGGGAUCUCGGUCUCACCGAGAUGGGAUUGUAAUCUCUCUGUGUAUGUCCAUUACCAAAAUCGGUCUCACCGAGUUUGAGCAAUCGGUACUACCGAGAUUACAAUGCAAACUCUCUGGUUAACUUAUUACCAAAAUCGGUCCCACCGAGUUUGUGUAAUCGGUCCUACCGAGUUUGCCUGACCAACUCUCUGGUUAGCUUAUUACCAAAAUCGGUCCCACCGAGUUUGUGUAAUCGGUCUCACCGAGAUUACGUUAUGCCCUAACCCUAACCAUAUCGGUCCUACCGAGUUGCAUGUCGGUCCCACCGAAAAUCCUAACGGUCACUAGAUUUGCUGAAUCGGUCCAACCGAGUUUCUCAAUUCGGUCCCACUGAGUUUGGCAAGUUGUGUGUAACGGUUAGAUUUUGUGUGGAGGCUAUAUAUACCCCUCCAGCUCCUCUUCAUUCGUGGAGAGAGCCAUCAGAACAAACCUACACUUCCAACUUAUAUUUUCUGAGAGAGAACCACCUACUCAUGUGUUGAGACCAAGAUAUUCCAUUCCUACCAUUUGAAUCUUGAUCUCUAGCCUUCCCCAAGUUGCUUUCCACUCAAAUCUUCUUUCCACCAAAUCCAAAUCCUGUGAGAGAGAGUUGAGUGUUGGGAAGACUAUCAUUUGAAGCACAAGAGCAAGGAGUUCAUCAUCAACACACCAUUUGUUACUUCUUGGAGAGUGGUGUCUCCUAGAUUGGCUAGGUGUCACUUGGGAGCCUCCGACAAGAUUGUGGAGUUGAACCAAGGAGUCUGUAAGGGCAAGGAGAUCGCCUACUUCGUGAAGAUCUACCGCUAGUGAGGCAAGUCCUUCGUGGGCGACGGCCAUGGUGGGAUAGACAAGGUUGCUUCUUCGUGGACCCUUCGUGGGUGGAGCCCUCCGUGGACUCGCGCAACCGUUACCCUUCGUGGGUUGAAGUCUCCAUCAACAUGGAUGUACGAUAGCACCACCUAUCGGAACCACGGCUCAAAAAUCUCCGUGUCUCCAAAUUGCGUUUGAAUCCUCCAAUCCCUUCCCUUUACAUUCUUGCAAGUUGCAUGCUUUACUUUCCGCUACUCAUAUACUCCUUGCAUGCUUGCUUGUUAUGUGUUGUGACUGUUAAACUUGUGCCUAAAUUCCACUCCAACGUAAAGAAGUCAAAAACUGCAACUUUUUGGUACUCAGUGUCUAAUCACCCCCCCUCUAGACACCUCUUCUCGAUCCUUUCAUAGACACAUCAUAUUGUGUAAUUUCCUUAUUAAGAAUUCAAUGAAGCCUACUUAACAUUGCUUAUGCCCGACAUUCAGAUUAGUAAAAAUCAUGUCAAGCAGCUUUGAAUCCGCACAAAUGAUCACAUCCUAAACUGGUCCUCAAAAAUCAGGACUGGAUAUCUACGAUCAUAGUCAUAGGUGCAGUACUAUUUCUUCAGUCAAUUAACAUGCUUUAGCCAAAAGAUGAUAAUCAUCCAUGUGACCAUGUCUCUGCAGCAUAAACAAAUGAAGUAUCAAUGAUUGUAUAUAAAUACUUGGACGGGGAAUGAAUUACUCGUGGGAAUUAACAGACAUUUUCUUGGCAAACAAAGCUCAAGUUCUGCAUAUUUAACUGUAGAACACUGGGCAAUAGGAAACAAUGCAUUGGAUAUUAUUCAUCACCGACAAUCCACACGACUAUACUAUAGUAAGCUAAAUAGGAGUUGAGCCAAUGAACCAUUUCAUUAAAACUAACUAAAGCACCAAUUAUAACAAAAUUGCAUUGUCCUCUGUUAAGUUCAAUCCAGUUGACCACUCUUGACUAUUAGUCCUAACUGAAGCGCCUGUUAACAAAUUAACUAAACCACCAUGAUUCGAAAAAACAAAACUACCUAAAUCACCAUUGCAAAGCCAAAGGAUAGCAGUAUCGACCCAGUUCCUUGCCAAACCCAAGUUCGUGUGUGCAGGAGAGGAGAUUCUGCCCACUAACAUGGCCAUCCAGUGGCACUCUACCUAGCACAUCCGCCAAUCCAUUCCACCCACAUUCCAUGAGAUAACUUCAGAGCAGAAAAUUACCUUGCUGGGUAGCCACUUAGAACACGGCCGAAUUUUCUACAGGGAGCGCGAUCUUCUCUGAAUACUUUCGCGCCUCGGUGGUCCCAAGUGUGGAGGGGCACAAUAGGACACCAUUAUUGUCGCCUAUAAGCAUCAUCUCAAGAGAGGAGUAACUGGGGACGUGACAUACGAUGGAGAGGAGGAACAUGAGGUGGGCACAGAUCGAUGAACGGGACGCAGUCGGCCUUAGCCCUGUUCCCUCCACCGGUCGCGUCGCCACACGCCACCGGAAGCAUCCGCUGCCAUGUGAAGGUCCAGGAGAGAGGACCAGGAAGAGAGAUGGUUCAUGGUGGUGGUGGAGGCGGUGGGAUGCGACAGAGGCUGGAUGUAGUGGAUAGCGGUGGACAGUGGCGGCAGAUGGGAAAUGGACCGACGACAACAGUCAGGAGCAGGGCGGCGGCGCCAUCCAUGGUAGGGGAUGAGUGGGAUGGUGGGCUUCGUGAGGUUAGGGAUACGGGAGAACGACAACCAUGAGGAAAAGGACCAUGGACCUCCAAAGCAUUUUUUUGCAGAAUUAAGCACAUAGUUAAGCAAAAUUACAUGGGUUAAUUGGGUUAAUCUCCACCAUAAUAACUCGGUCCCACCAGAUCAACGGCUCGUAAUUUCUAAUUAACGUGGUAAUUUUUAGGGAGUCUCUAAUUAGUAUAGGUAUAUAUAUGAUUUCAACUUCAUGACAUCCAGUUUAUUCAACAAUUUAUUCAUAUGAUAUAAAUGAAGCACAAGAGUAAAUGACAAGCUACUCCAAAAAGAUAUAAGUGAAGAUCAUGAGCAUAAUAUUUCUUUCUCUCAAAUUAAUUUAAGUGAAGCAAGAGAGAAUUUCUUCAAAAAUACUAAAGCACACCAUGCUAAAAAAUAUAUAUAAGUGAAGCACUAGAGCAAUUCCAUAGAAAGAACUUCGUUGAUAGGAUGUGAGUGCCGCUUACCUAGCCUCCCUGGCAACUAUGUGAGGACUCUAUUUUAUUUAAAAACUUUCAGAUCUAUGUAAUUUAUUAAAACAGCAAGCAAAACAAAAUAAAAUGACAUUCCAAGGAUAGCACAACUCAUGUGAAGAGGCAAAAACUUAGGCUCAACCGAUACUAACCGAUAAUUGUUGAAGAAGAAAGGUGGGAUGCCUACCAGGGCAUCCCCAAGCUUAGAUGCUUGAGACUUCUUGAAAUAUAAUCUUGGGGUGCCUUGGGCAUCCCCAAGCUUGAGCUUUUGUGUCUCCUUAAUUCCUCUCAUAUCACGAUUUUCCUAAAUCUCAAAAACUUCAUCCACACAAAACUCAACAGGAACUCGUGAGAUAAGUUAGUAUAAACCAAUGCAAAAACCUUGUCAUUCUCUACUGUAGGAAAUCACUAAAAUUAUUAUUAAACAUUGCAUACUAAAUGCCUUUGCAUAUUUAAUACUCCUAUCCUCAAAUAGAAUCAUUGAACAAGCAAACAUAUGCAAACAAUGCAAACAUAACAGCAAUCUGCCAAAACAGUACAGUCUAUAAAGAAUGCAAGAGUAUCAAUACUUAUUCAACUCCAAAAAUUAGGAAAGUUUAAAACACUGUAGAAAAUUUAUCAUAGCUUAUUUUGCAAAAAAUUUAAACAUUUUAUCACAUUCUCACUUUUCUAGGGGAUUUUUGGAACAACGGUAAACUUCCUGUUUUGAAACAGCAACAUGUAGAUUUGCAAAAUAAGCAUGGCAAAGGCUACACUUGACAAUUUUAUUGAAAUAAAAGAUGAAAAACAUUAUUUUAAAUAACAGCAAGCAAAUCCUAGUAAAAUAAUAUGACACUCCAAGAAAAACACAUAUCAUGUAAUGAAUGAAAACAUAGCUCCAAGUGAGGUUACCCAUAAUGUUGGAGACGAAAGAGGGGAUGCCUUCCGGUCAUCCCCAAGCCUGGUUGCUUCGAUCUUCCUUAAAUAUUACCUUGGGGUGCCUUGGGAAUCCUCAAGCUUAGGGUCUUGUCACUCCUUAUUCUCCUCAUAUCGAUAUCUCACCCAAAACUUGAAAACUUCAAUCACACAAAACUUAACGGAACUUCGUGAGAUGGGUUAGUAUGAUAAAGACAAAUCAUUCACUUUGAUACUGUCAAAGACAAGAUUCGUAAUUGUUCUCACACAAAGCCUACUGUACCUAAUCAUUUCCACAAUUUAUAAUGAGCAAAAUAAGCCAUAGAAACUAGGAAACAAGCAAACUAUGCAUUGAAAACAGAAUCUAUCAAAAAUAGAACAGUAUGUAAAGAUCUGAAUUAAGGUCAUACUUCCGUAACUCCAAAAAUUCUAAAAAAUUAGGACAACGUAGACAAUUUUUAUACCAUCAUCUGUAAAAAUAUCAGAAUUUUUCCACGUUCCAGUAAAAUAUAAGAAUUUCUGCACUGGAUGCAAAAGUUUCUGUUUUUGCACAUAAUCAAGUCAACUAUGAUCCACACUAUCCCAAAGGCUUUACUUGGCACUUUAUUGAAACAAAAGCUAUAAAACAUGAUUACUACAGUAGCCUAAUCAUGAACACACAAAAACAGUAGCUAAAAGUGUUGGGUUCUCUCCCAACAAGUGCUUUUCUUUAAUGCCUUUUAGCUAGGCAUGAUGAUUUCAAUGAUGCUCACAUAAAACAUAAGAAUUGAAACAUAACGGGAGCAUCAUGAAGCACAUGACUAGGACAUUUAAGUCUAACCCACUUCCUAUGCAUAGGGAUUUUGUGAGCAAACAACUUAUGGGAACAAUAAUCAACGAGCAUAGGGAGGUAAAACAAGCAAAACUUCAAGGUUUUCAACACAUAGAGAGGAAAUUUGAUAUUAUUGCAUUAUGUAGAAGCAUAUGUUCCUCUCUCAUAAUAAUUUUCAGUGGCAUCAUGAAUGAAUUCAACAAUAUAUCUAUCAAAUAAAGCAUUCUUUCCAUGAUCCACAAGCAUAGGAAUUUUAUUACUCCCCACAUAAGCAAAUUUAUUCUCAUGAAUAGUAGUGGGUGCAAACUCAACAAAAUAGCUAUCAUGGGAUUGAAAAUUAAAAUCAUGAUGACAAGUUUCAUGGUUAUGAUUAUUCAAUAUAGUAUACAUGUCAUCACCAUAAUCAUCAUAUAUAGGAACUUUGUUGUCAUAAUCAAUUGCAACCUCCUCCAAAAUAGUGGAUUCAUCACUAAACAAAGGCAUGACCUCUCCAAAUCAACUCUCGUCAAUAUAAUCAUCAUAAAUAGGAGGCAUGCAAUCAUCAUAAUAAAUUUUCUCAUCAAAACUUGGGGGACUAAAAAUAUCAUAAUCAUCAAAUAUAACAUCCCCAAGCUUAUGGCUUUGCAUAUCAUUAGCAUCAUGAAUAUUCAAAGAGUUCAUACUAACAACAUUGCAAUCAUGCUCAUCAUUAAAAUAUUUUGUGCCAAACAUUUUAUUGACUUCUUGUUCUAAAAACAGAGAACAAUUUUCCGAUCCAUCAUUUUCAGGAAAGAUAUUGUAAAGAUGAUCAAUAAUAUGAUGCAACCUCAAUUCCAUUUUUGGUAGUUUUCUUUUAUAAACCAAACUAGUGAUAAACAAGAAACUAAAAGAUUCAAUUGCUAGAUCUGAAGAUAUACCUUCAUGCACUCACCUCCCCAGCAACGGCGCCAGAAAAGAGCUUGAUGUCUAAUACACAACUUUAUUCUUGUAGACACGUGUUGGGCCUCCAAGUGUAGAGUUUUGUAGGACAGUAGCAAUUUUCCCUCAAGUGGAUGACCUAAGGUUUAUCAAUCCGUGAGAGGUGUAGGAUGAAGAUGGUCUCUCUCAAACGACCCUGCUUCCAAAUACAAGAAAUCCCUUGUGUCCCCAACACACCCAAUACAAUGGAAAAUUGUAUAGGUGCACUAGUUCGGCGAAGAGAUGGUGAUAAAAGUGUAAUAAUGAAAGUAGAUAUUUAUUUUUGUAGUAGGAACAAUAAAAAAACAGAAAGGUAGCAAGUAACAAAAGUGAGCACAAACGGUAUUGCAAUGCUUAGAAACAAGGCCUAGGGUCCGUACUUUCGUAGUGCAACCUCCCAACAUUGCUAACAUAGUUGGAUCAUACGAUUAUCCCUCAAAGUGCAAUGAAGAAUUACUCCCGAGUUCCUAUUAGUGGAGAACAAAAUAUAGAAAUUGUUUGUAGGGUACGAAACCACCUCAAAUCUAUUCUUUCCGUUCGAUCUAUCCUAGAGUUCGUACUAGAAUAACGCAAGCUAUUCUUUUCCGAUCGAUCUAAUCAAGAGUUCGUACUAAGAUAACACCAAAGUAAAUUCAUAUUCCUAAUACUCAAUCCACACAAAGAACUAUAAGGAGACCCCAAAGUUUCUAUCGAAGAAAAGAUAAUAAAAAUGUGCAUCAACCCCUAUGCAAAGAUUACCCCAAUAUCACCGCGGGAAUCCGCAAGUUGAGUACCAUAACGUAUAUCAAGUGAAUCAAUACGAUACCUCAUUGUCACCUCAAGUUUUCAUACCGCAAGACAUACAUCAUGUGUUCCCAAAUCUGAACAUUCAAUCCAACAUGACAAAACUUCAAAGGGUAAAGAUUCAAUUCGUCACAACAAGAGUAGUAUAGGGGGGAGAAACAUCAUAUGAUCCAUCUAUGUUAACAAAGCCCAUGAUAUAGAUCACGAGAGAGAGAUUAAACACAUAGCUACUGGUACAAACCCUCAGCCGCGAGGGUGGACCACUCCCUCCUCAUCGUGGUGGCCGCCGGGAUGAUGAGAAGAUGGCCACCGGAGAUGAUUCCCCCCUCUGGCAGGGUGCCGGAACGGGGUUUAGAUUGGUUUUCGGUGGCUACAGAGCCUUGCGGCAGCGGAACUUCUGAUCUAGGUUAACCCCGAAGGGUUUCGGAAUAUUUGGGAAUUUAUAGUGUAAAGAGGGGGUGCGGGAGGCCACCGAGGUGGGCACAAUCCACCUGGGCGCGCCAGGGGGGCCUGGCGCGCCCUGGUGGGUUGUGCCCCCCUCGGGGCACCCCCCAGGUGCUGCUCUGGCCCGUCGGGAGUCUUUUGGCCCGUAAAAAAUCCACAAAAAGUUUCGUGGUGUUUGGACUCCGUUUAAUAUUGAUUUCCUGCAAUGUAAAAACAAGAAAAAACAACAACUGGCACUUGGCACUGGGUCAAUAGGUUAGUCCCAAAAAAUGAUAUAAAGUUGCUAUAAAAUGAUUGUAAAACAUCCAAGAAUGAUAAAAUAACGGCAGGAAUACUUCAUAAAUUAUAGAUACGUUGGAGAGGUAUCAAUACAUACAGAUUCGUUUGCAAAUGAAAGAAGAUUUGUUUGCAUUCUCAAAUGUAGGCGCACCAGGCAGACCAGUGCCGUGUCGUGGUGGUCGCGGUGUCAUACGGACGCUUAGCACCUAGCUACCCACCACCUCCCUCCCCUCCUCCCCCGCCCCCAAAAAAAGAACGGCGAUAAAAGAAGUUUGUGCUUCCACAUUUCGGAUUGAAAUAUCUGGCAGCCCCAAUUCCAGCCGUGCGAAAUCUCAAUUCUCCACCGUCCCCUUCCGCGCCAGAUUCCUCAAAUCCCUAAUUCUCCGCCAACCCAAGUAAAGUUCGAAUCUCCCCUCGUCUCGUCUCUUUCCCCACCUCUGUGCCGGACGACGAUGAUGAAGAUGACGGUCGCGCUUCACCACCGCACCGGAGCUACCUCAUCUACGCCCUCGUCCACCGCUCUAGGUGGUCCACCGACAACGUCGGCCGCCACAACCGACGUGCCUCACAGACACCGACUUCCACCGCAUCAGGUGCGUUUCACCGACGCCGUCUCCCACCUCACCGAGGCUACUUCACCAAGCACAUCGUCGCACCUCCGCCCCCGAGGCCGUUGGGGCUUCACCAACGGUCUCGUCCACCGCAUCAUAGCGCUCCGCUGCCACUCAAGAUCUACAUGCGUGCGUGGCCAGCCAACGCCGGUGCAUUAGCCUCAACGGCUCUGAAGUGACCCGCACUCUAGCUAGGCGAGCAUGCCCAAACACCGGCCCGAACUAGGUAUCCACACAUCACUCCCUUGUGCACUGUUCCGACGAUGUUUGGAUAUCCUUUCACUGCUCUCUUAGCUUACACGCCUAUGCAACUCUGACUUUAACUCUUAUUUCUUUUGAACAUAUCAUCUGAAACAAGCAAAACCAUUUUUAAGCGAAGCAUGACGGCGCUACAGGGUCUGGUACACAUCCUGCACACCCGUAUAACCUUGUAAGUAUCUGUCCUCUGGUACAACAGCAAGGUCGAUUCCUCUUAUUUGAUCAACCAUUCGCCGUGUCAAAAAUGCAGAGGGGGAUGCAAGGAGCAUAAGGCCUGCACAUCCAAGCAAGUGGUAACAUGGACUUGUACAUGGAACAUCUCAAGCGCAAGCAGAGCUGUAGUGAGCCUGUACAACGAGCUAGCGUAAGUCCCUGCAUUUUAUUUAAUUCGUACUGGCGUGCGUGUAUGAUUUGUGUGCAGUGGCGGAUCCACGAAUUCAAGUUACCAGGGGCGAACAUUUAAAUUAAAAAAUACGAAGGCACUUGCACUCCGGAAAUCAACAUAACUUGAGAAAUGUGAAGCUACAUGCACUUUGAAAACUAGCUAAUGAUCCAAAGUAGUUCAGAUUAUAAAAUACUAAAUGAUGUAAGCACCAAAAAUACAAAAUGCAACAUGGUGUACAAGCACUACUAACAUGGUCUGUACCUGCUUGAAUUAUUCGUUCUCCCGCUGAAAAUAUCAAAGUGUAAUUGCACUUAUAACCAGUGCACAAACUGCAUAUCAAUAUAUCUAUCCAGCACAAGUAUGCCAAUAGUUUCAAACAACAGAUUAGAAAAGCAUUUAUGCUACGUUUUCAUGAUACGGGGACUUUCUGGUAGAUGGCCUCGACGUUUCCUCAAGCCAUGAAAAUGUAGUAAUUUGCUUGUCAUCAAUGCCUGCAAAUCUCCAUGUCUCUCUCAACAUAGCAGAUCAUCAUUAGACACUAAAUCCUUCAAUGGGAGCUUGCAAAAUGCUUGCAUUAGAUCCCUCAUUAGGCACUAUAUGUUCAUCACCAGGAGCAUGUAAAAUGUUUGCAUCAAAUCCUUCAUUAGCAGUCUGUUCAUUAGACACUUCAGGCUCAAGAACAACAUGAGCUUGUAUGUUUGCACCGGAAACUUGAUUAGAUACAUCAGAUUCAGUCAGUUCAGUAUUGAUUGGGGGAGUUAUUAAAUAAGCAGAAAUUGGUCUCAUUUUCUCAUAGAUUCCCUACAUACAAGCAGUUUUACAACACCGUCAGGUUUAACUAUUGGCUAGAAAUUGAAUAGUUGAAUUAGAUAUAAUCAGGGAUGUGAUGUACCUGCUCGUUGCGCAUGCUGCUCUUGCAAGCUGUGACUGUCCGUUUGCACAAGCUCGAUGCCAUGCCCGUGCUGCCGCCGCUGCCUCCCACGUAGGCUACACCUAGGGUUGGAUCAUCAUCUUCUUGUCCUUCCAUUCGCUUGAAGCCCGGCGACCGCCCUCCAACGAGGGCGCAAGGAAGUGUUGUGUCAGUCUGUCCAGCGGUGGCUAGGUUAGGAGCGAACCAGACUGGAGGCUGGAGCGAACGAAUUGGGAUUUUUCCUGCUGUCGAUAGAUAUGGGAGGCGCUCGUUUGGGCCACGAGCCUGCUAUAGGCCUGCCUUGCACUUAUGUUAUUGGCCCAUCCAAAUUGAAACGUUUUUCUUCAUUUUUUACAUUGCCUGCUCGUGCGCUGGGAUGAACAAAACUAGCCUGGGCCAACCUAGACGACUCAAACUAGGUGCACACUUUCCAGCCACCCAAGGCGGCCGCCCAUACCAGCCCCUACGGUGGCGUCGCCCCUUUUUGCGUGUAUGAUUGGGGUAGUGAAAAAUAUUCCAGUGGCGCUUUUGAUUUACCCACAGAAUGGUUGAAUUGCUUGUUUCUAUGAACUGAGUUCGCCAAUAAUGUGAAGGAUGCCAGUCUUUUCAUCCUAUUAUAGACUGCUUAGAUCUCGAUAUGCCAAAUGUAAUCGCAUGAAAUAGAUAGUAAAAGCCAGUGUGAUGUGUGUGGCUACAACUAGUCUGACUACCCGUCCUCAUAUAACAUAUCAAUGACGCACCAUCUUACCAGAUUAACCAUUUGACUUACCAAUGCAGUGUGGGAAGAAAUAAGUAUUGGGACUGCGUAUCCAAGCAAUUGAUGCCAUGGACUCCUUCGUAGAACCUUGUAAGCGAAAAAGAAGUUGAAGUGUGCCUGUAUAAAGAGCUAGCGUAAGUUCAGUUACCUGCUUCUCGGAAUUUUAGUUAACCACUUAUUGCAAAAUUGUUCAAUUACGUUGCUUGGCUUAAUUUAGUUUGCUACUGAUUACAUAAUGCCAUAGCCUGUUAAUCCUAUUAUAGACUGCGCCUAUCUAUGUUUGAUACUUACUGUUGAGAAUUACAUGUUUGCCUGAACUUAAAUAGCUACUUAAGCAUGUAGAUAGCUAGUAUAUGUACUUCUAGGGUGCAGCAGAAUUCACGUGUAAUUUACGUUCUGAUACCCUGUUUGUUUAAAUGGUUUGCUGUUAUCACUUGUAGCACUAGUAAUGUUUCCAUGUUCAUAGAUGGACAACUGUCAGGUUUAUAUGAGGGACACCAUCUUUUUAACUUAUAUAUGUGUUGGAAUCAUUUUGCUUACAUCAAAGAAAUUUACAGAUGUCUGUGUUGCUAGUAAACGGUACCGACUUGUUACUUUAAUAUGUUGCCAAGAACUUGUUAGUUUUACUAGUUCAUGUGUAAUUAAAUACGUUGCCAAAACUGGUUAGGUUUACUAGUUUGAUGUUAGUUUCUUAUGGCUCUUGCAACACUUUAUUUAUGAUUGAUAACAUUCAAGUUUGCAGGAUCCAACUGAAACUCCGUUGGCACAACAGGUAUGUUUUUAGAAACUUCCUUGUUUACCUGGUUUGCUGCUGUAUCUUGUUGCUGUAAUCAUCUUACCAACUUCAAGUUUUCAGGAUCCAAUUGGAAGUCCAAUUGCACAACAGGUACAUUUUCAAAAAUAUAUUUGUGUAACAGGUUUGCUGUUGACUUGUUGCUCUAAUCAAGUUUUUGACUACUCAACUUUUCAGGAUCCAAGAGAAACUCCAAUGUCACAACAGAUUCCUUUUGCAAAACUUGUUUGUUUAACUACUUUGCUGCUGCAACCGGUUGCUCUAAUCACGUUACUGGCUACUCAACUUUUCAGGAUCCAAGAGAAACUCCAAUGCCACAACAGGUACCUUUUGCAAAACUUGUUUGUUUAACUGCUUCGCCGCCGCAACAACCGGUUACAAUGAUGUUAAUAAGUACUUUUCAGCAUCCAAUUGAAAAUCUUUAAUUCCUUGUUUGUUUAACUGGUUUGCUGUUAUAACUCCCAGUUGAGAUGUUUUGCUAACUUCAACUUUUCAGAAUCCAAUCGGAACUUUAACGGCAAAAAAGGUUAGCCCAAGAUCAAAGAGCGAGGUCCCCAUGGACGCUGUAUCAUCCCACAGCAGUGGCACCGGCCCAAUCAUGCAUCAUGAAUUGCCAACUGCUGAUGCUUUAGAGGCUAAACUAUUUGUAGAAAGAGAUUCUGCUUCUGCACUUGAGAUGAAGUUGACAUGUUGAGGAAGCAAACUACAAAGUCACAAGCAGUACUCAAGACAACCAUUAAAUAUUUAGUGGAUUUCAAAAUGAAGCAAGCUGAGACUGACCGCAUUGUUAAGGUCCUGAAGGAAAAAAAGGAAAUUAAAUUCCCACUUGGUAAAUCGUAGGUGAAAUGUUAUUUCCAUCGCUGAAUAACCUUUGUGUUGUUUGUUCAUGUAAUCAAUCAAACCAUUUGUUCUAGAGAUCAUGUAAUAACUGUUUUUUGUUUUUUGGUUUGUAAUUUUUUUAGCACUAGUCUGUAUUAAUUGAUAAGACUCGGAGACAUUUCAUUUUGAAUGCUAUGCCAGACCUACAAAUAUGGCAAUCAGGCUGAAUGCACAUUCAGCAAUAAUAGUAGUAUAGAUGGACCUUAAGUGGCAUGCAUCGGAAAGGGCCAAGACGUUGUACUAGCUUCGCUAAAAAAAGGAUGCUCUUCUAGCAAAAAAAAGUACAGCGGCCUGGCUUAUAUAUGUUAGUUGACAUUAUUGAUCCAUAUACUCUGUCGGUGUUUAUAUGUCUGUUAGUUUUGUACAUUAUUGGUUGAUUGACUCGGUAUUUGAAUCUUGAUACAUCGCUUGUGUACAUAUAUAAAUGGGAGUACACAUUAUGCUGCGUGUGACACUUGAGUUGGACAUAAAGUGGUUUCAAAUAUUCGAAUUCACCUUAAACUGGAUUCUAGCUUCUGAAUUCGACUAUCGGCAUUUGUAAAUCAUAUUCAUAUAUGAUAGUGGAAUACAUCUGUGUUGUGCUUUUGAAGAUAUAUAAAAACACAUACAAUGAUUUAUAAAUAUUCGUAUAGGAAUACAAAAUGGAUUCGAAUUUAGUUGCCAGGGUAAAUGUGGAUGUUUAUUGUCCCAAAAUUUGAAAGAAGCGGCAAAAUGUCCACUCGCACGUUUGCUGCCCGAAGCCAACUAUUUGGGAGAUGGAAAUUACUCUCUACCCCUUACAUGGACAAUCCAUCGGCCCGAUUUCCACUGCUCUCAAUAGGGGUAGGUUAGUAACUUCAAUUAGACAUGAUACGACCGCCUCUGAGCCCAUUCCGACACGGUGGGCGCCAAACAUGGGCGGCAAAACACAUUUGAUUCAAGCUCGUCUGAAAGACCUCGUCUCUCCCUCCAUUUCCCCAUUCAUACACGGUGGGCGGCAAAACAAACUCGACUCGGCUGAAAUCGAUGUAGGCAAAUAUUUUCAAUAGGGGCAGGUUUGUAACUUCACUCAAACAUGACACAACUGCCCUACCUGUCAGCCCCGUUCAUACACCGUGGGCGCCAACUAUGGGCGCCAAAACACCCUCUCCUCGCCAGAAAUCGCUCUGGGGAAAUAUUGGCGAGAUGCGAGAUUACCAUCCUAUCCCCAACCGACGGGACGUCCAAAUUUUAAACGGGGGCUAAGUUCGUAACUUUCCCAUAUUUCAGACAGGCGCAUCCCAAAAACAUGGUUACCCAUACCUCUCCCUCCAUUUUCCCAUUCAUACACCGUCCGCACCAGAACACCACCCCCACACCAGCCUCCUCCGUUUGCCACCCCAUCCAUCGCCGCCGUCCUCCACCCCAUCCAUCGCCACCGUCCUCCACCAUGCCGGAGCGCCUACCAAGACCGCGUCGUCCAUUGUAGAGAUGUGCGUUUCUCAUCGACGGCAACAGACCAAGAGCCUUGCAUCGCGUCCUCUCGCUUCAUCGGCGCUGUCGUCCUCUUUGCCGGGGCCGCUCACACGACCUUCUCUUCCACCGCAACGUGGCUUAUUCCCCGAUGCACCCGUCUACCAUCGCAGAUCUACUUCAACGCCACCGAUAGGUAGCGCACCCCCGAUGCCUACACGGCGCCGCAAGAGAGUGGUACUUCAUAUCUCCUCAACUUUUUGAUCUCAACCAGAAAAUAGAUCGUAACUUGGUUACUGUACUCUCUUUUCAGCUCUUAGAAUUUAGUUCUUAGUUCGAAGCAAACAAUGGAUGCUAAAUAGCAUUUCCCUGAUUUGCAGCUUUAAAUCUACCAUGGCACAGUCAUAAUAGGGUUUAAUUGAUCAUGCUUAGGGUUUAAUUGACCAUGUUGGUUCCAUGGUGGUUUAUUUAAUAGAAAUCGGAGGGGAAACCCUCUUUUGCUCAAAAAAAUGCUUAGGGUUUCCCCCUUUUAUGAUCACUAUACGAUCAACAUACGUGCUUCGUGUCAUAAUAGCACUGCUCCACCCAUCAAGCUAAACAAGCUUAGUUGUUCAAAUACGAAUAUGAUAUUAUUAGAACAGAGUCGUUUAAUUGGUCAGCUAAAUGUCCCUAAUUUAGAUUCGAAAAUGCAUGUUCGCCACUCGGGUGUGUAUCUCUACAGGGUGCCCAUGGUGGGCCGCGGCCCACCCAGGGAUUUUGGGUCGGCCCAGGCCCCGAUUCCCCUCUGUUCUGCUGCGCGCUUCCGAUCUCUACUCGCCCCCAGCCGCCUGCCUCGCCGGCGACUUGCCGUCCCCAGACGGCAUGACUCUAGGAGGAGACGCCGGACUAACAUGAGGUCAGGAGCCGCCGCCCAACAGCAUCACCGCUGCCCGGGCACGCCGCCGUGCCUACCAUCCCAGUCCGUUCAGGGCUCAGGCGUGCAACACCCACUAAGCCAACCCGAUUUAUCCUGAGAUAUGUCCUCAACACUCAGCAGCCACUCCUAAUCACCCAUUUUCUUAUUGAUUCAUUACUCAUUAGGCAGUACUGUCAUUAGGGUUUUUUGUGUGCUCAGUGCUACCUACACUUAAUGGUGCAGAUGUAUUUCAGUAAUCUUUAGUACCUGUGAUGUUCACAGGGUUUCAAAAUUCCGUCCCUAGGAACAGACACUAGUCAUUUUGGAUUGUUGGUCGUAGUGACAUUGAUCCAGAUUACAACUGCAGGCCAGGUUUGUUGAGAAUUUUACUUGUCUUUCUUACUCAUUCGAUAUGAAAUCCAAUUAUUCACGUCGAUUAGUUGCAAACAAUAAGUGCUAGACAAACUUCUUGAUUUAGAUUUUGGACGGUCUCUUACUGCAGUUACAAUUCUACAUACUGGUCCUAGUAAGCUCACAAGUAAAUGAUUGAUUCACCACAUCUAUGCUUUCCUUGUCAUAUUUGUUGUCAAUAUUCUUUUAGGGUGGACCACUCUGUUUCAAAAUACUGGAACCGCAGACAUGAGUGAAUAGUAUUUCUCUGUGUAAUCUCUUCCAUCAUGUGUGGGCAACGAACACUGCAUUGUAUAGAAAGAAAGUGCCAUUUCCAGCUUUUACAUAAACUAUGAUCUUUUACAUGGAAUACAAUCUGCCUACUUGCUUUGUGUCCCACUACCAACACUCCACCCUUGAAGCUAAACAUUAUGCCACUCAUAAUUCCAUAAUUUAUUUGUUCAAAUACGAAUUUGAUAUGAUUCUAAUGUUCCUACUUAGUUUUGAAAUGUGUGUCUACCUGUUAUAGAGAUAUAAGAGGUUUGUAUUUCUGUGUGUGGUCUGGUCAGCACGGUUGGGGGGUGAACUUUUCAUAUGCAGGGGUUUGUAGGUAGACACUCUUCAAGUUGAAUCCGCAAUGCAUUCCAUAGAUAAUCUGACUACCUUUUAUGUUUUCAUGAAUCUCUAAUGAUUAUGAGCUUGCGCGCAUGAAAAGAAUAAAGCAGAACAAUGCCAUGGCUGUCAAACUUGGCAUUAAGGGACUGAAAUCAAGUCUGGAUGCAAUGCAAUGCAAACGCUCUCCACCAACAGAUUCAUGCUCACAAUAUGAUCCUAACAGUGAUUCUAAGCUAGAGGGAGACCUAAGUCAAUGUAGCUCCCUAGUGGAGGAGUCAGAGGUAGAUGCCCUAUCUUAUUCACCCAUCAAGGUGCUUGCUCUAACUUUCCACGGUUAUAUUGGUCGCACAUAUCUUGCAACUGAUGCUUUGCAUUGCUUCUACUUUGUUGCACUGCCAUUAGCUUAGUUUACACAUCGUGUAUGUGAAUACGCCCUGCCUAUCCAUUUUUAGUACAUAUUCCAUCUGUCAUCAUACCAUAUUUAUCCAUUCAAAUGUUGUUGUUGUGUAUUAGACGUUCAAAAGGAAGAGGGCGAUUGCUGAUCGCGGAGGAGCAUGAGCAAAGUAUUUGGAAAAGGUAGUGACACAUGAUAAAUCAAACAGCCCAUUAGGUGUAGUUGCAAUAUCACCUGACCCACAAAACAUGGCCCCAACUCUAGCAGACUCUAGCCCUACUACACUGCUCAUUUCUGAUGCCCCAACUCAGCAGACCCCAACUGCAGCAAACAGUAUGAUGGUGCCAGUUGAGAUAGCACCAGCUCUAUGACGCAAAACCCCCAUUCCAGCAAAGAGUACACCAAAUCCAGUUGCCAAGUCCCUUUUCGGACCAGAGAGAGCCCCAAUUGCAGCAAAUAGGUCCCCUGUUCCAUUUUUUCCCAGUUUAGAAGAUGAAGCUUAUAUUUUUGUCAGGAACUUUGUGCGCAUCUGUCCUUCAUGGAAAGAUUAUACAGAACAAUUUCCAGUCUUCCUCUGCAACUUACACAUAAGUAAUGUACUAAUGUUAUUCAUGGUAAUUACUGCAUAUGUUUCUACUGACAGAAGACACAACAUUUCAUUCUUUUAAAUAGGCGAGGAGCAAACUGGAUUAUCAAGACGAGCAAGGGUUGGUUCCUCUUUUCAAGCACUCGUUGAUGAAAUAUCAUUCCUACCUGAGGCAAGCGCACUUCGAUGGCAAGCCUCUAAACAAAAUUUCUGUAAAGUCUCCGGUGCUACAUUUAUCAGACAGUGACUGGAAUAAUCUUGUUACACAUUGGUCUCGUCUGUAGCAUAAGGUACUGUCUAUGAUAUCACAUCACAAUUUGAACUACAUUUCUGCAUUUGCCUUAAUGUCUCACUUAUACGAAAACUGUUAGCAGAAGAACAUUCAUUCUCAAGGGACCACAGAAUCUCGCAACUAUAGUGCACACUGCAUUGCUCUUGUGAGUACAUCUUGCCCUGUAUGACCAUACUUACUUUCAUAGAUGUUUGAUUAUGUAGCAUCACUGCACAUGUUAACCUCUUUAUCGUCCAUUUGGUGGACAUUAUAAGAUCCUAUGGACUCUUACAUAAAUUUAGAAUCAACCCAAUGCCUUUGAAGAGGUUUAGCUCUGCAGUCCUCUUGUAAGGACUCAACAUCGUCUAUCACUGUACUUACAUUAACAGCUACUUCCUCUAUCCCAUAAUGUAAGAACGUUUUGUACAGUACACCAGUGUUCAAAACACUCUUGUAUUAUGGGAAGAGGGAUAGGUUCAUUGUGUAGCAUUCUGCAUCUUAUCUCCCUCGCCCACCAUUUACUAAAAAAAUCAGAUCUAUAUUUAAUCUUACCAAAAAGUUGAAUACACAGACAAUGCCAGUGCAGAAGUGUAGCCCAUUGCUCUUUUCAGUACAUUUUGUCCUGUAAUGCUUGUACUUCCAGGGAUUGGUAGUUGACUAUGUAGCAUCAAUCUGCAUCUUAUCUUCAUUAUCCUCUAUCCCUUCUAGUAUUAUUAUAUCUAUAAUUACACUCCACAAAAUGUAGAGUACAUGCAAUGCUUAUGAAGAAGAGUUUGUGCUGAAAUUCUUGAGUUAUCCUUCCCUUGACAUGGAGAAGGGCAUUAUAAAGCCGGUAUCAACUGUUAAUGUAAGUCAGUCCUUCUAAAGCCUUUAUCCUCAACUGCUGUUUAAUUUUCUCAUACUCCCUAUCGUUAACUGCUAUUUAGUUUGCUGUUUCUAUCAAAAUGCAUGUUCGCAACAACCGUAAGUUCCAAGUUUUACUUGUAAAACCAAAUUGCUUAUUCAUACCAUGCACAUUACUCAAUACUCCCUAUAUGUAUGCUUGUUUUUGUGGAUCUAUAAUCUAGUGUGUGGUGAAGCAGCCCACAUUUGCACCUUGUCAUCUCCUGUUUUAUCUUACUGAUGUGGCUGAUGAUAUGAACAACAUGCCAUGCACAUUAACCAAAAUUGAUACAAUGAUUGUCUUUGCCCUUCAUCUAUGCUUUUUAUGUUGACAUGGUAAUCCAGUAGUGUGGUGAAGCUCCCCGCAUUAUGAACAAUGCCAAAUUAUGCUAUUGAUAUUUUGAACUUACUCUUUAUUUUCUAAUUUGAAAUUGGAUGGAAUUGACAACACAAUUAUCAUCUUUGUUUAUACACGUGCAAAACCAGUCAUCUCUCUGCUUGUUUCAUGGUGAUAUGCCUGAUGGCAUGCACAAGUUUGCUGAAGGCUGUGAGAAAAACCCAACAUAUAUUGCAGCAAAGAAGGCAAAACAUCUUGAAGAUAGCGAGACAACCCCAAAGUCUUGUCUUGACGCAGUGUUCAAGUUACUUGAGACUAGCAGUCAGACAAGCUCACAUAAAUUGCUGCCUGAAUCAGUUCGACUUCUUCAGUCCCAAGUUCUAGCAGAAAGGCAUUCUACAGCUCAACUUCGACUUGAAGUCCUAUCUCUAAGAAAGAUUGCGGAGAACACCAAUGAGAACCUCAUUUCUAAACAGCUACACCUGGAAGCUAUGACCGACAUGCUAGGCCGGUCUCACAGCCUAGCUCAGCAGCUCGCGCAGCAGUUCCCACGCAAGCCUAACCUUUCUUGAACUGUCUUGGAAGUCAUCUCGGUUCAGUAUUAUUUUGUUACACUGCAAUGGUGCCCAGUUUUUGUAAUUUGUUUCUUCGUUGCGCUUUAUGAUCACUGGUGGCGAACUUCGAUGCCCAGUGGAUGUAAUAUACCAUAAAUCCUUAUUGUAUAGUGUAGGUUUAUUCUAAUUUACUAUGCCGUAAUUUCUUUAUCGUAUAGAGUAGGUUUGUUCUUAAUUCCUACUAGUUACUGUCAUCAUUCGUUAUCUGAAAAAAUCUGAUGUAGCCGACUGGGCCGAAACAUUUGCCUCUAACGGGCCUGGUUUUUAGCGGGCCACAAUUGGGCCGGCCUGCAACUUUCUUGGUCCCGAAUGGCCAUUGGGGCCUUCAAACUUUGCGCCAGGCCCACAACUUACUCUGUCCUAUAUUCGGCCCAAAAUUUAGUUGGGCCUUUUGUGGACCCAGCGCUUAGUUUGGCCCAUGUAGCUUUGGGCCAUUAACAGGCUGAAUAUUCUCCUGGCCUGUUACAGCCCAGAAGAAACCAUGGGCCUUUAGCAGGCCGAAAUGCAUGUUGGGCCUCAAUUUUCACUAGUCGUCGAUGGGCCUUCAGCAGGCUGAAAUGUAGACCGGGCCUUUUUUGGCCCAGUUAUAUGACGGGCCGUUACCAGGCCGAAACAUAUCUCAGGCCUUAGUUGGCCCACUAAUAUCAUGGGCCUUUAAGAGGCCGAAAGCUUAGUACAUGCAUCAAUGAGCCGAAUUAUACGACAGGCUAUUAACAGACCCAAUGUCACGUUGGGCUGAACUGUUGCCACCUUUAUCACGGGCCGUUAGUGGGCCGGAUGUCGUGUCAGACCAUAUAUGGCCCAUGGGCAGCACGGGCCAUUCCCAGGACGAAAGACACACGGGUUGAAAUGGGCCAAUGUCUACAUUGGGCUUCUAAUAGGCCAAAAGUCACCGAGUUGUAAUUGGGCCCAAAUAUUCAGCGAACAAUUAACGGGCCAGAUCUGGCUUCGGGCCGUAAAUGGGCCAUGUUUAAACAGGCCGUUAUUGGGCUGGCCCACUAGUACCUGAGUAAGUACUACAGGCCUUUGACUGGGCCGGCCUUUUUAACCUAUAUGGGCCUCUGUUGGGCCCUGCCACGUGUCGACGUAUCAUAGGCAUGCCUCCUCCAAUGGACGGACGAAAUCUGGCCCAUCGAGGAGCAGACACGUGUUUCCUCGAGCCAAUGAUGAUUUUACAUGUGGAAAAUGCCCAUUGGUCUGGGCUGUUAACGGGUUUCGAAUCCAAACUGGAACCCUAUAGCUUAAUGGCGACCUGUUAUGGUGGAUGCCACAUGUCGGUCACCCUUGAUGAAAGCACUUCUAUGACAUGCGAUUUAUCGUCAUGGAAGUGGAUACUUCCGUGAUGAUAAUUUUGGUAAUGUCAUGGAACACUUGUACGACAGCACAUGUAUGACUAUCAUGAUUCUGUCAUAAAAUCGUCAUGGAUGUACAUGCAUGACAAAAAAUGUGACCUACUGUGACAAACACGUAUCAUCAUGGAAGUGUAUUUUUUUGUAGUGCACGCGUUCGCAAAAAUAGACACAGACACACACAUGCCACCCCAUCUAUCUGCAUCCUUCUUUUAAGACACACACCCUUGUAUAUUCUCUCCAGCUAUAGGUAUAUAUACAUACCCCUAUCUCUCUCUCUCUAACUCACAUGCACAUCAAAAUUCUAUAUCUCUCUAAUUCACACCUCUCUCCCGAUGUCCUCAUGUGUAUCUCACACACUCACUCCAUGAUUAUGUCUAUUUGUCUCCAUGUUGCACAAUACAAAGCCCCAUUCGCAUGUCUCUCUCUAUCCUCCACACACAAACACACAAAGAAUCUCUUAUCUCUACCUCAGUGUCUCCAUAUAGUACACACGCAAUAUCUCUCUCUUGCACACAUGCUCAACCAAGGUUUUCUUGCGAAACAAUUACCAUCAAUUCAUCACCAGUCGAGCUAGUACGACGAACACGAGAUGUGAAAAAGAAUACAUCUACACGUCCGUAGACCCCCUAGUAUCACUACGGACACUAGAGCAAGCCAAAGGCGCACCGCUGUCAUCCCCAUACUUAUCGGAGACAGGAAAACCUUGUUUUACACACUCGGGGAGUCAGCGUGCUAAGGCCCACAUGCUCAAUCAUUGAGUAGAACUUAGAUCCAAGUUUAUGGAAACAAGUAUCAGUAAUACGCUUCUGUUAACAUAGUUUUGAGUUUUUCAUCAAGAUAUUAGUCACUCAUGGUCAAUAUUUAGUUUGAAUUACAAAAACAUAGGUACCAUGUAACUAGCCAUGCUUAUUGGCUUCCAAAGCUUAACUUUCAGUCCUACUUACAAUAUGUAGAGUAUUUAACAAAAACACUACCACUUUCAACCUGCCCUAGCAAGAAAAUACUGUACAAAAAAUAUCAAAAACAUACCCAAAAUUUCUUAAUCCACGCCAAAAACUACUACAAGUGCCGAUUAGGCUCGUUUAAACCCGUCUAUGACAGGGUUCGCCCACACGUCCGUGCUGACGAGGCAGCUUAAGUCAACAUCGUCUGUUUGACCAUUGUGUUUACAGUUACAGCAGGUGGGACCCACAUGUGAGCAACUAUUUUUUUCUUCCUCCUCCAAUCAUUUAUUUUUCCUGAGCAUUACUCGAAACAGUUCGUAUGCCUGUUCGUCGGCGGUGCCGGUGAUGGGCGAGCUGGCCGCCCCUCCAUCGGACGGGCGGAUGUCGUGCUGGCCUCCGCACGGGUUGGUUGGCUGGCCCGAGCGCGACUCACUCGCGAGCAAGCCACCGCGCUGGCCUUUGCUCGAGCCAAAUGGCUGGCCUUAGCGCGGCACGUGUGAGCAAGCCGCCGCACCGUCGUGCCAACCUAGCUAGCAAACCUUGCACACAAGCAGCUGGAUGCAUCCAGCAGGGUGUGUGCUAGCUUGGCUAGCUAGCGGCCGCGAUCACCACGUGGAGCCGUCCUUGGGGCUACCGGAAGAUGGACUCCGCACCGCCGGCGCUUUUGACCUCGCCUUCUGCUGGCGGCAGCGGCUGCUGCCGAGGAUGACUAGGUGGACGGGCCGGAGGUAGGAGGUGACUUGGGGAUUUUUGUCCAGACUGACACGUAGGUCCCACAAGUCAUAACGCCUAACUUGUCGGUCAAAUAGACGGCAUUGACUUAAUGUGCCACGUGGGUUUAAAUGUGCCUAAUCGGCACUUGGUACUUUAUUGCGACGGAUUAAGAAAUUUUUGGUAUGUUUUUGCUUAUUUUUGUAGAGUAGUGGUUUCUUGGUAGGGCUAGUUGGUGUCGGGGAGAUGGACACCAGGCAGGCAACAGAACCAGGAUCCUUUUCAAAAACAUCGGUGCCAGCAACGCCCCUCAAUCCGGCACACCCUGGCCGGCUUCACAACACAACCCGACCAGCCGCAGCAACCCGCCAGCCGGCUGGCGCAUGUCGGCUGGCCCCAAGAAGCCAACCUCCAUCGACAAGUAAGAAUGGCUGCAGUGCGCCCCUCUUUGCGCCUGCCUCGGCGGGCGUGGCAGUCGUGCCGACCAAGCCACUACCUGGGGCAGGUCUCAGAGGCGCAAUACUGUAGCAAGGCGGCCCUGCCGUCCCAUGACAUCCAGCACGGUGUGCCAACAGUAUCCAGUAGUCGGCCAUAACCGCGCCAGGCAGUCCCGUACGACCCGCACCCGACGGACUCGGUGAGACCCGCACCAAGCAGACCCAGUAGACCCGGCGGCCCCUACUGCUGGUUCCUAGACACUGACAUCUAGGCCUUGUGCCCAAGUAGUAUUACCAUUGUAACCCUGGGGGGCUGCCUAUAAGACCCCCCGGUGCUGCUCCAUGCAAAGGGUCGACCAUCAGUAGAACGCACACAUACACACAGAGAAGGAGCAGCCUAUGCACUGGCCUAUCUUCCUUCCUCCCCAAAACAGCUCAAGUAGCAAGCUCGUAUCCACCUCAUAUAAACCAUACUCGACAGGACUAGGGGUGUUAUCUCUCCGGGGAGCCCCAAACCUGGGUACGUCUCGUGCCUCACACUUGCACAUGCCAACCUCGCUUCUGGAGCCCACCGGUGCCCUUGUCCUUGUCCCCCCGUUUAGCCAUCCCAUGGCAUCUGCUGUGAGAUCACCACAACAAUUGGCGCCCACCAUGGGGCAGUUUGAGGCAUCGGCCGGAGUUACAUCCCAAACGGGGCCCUUCAUCGACUCCGACACGGAGAUCAUGCAUUGCGUGGUCCCCACGCUCGGUGCGGCGCUGGCCGGUUUCACUGGCCCGUCCAUUGUCCCCUUUGAGGCGCUGCACGUCUUCGUCGCGCUCGCCUCCGACGAGUACCCCAGGGAGGUGCUCGACGUCACCGACUCCCCCGUCCUCGUUGGCAGCGACAUCUCCGACGACAUGGCAGAUCUCUGCACCAGGGUGGAGGUGCUCGUCACCGGCUCCGGCUCCACUUAUUCUAGCACCCCGAAGAAGGCCGCCAUUGCCAAGGCCGCAGCGGAGCGCGCCAGCACGACUGACCCGCUGCGCGCCACACUGCAGAACCUCAGCAUCCCGAUCACCACCGACGUCAAUGCCACCCAGGCCAAGGCUCAGCUUGACAAGGAGCGCAAGCUCCUGCUGGAUGAGGCGACAACGCUUGGUGCUACGCAGCACCAGCUGGAGUCCAUCCAGUGGGAACGCGGCGCCGCGUAUGGCUUCACGCCGGCUGCGGCAGAACCCAUCCGGGUUGCCAAGGUACGAACCCGUGGCGGCGCCAUCGGCCACGCCCUAGGUGCGAACCCGUGGCGGCGCCAUCUGCCAUGCACUGGGCACGGUCCCGCCCGUCUACGACACCCCCGUCAAAAACAUGUGCGCCGCGGAGGCGGCCGCCGUGGGCCUGGAGCAGCGAUAGGGCGAGGAGCUACCACUACAAAAAAAUACACUUCCAUGAUGAUACAUGUUUGUCACAGUAGGUCGCGUUUUUUGUCAUGCAUGUACAUCCAUGACGAUUUUAUGACAGAAUGAGGAUAGUCAUACCUGUGCUGUCGUAGAAGUGUUCCAUGAAAUUACCAAAACUAUCAUCACGGAAGUGUCCACUUCCAUGACGAUAAAUCGCGCGUCACAGAAGUGCUUUCGUCAAGGGUGACCGACACGUGGCAUCCACCGUAACGGAACAUCGUUAAGCUAUUGGGUCGGGUUUUGGAUCCGAUAACCCGUUAACAGCCCGGACCAAUGGGAAAUUUCCACGUGUAAAUUUCUGAUUGGCCGGAGGGAACACCUGUCAGCUCGUCAGUGGGCCAGAUGCCGCCCGUCCAUUGGAGGAGACAUGCCUAUGAUAUGUCAACACGUAGCUGGGCCCAACAGAGGCCCAUAUAGGUUAAAAAGGCCGGCCCAGUCAAAGGCUCGUAGUACUUACUUAGGUACUAGUGGGCCAGCCCUAUAACGGCCUACUUAAUAAAGGCCCAUUUACGUCCCGAAGCCAGAUCUGGCCCAUUAAUUGUUCGCCGAAUAUUUUGGCCCAUUUACGGCCCGAAGCCAGAUCUGGCCCGUUAAUUUGUUCGCCGAAUAUUUGGGCCCAAUUACAGCCCAGUGACUUUCGGCCUGUUAGAGGCCCGAUGUAGACAUGGGCCCAUUUCAGCCCGGUGUGACUUUCGGCCUGGGAAUGGCCCGUGCUGCCCAUGGACCCACUAACGGCCCAUGAUAAAGGUGGCAAUAGUUAAGCCCAACGUGACUUUGGGCCUGUUAAAGGCCUGUCACAUUAUUCGGCCCGUUUAUGCAUGUACUAAGCUUUCGGCCUCUUAAAGGACCAUGAUAUCAGUGGGCCAACUAAGGCCCGAGAUAUGUUUUAGCCUGGUAAUGGCCCGUGACCUCACUGGGCCCAAAAAGGCCCGGUCUACAUUUCAGCCUGCUGAAGGCCCGUCGACGACUAGUGAAAAUUGAGGCCCAACAUGCAUAUCGGCCUGCUAAAGGCCCAUGGUUUCAUCUGGGACGUAACAGGCCAGUACAAUAUUCAGCCUGUUAAUGGCCCAACGCUACCUGGGCCAAACUAAGUGCUGGGUCCACAAAAGGCCCAACUAAAAUAUAGGCCGGUGUAAGUUGUGGGCCUGGCGCAAAGUGUGAAGGCCCCAAUCAUUCGGGCCCAAGAAAGACGCAGGCCGGCCCAAUUGUGGCCCGCUAAAAACCAGGCCCGUUAGAGUCGAAUGUUUCGGCCCGGUCGACUACAUCUGAUUUUUUUCAGAUAGCGAAUGAUGGCAGUAACUAGUAGGAAUUAACAACAAACCUACUCUAUACAAUAAAGAAAUUACGGCAUAGUAACUGAGAAUAAACCUACACUAUACAAUAGAGGAUUUAUGGUAUAUUACAUCCACUAGGCAUCGAAGUUCGCCACCAGUGAUCAUAAAGCGCAACGAAGAAGCAGAUUACAAAAACUUGGCACCAUUGCAGCGUAACAAAAUAAUACUGAACCGAGACCACUUCCAAGACAGUUCAAGAAAGGUUAACCUUGCGAGGGAACUGCUGCGCAAGCUGCUGAGCAAGGCUAUGAGACCGGCCUAGCAUGUUGGUCAUAGCUUCCAGGUGUAGCUGUUUAGCGAUGAGGUUCUCAUUGGUGUUCUCUGCAAUCUUUCUUAGAGAUAGGACUUCAAGUCGAAGUUGAGUUGCAUGCCUUUCUACUAGAACUUGGGACUGAAGAAGUCGAACUGAUUCAAACAAUGAAUUCUGUGAGCUUGUCUGACUGCUAGUCUUAAGUAACUUGAACACUGCAUCAAGACAAGACUUUGGGGUUGUCUCGCUAUCUUCAAGAUGUUUUGCCUUCUUUGCUGCAAUAUAUGUUGGGUUUGUCUCACAGCCUUCAGCAGACUUGUGCAUGCCAUCAGGCAUAUCACCCUGAAACAAAGCAGAUAGAUGACAGGUUUUGCACGUGUAUAAACAAAGAUGAUAACUGUGCUGUCAAUUCCAUCCAAUUUCAAAAUAGAAAAUAAAGAGUAAGUUCAAAAUAUCAAUAGCAUAAUUUGGCAUUGUUCAUAAUGUGGAGAGCUUCACCACACUACUGGAUUACCAUGUCAACAUAACUGGCAUAGAUGAAGGGCAAAGAAAAUCAUUGUAUCUAUUUUGGUUAAUGGGCAUGGCAUGUUGUUCAUAUCAUCAGCCACAUCAGUAAGAUAAAACAGGAGAUGACAAGGUGCAAACUUGGGCUGCUUCACCACACACUGGACUAUAGAUCCACAAAAACAAGCAUACAUAUAGGGAGUAUUGAGUAAUGUGCAUUGUAUGAUUAAGGAAUUUGGUUUUACAAGUAAAACUUAGAACUUACGGUUCUUGCGAACAUGCAUUUUGGUAGAAACAUCUAACUAAACAGCAGUAAACGAUAGGGAGUAUGAGCAAAUUAAACAGCAGUUGAGGAUAAAGGCUUUAGAAGGACUGACUUACAUUAACAAUUAACACAGGCUUUAUAAUGCCCUUCUCCAUGUCAAGGGAAGGAUAACUCAAGAAUUUCAGCACAUAAUCUUCUUCAUAAGCAUUGCCUGUACUCUACAUUUUGUAGAGAGUAAUUAUAGAUAUGAUAAUACUGGAAGGGAUAGAGGAUAAUGAAGAUAAGAUGCAGAUUGAUGCUACAUAAUCAACUACCAAUCCCUGGAACUACAAGCAUUACAGGACAAAAUGUACUGACAAGAGCAAUGGGCUACACUUCUGCACUAGCAUUGUCUGUGUAUUCUACUUGUUGGUAAGAUUAUAUAUAGAUCUGAUCUUUUUUAGUAAAUGGUGGGCGAGGGAGAUAAGAUGCAGAAUGCUACAUUAUGAACCAAUCCCUCUUCCCAUAAUACAAGAGUGUUUUGAACACUGGUGUACUGUACAAAACGUUCUUAUAUUAUGGGACGGAGGGAGUAGCUGUUAAUGUAAGUACAGUGAUAGACGACAUUCAGUUCUCACAAGAGGAGUGCAGAGCUAAACCUCUUCAAAAGGAUUGGGUUGAUUCUAAAUUUAUGUAAGAGUCCAUACGGAUCUUAUAAUGACCACCAAAUGGACGAUUACGAGGCUAACAUGUGCAGUGAUGCUACAUAAUCAAACAGCUAUGAAAGUAAGUAUGGUCAUACAGGGCAAGAGGUACUCACAAGAGCAAUGCAGUGUGCAGUAUAGUUGCGAGAUUCUGUGGUCCCUUGAGAACGAAUGUUCUUCUGCUAACAGUUUUCGUACAAGUGAGACAUUAAGGCAAAUGCAGAAAUGUAGUUCAAAUUGUGACGUGAUAUCAUAGACAGUACCUUAUGCUGCAGCCGAGACCAAUGUAUAACAAGAUUAUUCCAGUCACCGUCGGAUAAAUGUAGCACCGGAGACUUUACAGAAAUUUUGUUUAGAGGCUAGCCAUCGAAGUGCGCUUGCCUCAGGUAGGAACGAUACUUCAUCAACGAGUGCUUGAAAAAGCGCAACCAACCCUUGCUCGUCUUCACUAUCCAGUUUGCUCCUCGCCUAUUGAAAAGAAUGAAAUCUUGUGUCUUCUGUCAUCAGAAACAUAUGCAGUAAUGACCAUGAAUAACAUUAGUACAUUACUUACGCGUAAGUUGCGGAGGAAGACUAGAAAUUGUUCUGUGUCUGCGGUAUAAUCUUUCCUUGAAGGAAAGAUGCACACAAAGUUCCUGACAACAAUAUAAGCUUCAUCUUCUAAACUAGGAAGAAAUGGAACAGGGGUCCUAUUUGCUGCAAUUGGGGCUCUCUCUGGUUCGAAAAGGGAUUUGGCAACUAGAUUUGGUGUACUCUUUGCUGGAAUGGGGUUUUUGCGUCGUAGAGCUGGUGCUAUGUCAACUGGCAUAAUCAUAUUGUUUGCUGCAGUUGGGGUCUGCUGAGUUGGGGCAUCAGAAAUGACUAGUGUAGUAGGGCUAGAGUCUGCUAGAGUUGGGUGUUUUGUGGGUCAGGUGAUAUUGCAACUACACCAAAUGGGCUACUUGAUUUAUCAGGUGCCACUACCUUUUCCAAAUACUUUGCUUGUGCUCCUCCACGAUCAGCAAUCGCCCUCUUCCUUUUGAACGUGUGAUACACAAGAACAACAUUUGAAUGGAUAAAUAUGGUAUGAUGACAGAUGGAAUAUGUACUGAAAAUGGAUAGGCAGGGCGUAUGCACAUACACGAUGUGUAAAUUAAGCUAAUGGCAGUUCAACAAAGUAGAAGCAAUGCAAAGCAUCAGUUGCAAGAUAUGUGCGACCAAUGUAACCUUGGAAAGUUAGAGCAAGCACCUUGAUGGGUGAAUAAGAUAGGGCAUCUUUCUCUGACUCCUCCACUUGGGAGCUACAUUGAGUUAGGUCUCCCUCUAGCUCAGAAUCACUGUUAGGAUAAUAUUCUGAGCAUGAAUCUAUAGGUGGAGAGCGUUUGCAUUGCAUUGCAUCCAGACUUUAUUUCAGUCCCUUAAUGCCAAGUUUGACAGCCAUGGCAUUGUUCUGCUUUAUUCUUUUCUUGCGCGCAAGCUCAUAAUCAUUAUGAUGUUGUUCAGAAUCUAAGAUUCAUGAAAACAAAAAAGUAGUCAGAUUAUCUAUGGAAUGCAUUGCGGAUUCAACUCGAAGAGUGUCUCCCUAUAAACCCCUGCAUAUGCAAAGUUUACACCCCAACCGUGUUGUCCAGACCACACACAGAAUUAGAAACCCCUUAUGUCUCUAUAACAGGCAGACACACAUUUCAAAACUGAAGUAGGAACAUUAGAAUCAUAUGAAAUUUGUAUUUGAACAAGUAAACUAAGGAAUUAUGAGUGGCAUAAUGUUUAGCUUCAAGGGUGGAGUGUUGGUAGUGCGACACAAAGCAAGUAGGCAGAUUGUAUUCCAUGUAAAAGAUCGAAACGUAUGUAAAAGCUGGAAAUGACACUUUCUUUCUAUACAAUGCAGUGUUCAUUGCCCACACAUGAUGGAAGAGAUCACAUAGAGAAAUACUAUUCACUCAUGUCUACGGUUCCAAUAUUUAGAAACAGGGUGGUCCACCCUAAAAGAAUAUUGACAACAAAUAUGACAAGGCAAGCAUAGAUGUAGUGAACCAGUCAUUUACUUGCGAGCUUACUAGGACAAGUAUGCAGAAUUGUAACAGCAGUAAUAGACCAUCCAAAAUCUGAAUCAAGAAGUUUGUCUAGCACUUAUUGUUUGCAACUAAUCGACGUGAAUAAUUGGGUAUUAUAUCGAAUGAGUAAGAAAGACAAGUAAAAUUGUCAACAAACCUGGCUUGCAGUAGUAAUCUGGGUCAAUGUCACUACGACCAACAAUCCAAAAUGACUAGUGUCUGUUCCGAGGGCCGGAAUUUUGAAAACCCUGUGAACUUUAGAGGUACUAAAGAUUACCGAAAUACAUCUGAACCAUUAAGUGUAGGUAGCACUGAGAACACAACAAACCCUAAUGACAGUCCUGCCUAAUGAGUAAUGAAUCAAUUAGCAAAUGGGUGAUGAGGAGUGGUUGCUGAGUGUUGAGGACGUAUCUCAGGAUAAAUCGGGUUAGCUUGGUGGGUGCUGCACGCCUGAGCCCUGAACGGACUGGGAAGGUAGGCACGGAGGCGCGCCUGGGCAGCGGUGACGCUGUUGGGCGAGCGGCUCCUGACCUCCUGUUAGUCCGGCGUCUCCUCCAAGAGUCAUGCCGUCCGGGGACGGCAAGUCGCCGGCGAGGCAGGCGGCUGGGGGCGAGUAGAGAUCAGAAGCGCGCAGUAGAACAGAGGAGAAUUGGGGCCUGGGACGACCCAAAAUCCCAGGGUGGGCCUGCCCAUCGUGGGCACCCUAUAGAGAUACACACCCGAGCGUCGAACAUGCAUUUUCGAAACUAAUUUAGGAACAUAUAGCUAACCAAUUAAACGACUCUGUUUUAAUAAUAUCAGAUUCGUAUUUGAACAACUAAGCUUGUUUAGCUUGAUGGGUGGAGCAGUGCUAUUAUGACACGAAGCAUGUCGGGGGGAUGAACCCCGGGCAGGCAACGGAACCCGGAUCCUUUUCAAAAACAACGGGGCCGGCGUCGCCCCUCAAGCCGACACGCGCUUGGCCGGGUCGCUCAACCCGGCCAAACCCCGCAACCCGGACAAACUCUCUGACCCGGCCAAGUACCUCGACUCAGCCUCAAUUACUAGUACAAGAUAGCCGAACCCGGCGCGACCAAGGCUUCCUCAACAAGCCAGCUCCACCGUGGCGUGCUCCGCAACCCAGCCACGGGUUAGCUCCCGUCCCAUCCAGGUCGUACAAUGGGACGAGUCUUCAGCCACUGAUGACCAAGGCAAUAGUGCCCCGCCCAUGCCUCUGGUCAGCCGGAGCGUGGCAACAGUGCCCCUCACCUACCCGCUGACCAGGGCCGGCGUGGCUACAGUGCCCCCGCCAUCACCGCUGACAACAGCAAGCGGCGAACUGACGGAGCGCCACUGUACAUGACUCGACUCGGCCAGGCCCCGACGAUCGCAAGACGGCGCACAGUCCCCCUAGGCACGCGGGGCCCGCACCUAGGGGAGCCCGGCGAACCACAGGCCCCCAGCAGGUCCAAGUCCGGGUCCCCAGACGCCGACGACCCGAACCCACCAACUUGUAACAUUACCAUUGUAACCCUGGGGGGUUGGCCUAUAAAACCCCCCAGGAGCCCACGCAUACACGAGGAGGACACAACAGAACAAGUAGAAGGUAAUGCACGUAGAGAAGUAAGCAAGCAGGAAAGCAUAGAAGAACUAGCUACCAAGCAGUAGCAUCCACCCGGGGAGAAGGAGCAGCCAUAGCCUUGGCCAGCCUUCUUUCUUCCUCCAUAUAGCUCUAGGAGCAACCUUGCACUAUCGCACAUCAAACUACACUCGGCAAGACUAGGGGUGUUAUCUCUCCGGAGAGCCCCGGACCUGGGUAUGUCUUGCGUCCCGCGCUUGCUCAUGCCAACCCCACCUCUGGAGCCCACCAGUGCCCUCGAGCCUCCUCCUAUCUUUAGCCAUCCCAUGGCAUCUGCCGUGGACCCACCACGACAGUUGGCGCCCACCGUGGGGCAGCUCGAGGAGCUGGCCGGGAGCAUGCUUCAGACGGGUCCCUUCUCCUACUUCGACGAGUCCGUCAUGCUGGCGGACGGCGUCGUCGAUGCACUCGCCGCCUCCUUCGCCGCGCUGCGCAUCUCUGAUGCGCCCGCGGCCAACGAGUACCCCAGCAAGGUACUUAGCUACUCCGAUUCCCCUCUCUCCCUCGGCGGUGGCAUUUCCGCUGGGGCAAUGGAUGUCCACGUGGAAGUCUUCCUCACUUGUGACGGCACCUCCUCCUCGUCGAGCAAGACAAGGAAGGCUGCCGAAGCCAAGGCCGUAGCGGAACGGACCGAGACGUCCAAUCCAUUGCGCACCGUGAUGCAGAGCCUCCGCGUCCCCAUCGGCACCGACAUCAACGCCACCAACGUCGCUGAGGCCCGAGCCCAGCUCGAGGAAAGGCGCUAGCAGAUGCUGGACCUGUCCGAGACGCUCGCCGCCACCCAGCGUUGCCUGGAUUCCGCUCAGCUGGAGCGCAAUGCCGCCUACAGAUUCACGACCGCCCCGGCCGAGCCGAGCCGGGUCGCCGACGUGCGCGCCUGGGGAGGAGCGAUCGGUCGGGCCCUCGGCGCCGUCCCAACCCUCUACGAGACCCCAGCGAAGAACAUGCACCCUGCCCAGGCAGCAGCAGUCGACCUGGAUCAGCUCACGGGCAAAGAACUGCAGGAGCGCAUCGGGCGGAUGCGCGACCUCCUCAACGCGGCCAACGCCAAGCAGGACCGCCUCAACCAGCUCGCCAGGCCGGUGGGAUCCGGCACCGCCCGCACCGGUGGGCUCGGCGAAGUUUAGCACACGGGCGCACUCUGGCCGAACCCGGACUCGGCGCGACCCGGCCGCCACGGCCGCCAGAGGUUUGGGCGACGAGCUCGUCCCGGAGAUCCAGCGCGGACCCGGCCAGCAUGGCCGGCGUCCGGCUCCAACCGACCCGGCCGCCCGUGGCCUGGCCGCCGGUCGACUCGGCCCACGUGCCCUCGACGACACCGACGCUCGCCACCGCCUUGACCAGCUCGCUCACUUCCUGGAGGUGGAAGAAAGCGGCGCUAUCGGGCCGGCGUGCUUCGGCCCGCGCAUCCGGGAAGAGCCCUUUCCCAAAGGGCUCAUGCUUCCCCGCGACACCCCCAAGUACAAUGGGACGGUGAAGCCAGAAGAUUGGCUCACCGACUACACCACCGCCAUUGGCAUCACCGGUGCCAAUCGCCGACUCGCCGUGCGCUACGCACCAGUCAUGCUCCAAGGGUCGGCCCGCACCUGGUUGAACAGUCUGCUGAUGGGCAGCGUCAACAUGUGGGUCGAUUUCGAGCAAGCCUUCGUCCGCAACUUCACGCAGACCUACAAGCGACCCGGCCGUCCUAGCCAGCUCGCCAUGUGCGUGCAAGGGCCUACGGAGACCGGUCGCGAAUACCUCGCACGCUGGACCGAGCUCCGGAACAGCUGCGAGGGCGUCCAUCAAGUCCAAGCAAUCCAGUACUUCGUCAACGCGUGCCGAGACGACACACUCCUCGAGCACAAGCUCUUGCGCUCCGAGCCGGCCACCAUGGCCACGCUCAUGGUGACGGCGGACAAGUACGCCAACGCCGACUCCGCCAUGAAGAUCCAGGUGGCACUGGAUGAAGCCAGUAAGGCAAAAACGGUUCCCCCUCCGAAGCCGGCCAGCGAAAGCAGCCGGCAGCAGCACCACCAGAACAACAAGCGCAAGGCCGACCAGCCGGCACAGCGCUACGACAAUUGGCUUGUCGCAGCCGCCGAGCCCGCGGCGGACCCGGCAGCCAAGCGCUGGCAGCCCGGCAAGACGGCGUGGCAACCCGCCAUGAGCUUCGAAGAGAUGCUCGACGCCCCCUACAAGCACCACAGCGGCGCGAGGCCAUCCACGGACACGCUUCGGCAGUGCGGCAUCACCAAGCGCAUCAUGAGGGGCGACGUCCCGGCUCCUCCGGCUCCGGCCCCAGGCGCGGGGCAGCCGCCUCCGCCUCCACCACCGCCUCCAGCCGGCGGCGCAAUGCAUGACGACGCCUACCCGGACCAGAAUGCGGCCUACAUCGUCUUCACCAGCCUCGGCAAUGACAAGCGCAACGAGCGCCUCCUUCGGCAGGAGGUGAACACCGUCGUCCUGGCCAAACCAGAGUUCAUGCACUGGUCGGACCGCCCGGUCACCUGGACCCGGGAGAACCACCCGGCAGUCAUGCCGAAUCCGGGUGGCUACGCCCUCGUCCUCAACCCCACCAUCGUCGCAUGGCGCACGUGCAAGUUAUCCCGAGUCCUCAUCGACGGUGGCAGCAGCAUCAACAUCCUCUACCUCGACACGAUGACCAAACUCGGCCUCAAGGCUGAGGACCUGGAACCAACCCAGACGAUCUUCCAUGGCAUCGUACCCGGCCUCUCCUGCUCUCCCAUUGGCCGGGUCCGGCUCGACAUCCUGUUCGGCGACAGCAGCCAUUUCCGGCGCGAACCAAUAUGGUUCGAGGUGGUGGACCUGUCCAGCGCAUACCACAUGUUCCUGGGCCGACCCGCGCUCGCCAAAUUCAUGGCGGUCCCCCACUACGCGUAUCUAAAGAUGAAGAUGCCGGGUCCGACGGGCCUCAUCACCAUUACCGGCGACUACCGCAAGUCCUGAGUGUGCCCGAGACGGUGCCAAGCUGGCCGAGUCACUGGUCAUUGCCGAGGAGCGGAUCCAGCUCGACCGGAUCGUCGCCAUGGCGGGCGUGGCCUCGGCCGCGUCGAUCCCAACCGGGGACCCGGCCGACGAAGCCGCCUUCAAGCCCUCCUAGGAGACCACGAAAGUGAAGCUGAACCCGGAAGACCCCAGCUGCAGCAAGUACGUUGUCGUAGGCGCCCGCCUCGACAGCAAAUAGGAAGGCGAGCUCGUUGACUUCCUCCAUGAGAAUCGGGAUAUCUUUGCAUGGACCCCCAAGGACAUGUUGGGUAUCCCGAGGAAGUACACCGAGCACAAACUCCACGCACAAAAGGAUGCUAAGCCUGUCCGUCAACCCCUGCGACGUUUUUCCGAAGAGAAGAGAAGAACCAUCGGUGAAGAGGUCACCAAGCUUUUGGCGGCCAGCUUCAUCAUGGAAGUGUUUCACCCCGAGUGGCUGGCCAAUCCAGUCCUCGUCCUAAAGAAGAAUGAGACCUGGCGCAUGUGUAUCGACUACACCAGCCUCAACAAGGCCUGUCCCAAGGAUCCGUUCACCCUCCCGCGGAUCGACCAAGUCAUCGACUCGACCGCCGGGUGCGAGCUCCUGUCCUUCCUGGACGCUUACUCCGGCUACCACCAAAUCAAGCUGGACCCGGCCGAUGCCCUGAAGACGUCCUUCAUCAUGCCCUUUGGGGCGUAUUGCUACAUCACCAUGUCGUUCGGCCUGAAGAAUGCCGGCGCCACCUUCCAACGCUGCAUGCAGAAAUGCCGGCUGCUGCAACUCGGCCGCAAUAUCCACGUUGACGUGGACGACAUCAUGGUGAAGACCAAGCAGCACCUCACGCUCCUCGACGACUUGAAGGAAACAUUCGCCAACCUCCGCGAAUACAAGGUCAAGCUUAACCCGGAAAAAUGCGUUUUUGGCAUCCCGGCCGGAAAGCUACUCGGCUUCCUCGUCUCGGAACGCGGCAUUGAGGCGAACCCGGAGAAGAUCAAGGCCAUCGAGCGCAUACGCAAGCCGGCUCGGCUACGCGAUGUCCAGAAGUUCACCGGCUGCUUGGCCUCGGUCAGCCGGUUUCUAAGCCGGCUGGGCGAGAGGGCGCUCCCCCUAUACCAGGUGAUGAAGAAGACGAAGUCGUUCGAAUGGAACGACCAGGCAGACGAGGCCUUCCGGGACCUCAAGCGCAUGCUCUCCACUGCACGAGUCCUGGCCGCGCCGUCCGACAAGGAGCCGCUGUUGCUCUACAUAGCCCCGACCUCACGGGCGGUCAGCACGGUGCUGGUGGUCGAGCGACCAGAGAAGGCCAAGAUCCAAGCCAUCGAGCGCCAGGUCUACUACCUGAGCGAGGUGCUCUCCAACUCCAAGCAGAACUACCCGCACUACCAGAAGAUGUGUUACGGUGUGUACUUUACCGCCAAGAAGCUGAAGCAGUACUUCCAAGAGCACGUCAUCACUGUGGUCAGCACGGCUCCGAUCGGAGAAAUCAUCGGGUGCCGGGAUGCCUCUGGCCGGGUCGCCAAAUGGGCGCUCCAGCUGGCCGGCCACACCAUCCUCUACGAGCCCCGCACCAUGAUCAAGUCUCAGGCCCUGGCCGAUUUCCUCGUCGACUGGACCGAGACCCGGUACCUACCGCCGACCCCCGACUCGACGCACUGGCGCAUGCAUUUCGACGGGUCCAAGAUGCGACUCGGCCUAGGGGUCGGCAUUGUGCUAUCGUCCCCAAAGGGCGACCGACUCCGCAACGCACUCCAGAUCCACUUCGCCGCCUCCAACAACAUCGCCGAAUACGAAGCCCUUGUGCACGGCCUCCGGCUUGCCAAGGAACUCGGCAUCCAGCGCAUACUGUGCUACGGCGACUCGGACCUGGUGGUGCAGCAGUGCUCCGGCGAGUGGGACGCCCGCGACUCCAACAUGGCAAGCUACCGCUUCUUCGUCCAGAAGUUGUCCGGGUUCUUCGAGGGUUGCGAGUUCCUCCACGUUCCGCGCGCGGAGAACGAAGCGGCCGACACGCUCGCCAAAAUCGCCUCGUCCUGACAGUCCAUCCCGUCUGGCGUCUCCCUUGAGCACCUGCACAAGCCAUCCGUCAAGCCGUCGCCGGACUCCGAGUCCAUCGACGUUCCAGAUGACCCGGCUGCAUCUCAACCGGCCCGGGGACUGCUGAACCCUGCCCGGGGGCUGCCGGACCCGGCCCAGGGGCUGCUCAGCUCGACCUGGCCACCGUCGCCCCAGACCCGACCGUCGCCAUCCCCGACCCGGGGGCUGCUCAACUUGGCUCGGGGGCAGCCAACCCGGAUCCCGCCCCGGUGGCCGUCUACGCCGUGGUAACGGCUCCGUCUUGGGCCCUGCCAAUAUCAGAAUUCCUGGAGAACGGGGUUCUUCCCAUGGAUGAGACCGAGGCCCGGCAAGUGCAGCGCCGGGCAUCCGCCUACAGCAUCAUCAACAACGAGCUCGUCAUGCGCAGCUCCACCGGUGUCAUCCAGCGCUGCGUCGAGCAGGAGCAGGGCGUCGACAUCCUCCUCGACAUACACCAGGGCGAAUGCGGGCACCACGCCGCGUCGCGAUCCCUGGUGGCCAAGGCUUUCCGCCAUGGUUUCUACUGGCCCACAGCCCUCCAAGACACUGAGUCCCUCGUUCUCAAGUGUGAGGGGUGCCAGCGCUUUAGCAAACACAGCCACCAGCCGGCGUCAGCACUCCGCACCAUUCCGAUCGCCUAGCCCUUCGCGAUCUGGGGACUCGACAUGGUGGGACCCUUCAAAACCGCCAGAGGCAGCAUGACGCAUCUACUAGUGGUGGUGGACAAGUUCACCAAGGGGAUCGAAGCACGGCCAAUCAAGAAACUGGACGGGCCAACAGCCGUCCGGUUCAUCAACGACAUCGCAGUUCGCUACGGCAUGCCGAAGAGCAUCAUCACGGACAACGGCACCAACUUCGCCAAGGGCGCGCUCGAGCAAUACUGCUCCGUCUCCAGCAUCCGCCUCGAUCUGGCCUCCGUUGCACACCCGCAGUCCAACGGGCAGGUCGAGCGGGCCAACGGACUCAUCCUGUCCGGCAUCAAGCCGCGACUCGUCGAGCCACUCAUCCGCUCACCCGGUAGCUGGCUCGACGAGUUGCCGGGCGUUCUCUGGAGUCUCCGAACCACGCCGAAUCGGUCCACCGGGUUCACCCCGUUCUUCCUCAUCUAUGGAGCCGAAGCCAUCAUUCCGACUGACGUCGAGUUCGACACGCCGCGUGUCGUGAUGUACACCGAAGCCGAAGCCAGAGAAGCCCGCGAAGAUGGCGUCGACCUACUCUAAGAAGCCCGCCUCCUGGCGCUCAGCCAUUCGGCCAUCUACCAGCAAGGCCUGAGGCACUACCACAGCAAGAAGAUCAAGCCCCUCGCAUUCCGCGAGGGCGACCUCGUCCUCCAACUCAUCCAAGAGCAAGCCGGCCAGCACAAGCUGUCCCCUCCAUGGGAGGGCCCAUUCAUCGUGAGCAGGGCCUUGCGCGAUCGCAACGCCUACUACCUCAUUGACGCACGCAAGUCAAACAAGCGCAAGAGAGACACCGCCGGCGAAGAAACGACACGGUUGUGGAACACGGAACUCCUCCGCCCGUUUUACAGUUAGCCGCAUGAGUGUAUGUAUCGUCGCCUUUUGUAAACGCAUGAAACUAUGGGGUCCCCGAAUGAGACUCGGGGGCUGCCUUUUGUCGACCAACUUAUUGUGUCCCUACUUUUUUAGCAUCACUAUGCUCCUGAACCCGGCCGCCGGUCCGACUCGCUUGACCCGGGGGCUCGAGGGCUUGCCAGCUUGAUCGCCACCCCGCCGCCUUACUUGGUGAUUCCUGAUGCAGUAAGGUCGCCGUGGUGGCACACUUCGCCCUAAGCCACAGACCCGGCUUCGUCUGUCGGCUGGCAAGCACAACAGACCAGAGCCCCUUCACGCUUCAAACGCCAAGUCAAAGGCUGCCGGGUCGACCAACCCGGCCCGUCGCUCCAAAAAAUAAAAAGUAAACAGCCGCACGACCGGCUGCUCGCCAACUGGCUCCGCCGGCUUGCCGCCAGCCGACCCAGUGGGUGUUUCGCUCGCGCUCAACAUUUUGAGAAGCCCAAAGUACUACGCGCUUCUCUCAAAGAACCGAACUCCUUGUCACAGACCAGAGCCUCGGCUGUCUANNNNNNNNNNNNNNNNNNNNNNNNNNNNNNNNNNNNNNNNNNNNNNNNNNNNNNNNNNNNNNNNNNNNNNNNNNNNNNNNNNNNNNNNNNNNNNNNNNNNNNNNNNNNNNNNNNNNNNNNNNNNNNNNNNNNNNNNNNNNNNNNNNNNNNNNNNNNNNNNNNNNNNNNNNNNNNNNNNNNNNNNNNNNNNNNNNNNNNNNNNNNNNNNNNNNNNNNNNNNNNNNNNNNNNNNNNNNNNNNNNNNNNNNNNNNNNNNNNNNNNNNNNNNNNNNNNNNNNNNNNNNNNNNNNNNNNNNNNNNNNNNNNNNNNNNNNNNNNNNNNNNNNNNNNNNNNNNNNNNNNNNNNNNNAGAAAGGAGAAGCGCAAGAAAUCGGUUCAAAAACGAAAAGCAAGAGUAAAAACAUUCACGACAUACACACAUAAAUAUUUAAAGGCCCACGACCCGAGUUCAUUACACCCAGAACCCCCAGUGGGUGGGUGGACUUGCUACCUAACAAAUCUUACUAAGACGUCUCAAGCAUCUCCAGCGCCGCGUCGCGACAUCGACGGCUCUCCCCUGGCGGCCUCCGGGCCCAGCAAGGUACCGGUGUCCUCCUCAGCACCCCGUCGCGGUAGACGCCCGUCUCCUCGGAGCUCCCCUCCAGGUCAUGAAGAAGCAGGCCGUAGUCGUUGCAGGCCACGACCCCGCCGUCCUCCGUCCGCUCGAGGUGCAACUCGUCAUGGAAGGCGAACUCGGCGAUAUAGCUGGCCCGGGAAGCAAUCCGGCCGGCUUGCUCCUGCAACAGCUGCUUCGAGCCGGCCCGCUGGCCCAUCAGCGCAUCCAGCUGCAGGUCCGGAUGCCAAGACAGUGCAAACCGGAGCGCCAUUUUAGCACCAGCACGAGCGGCGGAGACGCGCCACUCGUGAAGCCGGUCCGGCCCCAUCUCCAGCCAACGCGCCAGCCGCAUGAAACUGUUCGGCUCGACGGAGCCCGGCCAAAGGGCUGUCGUCAUUGCCGUGCCGGACUGGGACUGCCGCCCCAGCUAGUCUCCCAAGACCCGCAGGCGGGCCUCAGCGGCGGUCAUAAUUUCCGGGAAGGUCCACACCACCUGCGGGUCCGUCCUGGACCCGACGACUCCCGUCGGGUCACGCUGAAAGCGGACGGCUUCCUCCGCUAGCCCAUGCGUCUCCGGGAAGGCCCCUGCUAGAAAGCGAGGCAUGUCAGGAAAAAGGACAACAAGGACAAAAAGCCGGCAGAAAGCAAGAAAAGCACUUACUUGAGAAGGACUCUUCCAGGUGCUGCGCUUCGAGCAACGUACCGCGCCGCUCCUGCUCAAUGGCGCGGUCGCGCUCCCGUAGCGCCUUCUCCAGGUCGGCCGCAUUGGCAAGGGCCGCCUUCAACUCGGCGUCCUUAUUAGAGGCCACCUUCUCGGCCGCCUCGCGACGGCGGGCCUCAUCCUGACGGGCCCCCUCUGCCGUAGCAGCCUGCUCCCUCAGGCGCUCCACUUCGGCCUGGAGCCGGCCCUUGUCAUCGGCCAGCCUGCCACACCACUGGUCCGCCUCGACCAGGGCCUACAGCGUCUCCACCACCUUGGCGGCCUCCGCCCUAAGGAGCUCCACCUCGGCCUCGAGGCGGCUCUUAUGACCCGCCAGCUGCUCCCGCAGCUAGUUGGCCUCGUCAAGCGACCGCCUGGCUGCUGCCGCCUCCGCCCUCGCCUGCGCCACCUCGGCGCCAAGGUGGCCGGUGUCAGCGACAAGCCGGUCAUAGUGAUGACCAGCCCGGAGCAGCCGGGUCUGUCAGGACAUCACCUCGGCUGCAAAAAGGAAGACUCAGGAAAGGAAAAGCAAGACUUAAGAUUUGGCCCAACUGUUACACAGUUGGCCCGAAUCUCGGGGGCUACACCCAGUGGGUGCGCUAGCGCGCCCCCACUAGAAAAUAGCAUGAAGAUACCUGCGGCAACGCGGAGCUCCUCCUCCUUGGCGGCGAGGUGCUCCUUGAGCUCCCGGUAUUUGCCCAGGAGGCGGUUGAAGGCGCCGACCCGGUAGGCGUCGACUUGCUGAAGAAAGCAGUGAUCAGAACAAGGACGACAUUCUAAAGAUUCGACCCAACUACUACAUAGUUGGCCCGAACCUCGGGGGCUACACCCAGUGGGUGCGCUGGCGCGCCCCCACAAAGAAGAAAUUGCAGAAGAAGCUUACCAAAACGGCCCGCGUCCGUUCCACCUCGGCCUGGACGAAGGCCUCGAGCCGGUCCGUCCGGCCACACAGACAGCGGCUGACGGCGUCCAUCGCCGCCUCCUCCUGGGUCUGAGGUCCGAAGACCACGGCGCUCCCGCUCCGCGCCGGCUGCGGCGCGGCGACCCUACGCCCUCCCUGCCGGGGCGCUAGAGCAUGCUCCCCACUGGCCGCUCCCCACGCGCUCCAGCACCUCCGCCGAGCGCCGUCGACGACCCAGAUGCCGGGACGCCCUGCGUCGCCACCACCGGUCCAGACGCCAUGGCAGCCUGCUGCGCCACCACCGGCCCAGCUGCCGGGGUGGCCUGCGGCACCUCCACCCGCGGCGCCUCCUCCAAGACGGCGCCACCGCCGCCUCCGUCGGCCCCCGCACGCUCGGCGGCAUCGACCCGCGGCGGGCUGUCGUCCUCCACCUCCACGACCUCCUGGUCGAGGAUCACCACCUCAGCCCGGCCUCCACGGUCGUGCUCCCCCACCGACGACGGCUCGAAGACCAUCGCCGCCACCACCGAGCCCUCCGGUAUUUCUCGCCAUGCCGGCUCCAUGCCGGCUCACGCCCACGCUGCCGCAGCGUCGGUACAAGCCCGGACCGACGCUGCCUCCAACUCCGCCUCGGCCCUGUUCCUGUCCCGCCACGCCAGGCCCUCGGCGCCGGUCGGAUCCAGGCCGAGGUCUGGGUCGGCCCGCUCCUCCACCUCGACCUGAUCGACGGGGUCGGACCGGCUCCUGUGGAACGCGGCCUCCUCGGCGGCCGCGGCAUCCGCCGCCGCCCUCGCCAGCGCGAUCGGUGACCUGAAGAAGAACACAGAAUGAGCGAAAGCAAAUCCAGCUCGACCGUUCGGACACGCACAGGAGAAGAAACUUAGCCUGUCAAGACCGGCCGGGGGCCGGCCUCCCGUGCCCGGCGCCGCGCUUCCUCUUGGCCGGCCUCCCGCUUCCGGCCGGGUCUGCCGCGCGCUUCGGGGCCCAGGGCCGCGGCGCGACGCUGUCCUUCCCAUGCGGGCGGCUCGGCGCCGUCCCACGUGACGACCUGGCUCUGCCCGCGUUGCUGCCUCCCCCGCCCAGCGCCACUACACCAACAACGGGCGUCAGCAUCGCCCGCACCGUGUCGCGAUCAGCAAUUCGAGAAACACUAAGGAAAAGACAAGACUUACACACGCGACGCCCAGCGCCGGCGUCGACCUCGGCCUCCUCCUCCCCGCCGUGGGCCGCGGGCUCCUCCGACGCCACCCGCACCACCUGCGACGGAGCCCGGGCGUAAGGUGGCCGGACGGCAUUCAGAAGCACCUCCCGCGUCGCGUCAGGGCGAACAAGGAGAUGCGUGGCAGCAAAGUAAGGAGACCAAACACUCACCAGUGGCGCCGGAUUUGACUCGCUGGACGGCACCUUGCCGAACCGCCAGUCCUCCCCAAGGUUGGCCUUGGAGAUGUCUUUCACUCGACGCGCCAUCUUCUCCGCCGUCAGGCGCGCCGAUCCCAUGCGAUUGGGAUCUUGAAGACCGGCCAUCUCGCCGAUGAGGCAGGAGCGCCUCUGCAGCGGGAGAACCUGGUGCAUAAUGAACGCGGCAAUGAGGUCGUUGCCAGUGAGCCCCUCCCGCGUCCUCAUCACUACCACCCGCUCGCAGAGAUUGAGAAUCUCCUGCGACGGGCGCCUGGGGGAGUAGCCCCAGUUCAUCUUCGCCCGCGGCGGCUCGAUGGCGAAGGCCGGAAGAUUGAUACAGUCCGCACCCAAGUUGCGGACGUAGAAGAUGGAAUUCUGCCAUUUCUUGGCAGAAUCCUCCAGCGGAAUCUUGGGGCAGUCCGCGCCCGACCGCUUCGAGAUAACGGCGGCGCCGCAGUCGGCGAACUCCCCGGCCGUCGGUCCCUGCUGCUUCAGGGAGAGGAAGUGCGCCUAGAGGUCGAUCAUAGGCUCGACCCCUAGAUACCCCUCGUAGAGGGUGACGAUGCCCGAAAGCUGGACGACGGCGCCAGCGCCGAGAUGGUGAGGCUGGAGCCCGAAGAACUCCAGGAACGUGCGCAAGAAGGUGCUCGCCGGCAACCCAAAUCCACGCUCGAAAUGCGCGAGGAAGACCACGCGCUCCAACCCGUGGGGCUGUGGCCUCUGCUCGCCGCGCGGUAGGCGGACGGCGACGUCCGUCUCCCGCGACAAGCGUCGGGACGCGUGAAGACGGGCGAUGUCCUCAACGGUGACGUUCGAGCCCAUCCAAGAGCCCGACGGCAGCGCCAUCAAUGAAAGCAAGAGAGGAAGAAAGAAGACGGACGAUGGCAAGGUUCUGCUCGAAGCAACGGGCGUCGCAGUGCGGCUGUCGCGAGAAGCAGAGCAAGACCGAAGGAGCAGGAGGGCGCGGGCGAGAAUGAUGUCCGCCGCCCCCCUUGCUCCCAAUUUAUAACCUUCGGUUUGAACGUGGGGGAGUGGGAUCGUCUGCGCUCACCCUUCCCACUACCCCGCAAUAAGUGCGCACGUGCGCACGCAAUAACUGCCUGGGGAAGAGCAACCGGCCCCCGGACGCCACGAUAAAUCGGCACGCGUGGGCCAAGCGAGCGCGGCAGCGGGCCCCAGCCCGUCGCCCAGUCCCGUCACGCGCGUGGCCUGUCAGGCUCCUCCGACUUCCGGGAACCACGUGGCGCCCGCGCGAAGCCCGAGGGAUUGCCCCAAGAUUCGAUGGACUCCUCGGUUCCCACCACCACCGGGAUGCUGCGAUCCGGUUUCCGAGAAAACCGGCACACAGUGGGUGUUGUCGGAACCGGCGCUCGUAGAAUUCACCUUGCUUAAGGGGGAAACUGCGAAGGCCCACUCAUCCGAAGGCGGCAGACCUUCACAGCUUCGGGGACCACUGUCGGGGGGAUGAACCCCGGGCAGGCAACGGAACCCGGAUCCUUUUCAAAAACCACGGGGCUGGCGUCGCCCCUCAAGCCGGCACGCGCUUGGCUGGGUCGCUCGACCCGGCCAAACCCCGCAACCCGGACAAACUCUCCGACCCGGCCAAGUACCUCGACUCGGCCUCAACAACUAGUACAAGACAGCCGAACCCGGCGCGACCAAGGCUUCCUCAACAAGGCAGCUCCACCCGUGGCAUGCUCCGCAACCCAGCCAUGGGUCAGCUCCCGUCCCAUCCAGGCCGUACGAUGGGAUGAGUCUUCAGCCACUGAUGACCAAGGCAACAGUGCCCCGCCCAUGCCUCUGGUCAGCCGGAGCGUGGCAACAGUGCCCCUCACCUACCCGCUGACCAGGGCUGGCGUGGCUACAGUGCCCCGCCAUCACCGUUGACAACAGCAAGCGGCGACCUGACGGAGCGCCACUGUACAUGACUCGACUCGGCCAUGCCCUAACGAUCAACAAGACGACGCACAGUCCCCCUAGGCACGCGGGGCCCGCACCUAGGGGAACCCGGCGAACCACAGGACCCCAGCGGGUCCUAGUCCGGGUCCCCAGACGCCGACGACCCGGACCUACCAACUUGUAACAUUACCAUUGUAACCCUGGGGGGUUGGCCUAUAAAACCCUCCAGGAGCCCACGCAUACACGAGGAGGACACACCAGAACAAGUAGAAGGUAACGCACGUAGAGAAGUAAGCAAGCAGGAAAGCAUAGAGGAACUAGCUACCAAGCAGUAGCAUCCACCCGGGAAGAUGGAGCAGCCUAAGCCUUGGCCAGCCUUCCUUCUUCCUCCAUACAGCUCUAGGAGCAACCUUGCACUAUCGCACAUCAAACCACACUCGGCAGGACUAGGGGUGUUAUCUCUCCGGAAAGCCCCGAACCUGGGUAUGUCUUGCAUCCCGCGCUCGCUCAUGCCAAGCCCGCCUCUGGAGCCCACCAGUGCCCUCGAGCCUCCUCCUCUCUUUAGCCAUCCCAUGGCAUCUGCCGUGCACCCACCACGACAAAGCACGUAUUCUGAUCGUAUAGUGAUCAUAAAAGGGGGAACUCUAAGCAUAUUUUUUAUCAAAAGAGGGUUUCCCCUCCGAUUUCUAUUAAAGAAACCACCACAGAACCAACAUGAUCAAUUAAACCCUAAGCAUGAUCAAUUAAACCGUAUUAUGACUGUGCCAUGGCAGAUUUGUGACACCCAAAAUUUUUGACCUUGUUUUAUUUAUUAAAAUGUUGCCAGGAAAUAAAACUUUUCCAUUUUGUCAAGAUUUACCCUUUGUGGUUUUGGAUUUUUGCCUCUAGUGGAAAAAAAACUUCAAAGAGUAUUGUUGGACUUGAAUACUCUCUUUAAUAAAAAAAUUCUUUAUCAGUGGAUUUAUUGCAAGAUUUGUUUUCCCAGAGCUUUAUUCUUUUAAAAUGAUUUCUUUUGAAUUUGGAGCAUGUUUUGCACUACAACCAUUUGACAAAUGCAUUUAAAAUUUCCACCAAAAUUUGGGGAUGUCAUGUGAUGUUUCCACAUCACUUUUAUGCAAAAAUACCUUUUGGCCAUUGGAGAUUUUGAGCUCUACACCAACUUUUCCAAUCUGGUCCAGUAGGCACUUUUGCACUACAACCCAUUUAAAUAUUUCUUCAAAAAUUCUUCCAAGUGUUUGGAGAUGUCAUUGGAUGCAUACAAUUCAACUCUAUGCAAAAACCCAGUGAUGUUCUUUGAAAAAUUUGAGUGAAUCAACCUCUUUUUCAUUCUGGCCCAGUUUGGUGAUUUGAACUGCAACUCUAUUUUAUUUUGCUCUGGUGCCCAUGACCCUUUUUCCUACUUGUAGCCCUCCCUUCAAAACCCUUAAGUCCAGAAGAGUGGACUCAUUGGAGGUUUUGAAGUGCAUGCAAUAAACCCUUUUUCUUUCUGUCCAAAACUGGAGUUUUGCAAAACCUACACUAACAAGUUUCUGGUUUUGCCCAUAUGAUCUUGCCUUCAUCAUCCACACCUAAAGAGACCCUGAUCUGGAGAUUUUGGCCACUCCAAGAGUUGCCUAAGUACACUUGGCAUUCUGUCGAACACUUGGUGUGCACAGUCUGUUUUGGCAUGAGUUCUUUGUUUGCACUGUGAUCUUGUUCUAAUGACCCAGCAACCUUGUCCACUGAACUCCUGGUUGUCUCUAUCCUAGUCCUGUUAAUUGCCAGCCCCACCCUCGCUCUCUAGACAGCCCUGGCAUUUCGUCGAGCAGGUUCCGUGCGUGCUCUGGGCGCGCCCAGAGCGCACGUUUUGCACGCGCGCGCACUGAGCCGCCGCGCCGCACAGCCGCACUCGACGCGACCCGUCCCUGGCCCCUGCUCCACCGCUGAACCGCGCACUAGCUCGCCCCCUCUCCACGCCAUCUCUGGCGCCCUGCAGCGCCGCUGGCAGAGCCCUUGGUGGCACGCCGGCGUCGGCAGUGAGCCUCUGCCAUGUUCGGCACCGCCCAAACCACACCAGCGCGCCAGCUGCCCCCAUGAACAGCUCAGUCUUAUCCCGAAGCUCGUCGGCACGCGCUCGUCGCCGCCACGUCGCCCUGCAGCUACAGCACGGCUGUCGCCGGCGAUCUUAUCCUCAGCCGCCGCGGUCCAACCUCGAGCGCCUAUUUAAGGGAUCCCCGAGCUCGUUCAAGACCUCAGGCAACCUCAGACUUUCCUCCUAGCGCUCCCCAAGCAGUGGAUCGACCCGUAGUGGCCAUCGUCCUCGUCUCCGGCCAGCUCGGCCGCCGCCAAGUUCCGGUGCGAUACGUCGUAGCCAGUCACUCCCUCGCCCAAGCAACGCCACCAGUAGCUUCCCCUUGUCCUUGCGGAGCUGCCCAACUACCCAACCUCGAUCGGAGACCACCGGAGCCCAAAAACCACUUCUCCACCGUAGCCCCCUCCGCCGCGGAGCUCGCCGCCGGCGACUCCUUCCACCUCCGACGACCCAGCGACCACCAAGGGGACCGCCUCGGUCUGGCCAGUCCAUCCCUGCCCUCAGAUGCCCUCGAGGAGCCGCCGUUCGUCACCGGCGAUCGCUGGAGUCCCGCUCCCGUCGGGCAGAGAAGAGGAGGGAGAGGGAGGAACGGUCAAACCUGACCAGUGGGCCCUCUGGACCCACUGUCAGUGACCCGCGCGCCGUCUCCUUUGUUUAAGUGAAGGCACAUAAGUCCCGAGUAUGUCUCCUCUGCUGCGAAAGCGUAUUUCUCCCGAAACGUUUUCUUUUCUGGUUUUAUUUAAAAACAGAGAUUUGGCCAAACUUUGACUGGCUAUAACUUUUAAAAUAAAACUCCAAAUGAAUUGAUUCUUUUUGCUACCUCUCUCAAAUUCCACCUAGUUUAUUUUAAGAUUUAUUUCAAAAAUAUCUGAGACAACCUUUUGUACUGUGUUUGAAAUAUGUGUUGUUUGGAUAUUUCUCAAAAUAGGAUUUUUGGAGAAAAGGGAAAGCUUCCAAAAAGUGCAUCCCUUGCAUACUCUUGAUGGCAAGCAUUUCUGAACUCUGGCAUAAUAAUUUGUUGUGGUGUUCUGAUACGAUUACAACACCAUUUGGCUUGGAGUAUGCGUUAUCUUUAUGUAACGAUAAAGUCUCGUGCAUGAGUGCUUUUUUGGAGAUAUUUUGUGGUCAGCAAUGGAUACGCUAGUGAUUUGGAUCAUCCUCGUGAGCUCCUCAUGCAUACCGGAAGGAAGCCGGGAAAGUCGUGGUCUUGGGUAGACACGAGCUUGUCCCUAGUCCCUCGUCGAGACGAGUAUGUCCGGCAUGGCAUGGUGAGGCUUGAUGAGUGGUGAUUUAUUCCACUAAUGGUAAUAUUGUUGGAGGAUACUUGUACCACCUGAGUCGGUCGUAGAUCGAGUUUUGAUCAGUAACUUCCUUAUUUGUUGGUACUACCACUUGUCCCUGUCGCAGACGGGGUAUGGUCCAGUAAGUUGUCAACCCCUUACCAAAGCACACACCAUACAGAGAGGCCAUGGUGGAAGAUACCGGAGGCAUCCGGUAGGCAUGCCACCUGGUCCGGGGGCAUGGGUGUUUCGGUUGUAGCCGAAGGGGUAGCUCCCCUAGUUUGCGCGCGGUAUAAAUUUUGUGAUCCCAUGCUACAUCGAGGUUGUAGCCUCCCCACUUAGAGUUUUGCUUGGCAGGUGUCGUGGGUGAUUCCAAACACCGGUGAGUUAAGCUGGUGUGUGCAGGUCAGGCGUUUUUUCAAUUAAAAGGCCGUAGGCGGAAUUAGUCCUGAUGGACUAAGUAAAUCCGUUACUCGUGGGAAAGUUGUACUCCCUCUGAAGAGGAUAUAUCCUGUUGGAUAGCCAUGUUCACAGGUAAGGACCACAGUCUGAGUGGAAUCUAGUAACGGUAUUCGGAUGGAGAACGAAUUAGCUAGAACUCAGUGAAGGUUUUCGGAUGGAGACACGGCUAACUGGAUCAUACUAACGGUAUUCGGAUGGAGAAUGAAUUAGCUAGAACUCACUGACGGUUUUCGGAUGGAGACACGGCUAACUGGAUCAUAGUAACGGUAUUCGGAUGGAGAACGAAUUAGCUAGAACUCAGUGACGGUCUUCGGAUGGAGAAACGGCUAGACUAGACUUUUGUUUAUGACCUGUGACAUCUGAGGAUCAUGUUUUAAUUUUGUUAUCAUUAUGGACUAACCAUUAACAUUUUGUAUUUUAUUGAGUGUCCCUGGGAUGGUUCUACCUCCUGGAUACUCAUUGUUUAUUUAUCUUUUAUAAGCCCUUUAUGUGGUGUCGCUCAGACGCCCGACUGCGGCAUGCUUGUUGUUUAUUUAUCUUUUAUAAGCCCUUUAUGUGGUGUCUCUCAGACGCCCGACUGCGGCAUGCUUGUUGUUUAUUUAUCUUUUAUAAGCCCUUUAUGUGGUGUCGCUCAGACGCCCGACUGCGGCAUGGCUACUCUUGCAUUUUCCUCUCGAGGAGUCAUUCAGACACUCGCUUGGCCCUCAGUAUUUUACUUUGGGAUUUCGGGAGGACUACCGCCCGACUUCUCUUUUGUUUCCCAUGCAUCAUUAUCUCUAUGUCUGAUUGCACUCGUUAAUCUGUUCUCAUGCAUCGUGUUUACAUUUGUUAUAUCUUAUGUUUGAACUAUCUUGCGAGUACUUUCAUAGCACUCACCCACGUACUGCAUGUUCAUAUUAUCUCUGCAUGCGAGCAGCGCAGACUUUCGUGGCAGACAUUGUGAUCAUAAUUAUUUCGGAGCAGGAGUGUCCCUUAUUAUAUUAUACCCGUGUUCUUAAUGUUUGCAAGUACAUUCAAACGUACUCACUGGCUUGUCCCUGGCUAUUGUCUUGGCCAGAUUCCUUGCUUGGAGAUAAGCAUCGCGAUGACGGCCCCGGUACUUGCGCAGCAACAAUAGCAGCCUUGCGAAGAUAGGAGUUAUCCUGGUUAGCUGUUCUUGUGGGAAAUGGAGUCCCAUAGACGCAGAUGUAUCCAACCGCUUCCGCCCUCAACCAUUAGAAACCAAAUGUUGUACUCCUAGGCCACAAUGGUCUUGUACUACAUAUUUUUGUACCUUGCUUGGAAUUCUUGUAUCAAGUUGGUGCCUCAACAGCUAACAGUAAUCCUGGGGCUGGUGAGCACAAAGGCCGUUUUUCUGGGAAAUUAUUAUCCCAAAAAUCCGGUCGUGACAAGAUUUGAAGCUGCAAACCGGAGAAAUGAUAUUUAGCAUCCAUUGUUUGCUUCGAACUAAGAACUAAAUUCUAAGAGCUGAAAAGAAAGUAGAGUAACCAAGUUAAGGCCUAUUUUCUGGUUGAGAUCAAAAAAUUGAGGAGAUAUGAAGUACCACCUCUCUUGCGGCGCCGUGUAGGCAUCGGGGGUGCGAUGGCUAUCGGUGGUGUUGAAGCAGAUAUGCGACGAUAGAUGGGUGCAUCGGGGGAUAAGUCCCGUUGCGGUGGAAGAGAAGGUCGUGUGAGCGGCCCCGGCAAAGAGGACGACGGCGCCGAUGAAGCGAGAGGACGUGAUGCAAGGCUAUUGGUCCGUCACCGUGGAUGAGAAACGUCCAUCUCUAGCAGUGGACGACGCGGUUUUGGUAGGUGCUCCGGCAUGGUGGAGGAUGGUGGCGAUGGAUGUGGUGGAGGACGGCGGCGAUGGAUGGGGUGGAGGACGGCGGGGAUGGAUGGGGUGGCAGACGUAGGCUGGUGUGGGGAUGGUGUUCUAGCGCGGACGGUGUAUGAAUGGGAAAAUGGAGGGAGAGGUACAAGGAACCAUGUUUUUGGGACGCGCCUGUCUGAAAUAUGGGAAAGUUACGAACUUAGCCCCCGUUUAAAAUUCGGAAGAAUGGUCGGUUGGGGAUAGGACGGUAAUCUCGGAUCUCGCCAAUAUUUGCCCAGAGCGAUUUCGGGCGAGGAGAGGGUGGUUGGCACCCAUGGUUGGCACCGGUGUAUGAACGGGGAUGACAGGUAGGGCGGUUGUGUCACGUCUGAGUGAAGUUACAAACCUGCCCCUAUUGAAAAUAUUUGCCUACAUCGAUUUCGGCCGAGUCGAGUUUGUUUUGCCGCCCACCGUGUAUGAAUGGGGAAAUGGAGGGAGAAACACAGGUCUUUCGGACGAGCUUGAAUCAAAUGUGUUUUGCCGCCCAUGUUUGGCGCCCACCGUGUCGAAAUGGCUCAGAGGCGGUCGUGUCACGUCUAAUUGAAGUUACUAACCUACCCCUAUUUAGAGCAGUGGAAAUCGGGCCGAUGGAUCGUCCGUGUAAUGGGUAGACAGUAAUUUCCAUCUCACAAACACUUGGCUUCGGGCAGCCGACGUGGGAGUGGACAUUUUGCCGCUUCUUUCGAAUUUUGGGACAAUAAGCAUCCACGUUUACCCUGGCAACUAAAUUCGAAUCCAUUUUGUAUUCCUAUACGAAUCUUCAUAAAUCAUUCUAUGUGUUUUUAUAUAUCUUCAAAAGGACAACAAAGAUGUAUUCCCCUGUCAUAUAUGAAUAUGGUUUACAAAUGCUGAUACUCAAAUUCAGAAGCUAGAUUCCAGUUUAAGGUGAAUUCGAAUAUUUGGAACACUUCAUGUCCAACUCAAAUGUCACACGCAACAUAAUGUGUACUCCCAUUUAGAUAUGUACACAAGCAAUGUAUCAAGAUUCAAAUACCGAGUCAAUCAACCAAGAAUGUACAGAACUAACAGACAUAUAAACACUUAUAGAGUAUGUGGAUCAAUAAUAUCAACUAACAUACAUAAGCCAGGCCGCUGUACUUUUUUUGCUACAACAGCAUCCUUUUUUUAGCCAAGCUACUACAGCAUCUUGGCCCUUUCCGAUUCGUGCCACUUAUGGUCCAUCUAUACUACUAUUAUUGCUGAAUGCACAUUCAGCCCGAUUGGCAUAUUUGUAGGUCUGGCACAUCAAUCAAAAUGAAAUGUCUCUGGGUCUUAUCAAUUAAUACAGACUUGUGCUCAAAUGAAAUUACAAACCAAAAAACAAAAAACAAUUAUUACAUGAUCUCUAAAACAAAUGGUUCGAUUGAUUACAUGAACAAACAACACAAAGGUUAUUCAACGAUGGAAAUACCAUUUCACCUAUGAUUUACCAAGUGGGAAUUUAAUUUCCUUUUUUCCUUCAGGACCUUAACAAUGUGGUUAGUCUCAGCUUGCUUCAUUUUGAAAUCCACCAAAUAUUUAAUGGUUGUCUUGAGUACUGCUUGUGAUUGUGGUGUUUGCUUCCACAACAUGUCAACUUUAUCUCUAAGUGCAGAAGCAGAAUCUCUUUCUACCACUAGUUUAGCCUCUAGAGCAUCAGCAGUUGGCAAUUCAUAAUGCACGAUUGGGCCGGUGCCACUACUGUGGGAUGAUACAACGUCCAUGGGGACCUCGCUCUUUGAUCUUGGGCUAACUGUUUUGCCAUUAAAGUUCUGAUAGGAUUCAGAAAAGUUGAAGUUAGCAAAAUAUCUCAACUGGGAGUUAUAACAGCAAACCAGUUAAACAAACAAGGAAUUAAAGAGUUUCAAUUGGAUGCUGAAAAGUCGUUAUUAACAUCAUUAUAACCUGUUGUUGCAGCAGCAAAGCAGUUAAACAAACAAGUAGCUAUUUAAGUUCAGGCAAACAGGUAAUUCUUAACAGUAAGUAUCAAACACAUAGAUAGGCGCAGUCUAUAAUAGGAUUAACAGGCUGUGGCAUCAUGUAAUCAGUAGAAAACUAAAUUAAGCCAAGCAACGUAAUUGAACAAUUUUGCAAUAAGUGGCUAACUAAUAUUCCGAGAAGCAGGUAACUGAACUUACGCUAGUUCUUUGUACAGGCACACUGCUACUUCUUUUUCGCUUACAAGGUUGUACGAAGGAGUCCAUGACAUUAAUUGCUUGGAUACGCAGUCCCAAUACUUAUUUCUUCCCACACUGCAUUGGUAAGUCGAAUGGUUAAUCUGGUAAGGUGGUGCAUCCUUGAUAUGUUAUAUGAGGACGUGUAGUCAGACUAGUUAUAGCCACACACAUCAAACUGGCUUUUACUGUAUAUUUCAUGUAAUUACUUUUGGCAUAUCGAGAUCUAAGCAAUCUACAAUAGGAUGAAAAGACUGGCAUCCUUCACAUUAUUGGCGAACUCAGUUCAUAGAAACAAGCAAUUCAACCAUUCUGUGGGUAAAUCAAAAGCGCCACUGGAAUAUUUUUCACUACCCCAAUUAUACACGCAAAAAGGGGCGACCCACCAUAGGGGCUGGUAUGGGCAGCCGCCUCGGGAGGCUGGAAAGUGUGCACCUAGUUUGAGUCGUCCAGGUUGGCCCAGGCUAGUUUUGUUCGUCCCAACACACGAGCAGGCAAUGUAAAAAAUGAAGAAAAAUGUUUCAAUUUGGAUGGGCCAAUAACAUAAGUGCAAGGCAGGCCCUAUAGCAGGCUCGCGACCCAAAUGAGCGCCUCCCAUAUCGAUCGACAGCAGGGAAAAUCCCAAUUCAUUCGCUCCAGCCUCUAGUCUGGUUCGCUCCUAACCUAGCCGCCGCUGGACCGACCGAGACAUCACUUCCUUGCGCCCUCGUUGGAGGGCGGUCGCCGGGCUUCAAGCGAACGGAAGGACAAGAAGAUGAAGAUCCAACCCUGGGUGUAGCCUGCGCGGGAGGCCGCGGCGGCAGCACGGGCAUGGCAUCGAGCUUGCGCAAACGGAUAGUCGCAGCUUGCAAUAUUAGCAUGCGUAACGAGCAGGUACAUCACAUCCCUGAUUAUAUCUAAUUCAACUCUUCAAUUUCUGGACAAUAGUUAAACCUAACGGUGUUGUAAAACUGCUUGUAUGUAGGGAAUCUAUGAGAAAAUGAAACCAAUUUCUACUCAUUUUAUAACUCCCCCAAUCAAUACUGAACUGACUGAAUCUGAUGUAUCUAAUCAAGUUUCCGGUGCAAACAUACAAGCUCAUGUUGUUCUUGAGCCUAAAGUGUCUAAUGAACUGACUGCUAAUGAAGGAUUUGAUGCAAACAUUUUACAUGCUCCUGGUGAUGAACAUAUAGUGUCUAAUGAGGGAUCUAAUGCAAGCAUUUUCCAAGCUCAUUGAAGGAUUUAGUGUCUAAUGAUGAUCUGCUAUGUUGAGGGAGACAUAGAGAUUUGCAGGCAUUGAUGACAAGCAAAUUAUAGUGCAUUUUCAUAGCUUGAGGAAACGUCGAGGCCAUCUACCAGAAAGUCGCCGUAUCAUGACAACAUAGCAUAAAUACUUUUCUAAUCUGUUGUUUGAAACUAUUGGCAUACUUGUGCAUUAUAGAUAUAUUGAUAUGCAGUUUGCGCACUGGUUAUAGGUGCAAUUACACUUUAUUUUCAGCCAGAGAGCGAAUAAUUCAAGAGGUACAUACCACGUUUGUAGUCCUUGUACACCAUGUUGCAUUUUCUGUUUUUUGGUGCUUGCAUCAUUUAGUGUUUAUAAUCUGAACUACUUUGGAUCAUUAGCUGGUUUUCAAAGUGCAUGUAGCUUCACAUUUCUCAAGUUAUGUUGAUUUCCGGAGUGCAAGUGCCUUCGUAUUUUUUAAGUUAAAUGUUCGCCCCUAGUAACUUGAAUUCGUGGAUCCGCCACUGCACACAAAUCAUACACGAAUGCCAGUAAGAAUUAAAUGAAAUGCAGGGACUUACGCUAGCUCGUUAUACAGGCUCACUGCAGCUCUGCUUGCGCUUGGGAUGUUCCAUGUACAAGUCCAUGUUACCACUUGCUUGGAUGUGUAGGCCUUGUGCUCCUUGCAUCCCCCUCUGCAUUUUUGACACGGCGAAUGGUUGAUCAAAUAAGAGGAAUCGACCUUGAUGUUGUACCAGAGGACAGAUAAUUACAAGGUUAUACGGGUGUGCAGGACGUGUACCAGAUCCCGUAGCGCCGUCAUGCUUCGCUAAAAAAUGGAUUUGCUUGUUUCAGAUGAUAUCUCCAGAAGAAAUAAGAGUUAAAGUCAGAGUUGCAUAGGCGUGUAAGCUAAGAGAGCAGUGAAAGGAUAUCCAAACAUCGUCGGAAUAGUGCACAAGGGAGUGAUGUGUGGAUACCUAGUUCGGGCCGGCGUUUGGGCAUGCUCGCCUAGCUAGAGUGCGGGUCACUUCAGAGCCGUUGAGGGUGAUGCGCUGGUGUUGGUUGGCCGCGCAUGGACGCAGAUCUUGAGUGGCAGCGGAGCGCUACAAUGCGGUGGACGAGACCGUUGGUGAAGCCCCAAUGGCCUCGGGGGGCGGAGGUGCGACGAUGUGCUCGGUGAAGUAGCCUAGGUGAGCAGGGAGACGGCGUCGGUGAAGCGCACCUGAUGCGGUGGAAGUCGGUGUCUGUGAGGCACGUCGGUUGCGGCGGCCGACGUUGUCAGUGGACCACCCGGUGCGGUGGACGAGGGCGUAGAUGAGGUAGCUCCGGUGCGGUGGUGUAGCGUGACCGUCGUCUUCGUCAUCGUCGUCCAGCACAAAGGUGGGGAAAGAGAUGAGACGAGGGGCGAUUCGAACUUUGCUUGGGUUGGCAGCGAAUUAGGGAUUUGAGCAUUCUGGGCGCGGAAGGGGACGGUGGAGAAGGGAGAUUUUGCAAGGCUAGAAUUGGGGCCGCCAGAUAUUUCAAUCCGAAACGUGGAAGCGCGAACUUAUUUUGUCGUCGUUCUUAUUCAUGGGGGGUGGGGGGAGGUAGGGGCGUGGGUGGCUGGGUGCUACGCGCCCGUCCGACACACGCGACCACCACGACACGACCCUGGUCUGCCUGGUGCGCCUACAUUUGAGAAUGCAAACGAAUCUUCUUUCAUUUGCAAACGAGUCUGUAUGUAUUACUAUGCCCGUGUUUUCCUUGCAAUAAUUAGUCAUUCAAAACGAGAUACUCCCUCCGUUCACUUUUGUAAGUCGUUUCAGACAACUUAAAAUGAACUGUUUUGCACAUUGUCUGAAAUGUCUUCAAGGUCUUAUAAAAGUGAACAGAGGGAGUACUAUAAAUUAAUUAAUGAGGAGUUAUUUGAAAAAAAAUCGAAAAGGUAUCCACGGUAUCCAUGCUAACGUGAAUUAGAGUGUGUGUCACAUAAUUUUUAUUUGAAUUAGAGUGUGUGUCAUGUAGAGAUCUCCAAUCCUAACGUGGAUUUCGCAUUUCACUAUAUCCAUGCUACUUUUUUAAUACAAAUUCAUAUGUAUAUGAUGAACACAAUGGUAGUGAGAAAACUUUUGGAUGGAUUCUAACAUAUGACCUACCAAAUAGCACAACAAAUCGAGUCAAUGUUAACUUUUCGAAACCUAGUAUGGCACGAAUUCGAAAUAAUUACCCAUAUGCAUGGUCCUUAGUUCAAAUCUUACAAUGCACACCGAAUUGAAACAUCAAUAUUAAGUCUCGUACUAUCUACAUUCAAAUGUUGUUUUUAGCCCCCCCCCCCCGCAACCACCCUGUAUCGGUCAAUCUUCCUCUCCUAACCACCUUAGGAAGGUAUCGGUUUCCAACACACGUUCAUUCUUUCUCUCCAUGUUUCGAUCUCUAACUAUCUCAACUACACAGCCCCCUUUUUCCACUCUGUUACCAAAUGUAUUUACCUCACACACCCGCCAUUGCACACCAUGCCGAGCUCUCUCUCUCUCUCCCUCUCACCCUCUCACGCUAAAUUAAUACAUGCAUUGCCAAUCUAGCCCCCCAAUCUCUCAUGCGCAUGCACACACGUUGUCUAUCUAGGUCACUCCCUCGAGACUGUCUCACUCUUUCUUCCGCACGGCGAGCCACACUCGCUCAAUCUCGCUCUCUUUAUCUGAGUCUUGUUUAACCUCAUUUUCUUUCACACACAAAUGAUAUCUCCCCCUAUUCGGGCCUCGAUCGACACACUCUAUACUCUCUCACGCAGAUUGUCUAUCUAGGUCAGUUCAUCCAAGCCGCCCCCACUCUUUCGACCUCAUGGCGGGCCACGCUCGCUCAAUCUCUCUCUCUCUAUAUAUAUAUAUAUAUAUCCCUCUCUCUCUCUCUCUCUCUCUUUGUAUGUCUCGGUUGACCUCGCUCUUUCUUGAAAAAUGAUAUAUCACCAUGUUUGAGCCCAAUUCGACCUAUUCACAUUGUAUACUCUCUCACGCACAUUGUCUAUCUAGGUCACUCUCUCCAACCCGUCUCACUCUUUCGAUCGCACGGCGACCCUAUGUGAUCGAUUGACCUUGCUUCCUCCCACGCACAAAAUAUAUCUACACGUCUAUGACUGGAUCAUCUCUCAAGCUCUAUCUUACAGCCCUCACCCUUGCCAAAACCUCAAUCGGACAAUAUCCCUCCAGAGCAUAUAUAUCUUGUCAAUGAAUGUCGUACCACACUCACUUUGUCUCUCUAUCUAUAUGUCUCUCGAUUGACCUCGCUUUCUCACACCGUAUCUUCCACGCAUUGAAGCUACCUCUCCAUCCCUCGCAAAGCCGGGGCUAUUUACAUUGCGAGGGGCACUCCAACCUUGGAUUAAUUUGUAUAGGCAUUUAUUCUGGUCGGUUUAGAUUAUAUUUUCGUAGCAUUCGACCCACAACUACUCCAAACACCGUUGCAACUCCCGCAACUCCCCUAGUUGAUUUCCCUCUGGCUCGGUCAUCGCUCUCUCGCACGUCCUUUCUCGCCUUCAACGUAGAACCAUGGUAUUAUUCCAAAAAAAUCUAUUGUUCUCUUUAAUUAUUAUAAAUAAGCUACAAAACUACACACCGAUAGACCACUUGGAAUGGAACAAAUUUUGACCCACAAAUUAAAGUGCUACAAACUACACACUGAGGGGCCCACAUGUCAUGAAACAAAUUUGGACCCAUAUACAAAUUAAAAAAUAAAGGACGAGGAUCAAACAUGCGACCAGGGGCUUCAAGCUGCACGUCAAUAGGCAACAUACGUAGAACAACAAUGUUUCUUGUACCCCCCUUUGUUCACAUAAUGUUUUUAUAUUACCAUAGCCUAUUUAAUGGAUAACAUGUAAUAUUAUUUUAGUACUAUUCGCCUUCACUUACUGGUGGGUUCCAUGUGUACUCUCUCUCUCUCCUCCCCGUGUGCGUUUAGACGCAUGGGCAAACACGAAGAACUCGCGGGCGAUGUUGCCGUUGACCAUAUCUGGACGCGUUCACAAGUUACGGCACCAGUUUCACAUACUAGCAGCACUAGUCAGUGUGUACGUGCAAUGCACGUUAAUUUCGAAGUAUAUUAAGUGCAUGCGGAUAUUAAGUAGGAUAUUAUUUGCAUGUUAUUAUGUGAUUAGCACUAUUUUUGCCAUGAAAUUAACUGCACGCUAAACGUGUUGAGCGCUCAACAUUGAAGCGGUCUAGGUCGUUGGAUGACAAGGAAUACAUGUGGCUUGAUGACGUUUUAUAUUUAAUUUGAUACGGCUCUACCAGAACAUUCAAUCGAUCAAACCAUAGAUUUCUUUUUGUCUGACUCCGACUUUAAUUUAAACGACGAUCGAUAUAAAAUAAACGAAAAUGAUAAACAUUCGGAUUUUAAGCAUGGCAAUCCGAACGUUUUUCAUGGCAAAUUUAGAUUACGCGGCGGCGGCGGGGGCGUUUUGUGGUGGGAAGCGGCUCCUCUGCCGUGCUCUGUGUGUCGUCGGGCCACUGACCGACAUCGACGGCAUCAUCUUGCGCCGUUGUUGGCGUACUCCUGGACGUUGGCCUAGCUUCAAGGAAGGCCAAAAUGUUCUGGACUUUGGAGCAAGUGAACUUGCGGGAGGAGGCGACUGGCGUUGGUGCAAGGAAGCGGUCGACGGCGGCCAUCCAUGCCGCUGAGGGGGGCACUGGCACCAGCGGAGGGAAAGGCGCUGUCAACAGCGCGGCGGAGACAUUCGUGUGCACGGGCACCGGCACGGGCGCGCACGUCAGUGCACGCGCAGGCUCAUGCGCUGGCAGGUGAAACAGGCACCGGCACGGGCGUGCGCGUCUGUCCAUGCGCAGGCGCAUGCACUGGCAGGUGCACAGGCGUGUGAAAGUCGGCGGGGACCUCGUGGAACCCUGUGGCAUCAAGCUCGGCGACAAUGUGUGGCUCCCAGCCCAUCAAUGCCACGGGGAUGGGUGCUGGCGUAGUCGGUGCGACGGGAGCCGGAACGGGAGCGGGCACAGGCGCGGCGUCUUCCCGCAAGGCCAGUUCAAGCUCGUCCCAAAGCGCCUUAUGUUCUUGAGACUCCGGCUGGGUGUCUUUGUCAGGAAACUGGAAGACUAAGGGCAGACCAUCAUGAUGCGGCAUGGCGUACGUUUAGGUCAGGCUAGUUGGAGGUAGAUGACAGGAGAAUCGGAGAGGAAGAGAGAAGGUUGUAGCGAUACCGGGUAGUGCGGGGUUGACUUUAAACUGCGGUGCCGGCGACAUUAAAAGUGGGAGCAGUUGGGACGAAGGUGGGCGGCGGAGCCUGGUCAAAGGGCUUGCCUGCCGGUGAGCCUACACAGCGGUCUGCUCGCAUGCCUCCUUGUCAGCCGGCGCAUCGGUAUGCUCGCACGCUUCCCGUCGACUCACACGCUUGCUCGGACGACACCUGCCGAUGAGAAGCGGGACUCGUGGCGGCACGUAAACGCCCACGGUUUCAAUACUGAAAGCGUUCGCCUUAACGUGACAGGUCUUUGUUCCAAAAUACCUUGGCUCUUCAUUUGUGCAACUUGUCAUAAUCAGCUUGUCUCAAAUUGAAGAAAAAAAUUACGAAGUAAUAUUUGUGCCAUAUCACGUGACCAUGCUCAGUUUCGAGAAUUUAUGGUCACGUUUGGAUUUUCUGAAAUUUAAGAUCCAGGAUUCGAAACAAUAUCAUAACCUGCAUCAUGCAAUAAAUUUUCAAGCCAUACAUCUGUCCUGUUGUAUUUCUUAAGAAAGGAUUUGGUCAAACAUUUGCUUAGUUAGACUUCAGACAAGUUAUAUAUGCAGAGUAAAAGGAUAAUCCCUCUGUACCAGUGCAUUGCCUGAUAUAUUAACUCAAGUACUAGGCACGAACAAAAGGGCUCAAUUUUGUGCUCAUCCUGGUGUAGUAGUAGUACUAGGCAAUGCAGUUGACGGGUGAACUUAGCGAGCGGCGACCGAGGGAAUUGAACCGUGCUCGGCAUGGUAGGUAACGUUGUCUAGUUACUAAAGCAUCCCUCCGUUGUUCAUCUGUAGUCAUUAUGGACCGGGGACAUGAGGGGAAUUUCCUAGGGCUGGAAUUCUGGCCGCCACAUAUUUCGACUCGAAAUGCUGAGGCUCGACUGGUUGGGGUUGCCUAAUGUGCGUACUUCGAGAAUACGAAAGGAACCUUUUAAAUUGCCGAACGAAUCUAUGUGUAUUACAAUGCCCGUAUUUUCCUUGCAAAUACUAAUCUCAACGUGGUAAAUGAUUUAUGACGAGUUGUUGAAUUAGAGUGAGUUUGUGAUAUAGUGAUCGCAAUGUGGAUUUCACAUUUCAUGGUAUCCCUAGUAAGUUUUUCAAUGCAAAUUCAAAUUUAAAAGAUGAACAAUAUAGAGGUGAGAAAAUUUUGUAUGUAUCAAGCAUAUGACCACACACAUAGAGAGACACAGACACGCAUGAACACAACAACAAUCCAAUAAUUAUAGAGCAUCUAUUUUUCCAAACCAUGCACGUAUGACACGAAUUCAAAAAUACUCCUUCUAUUCCUAAAUAUUAGUCUUUUAGAGAUUUCAACAAGUGACUACAUACGGAGCAAAAUGAGUGAAUCUACACUCUAAAAUAUGUCUAUAUACAUCCGUAUGUGCCAGUCCAUUUGAAAUCUCUAAAAAGACUAAUAUUUAGGAACGAAGGGAGUAAAAUUUAAGACAUGCAUGGUCCUCAAUUCAAUAUUUAAAAUGAACAUGAAACUGAAACAUGAAUAUUAAGUCUAGUACUAGAGUUCAUGCAAAUGUUGUGUUUAGGCGGAGCUAUGAUUGUCGGGGGUCAACCCCUCGACCUUAGAUAAAAUUGUGAAGCUCUGUUUAGGGUUGUUUAGAUUAUAUUUGUCCCCACCCUCCCAACCACCGAUUGGUUGUGCACCCCCCACCCCUCCUCACCGGGAGAAUAUCAUGUGCCUCCAUUGUUGGGGAACGUAGUAAUAAUUCAAAAUUUUCCUACGUGUCACCAAAAUCAAUCUAGGAGAUGCUAGCAACGAGAGAGAGGGAGUGCAUCUUCAUACCCUUGAAGAUCGUUAAGCGGAAGCGUUACAAGAACGUGGUUGAUGGAGUCGUACUCGCGCCGAACGGAUGGCGCCUCCGUGUUCAACACACGUACAGCCCGGGGACGUCUCCUCCUUCUUGAUCCAGCAAGGGGAGAGGAGAAGUUGAGGGAGAACUCCAGCAGCACGACGGCCUGGUGGUGGAGGAGCUCGUGGUUCUCCGGUAGGGCUUCGCCAAGCACUACGGAAGAUAGGGAGGAGUUGGAGGAGGAGAGGGCUGCGCCAGGGAAGGGGUGUGGCUGCCCUCUCUCUCCCUCACUAUAUAUAUGGGGAAGGGGGGAGGAGGAGGCGCCCUAGGGUUCCCUAGGGGAGGAGCGGCGGCCACAGGGGAAACCCUAGAUGGGUUUGGGCGCCCCCACCCCUAGGAAACUUGCCCCCCAAGCCGGGACGUGUGGCUGCCCUAGGGGUGGCGCCCCACCUCUCCAGGUUACGUGAUAUGGGGUGGGAGUGGCGCUCAGCCCCUUAGUGGCCUGAUGUGCCCCCUCCCAUUGGCCCAUAAGGCCCCCCAACGCUUGUCGGGGCCUCCGAAACCACUUUCAGACAUGCUGGUCGUCACCUGGUACCCCCGGAACAAUUCCGGACUCCAAUACUCUUCGUGCAAUACAUCGAUCUUCACCUCCGGACCAUUCCGGAGUUCCUCGUCACGUCCGGGAUCUCAUCCGGGACUCCGAACAACCUUCGGUAACCACAUACUAUUUCCCAUAGCAACUCUAGCGUCACCGAACCUUAAGUGUGUAGACCCUACGGGUUCGGGAAUCAUGCAGACAUGACCGAAACAUCUCUCCGGCCAAUAACCAAUAUCGGGAUCUGGAUACCCAUGUUGGUUCCCACAUGUUCCACAAUGAUCUCAUCAGACGAACCACAAUGUCGAGGAUUCAAACAAUCCGGUAUACAAUUCCCUUUGUCAAUCGGUAUGUUACUUGCCCGAUAUUCGAUCGUCGGUAUCCCAAUACCUCGUUCAAUCUCGUUACCGGCAAGUCACUUUACUCGUUCCGUAAUGCAUGAUCCCGUGACUAUAUGCUUAGUCACAUUGAGCUCAUUAUGAUGAUGCAUUACCGAGUGGGCCCAGAGAUACCACUCUGUCAUACGGAGUGACAAAUCCCAGUCUCGAUUCGUGCCAACCCAACAGACACUUUCAGAGAUACCUGUAGUGUACCUUUAUAGCCACCCAGUUACGUUGUGACGUUUGGCACACCCAAAGCAUUCCUACGGUAUCUAGGAGUUGCACAAUCUCAUGGUCUAAGGAAACGAUACUUGACAUUAGAAAAGAUUUAGCAGACGAACUACAUGAUCUUGUGCUAUGCUUAGGAUUGGGUCUUGUCCAUCACAUCAUUCUCCUAAUGAUGUGAUCCCGUUAUCCAUGACAUCCAAUGUCCAUGGUCAGGAAACCGUAACCAUCUAUCGAUCAAUGAGCUAGUCAACUAGAGGCUCACUAGGGACAUGUUCUGGUCUAUGUAUUCACACAUGUAUUACGAUUUUCGGUUAAUACAAUUAUAGCCUGAAUAAUAGACAAUUAUCAUGAUCAAGGAAAUAUAAUAAUAACCAUUUUAUUAUUGCCUCUAGGGCAUAGUUCCAACAGUCUCCCACUUGCACUAGAGUCAAUAAUCUAGUUCACAUCGCCAUGUGAUUAACACUCAUAGUUCACAUCGCCAUGUGACUAACACCCAAAGAGUUUACUAGAGUCAAUAAUCUAGUUCACAUCACGUGUGAUUAAGACUCAAUGAGUUCUGGGGAUUGAUCAUGUUAUGCUUACGAGAGAGGUUUUAGUCAACGGGUCUGCAACAUUCAGAUCCGUGUGUUCUUUGCAACUCUCUAUUUUAUAUUGUAGAUGUUGCUACUAUGCUCCACUUGGAGUUAUUCCAAAUGGUUGCUCCACUAUACGUAUCCGGUUUGCUACUCAGAGUCAUCCGGAUAGGUGUUAAAGCUUGCAUCAACGUAACCCUUUAUGCUGAACUCUUCAUCACCUCCAUAAUCGAGAAAACAUUUCCUUACUCCCAAGGACAAUUUUGACCGCUGUCCAAUGAUGCACUCCUGGAUCAUUCUUAUACCCCUUGCCGGACACGUGGCAAGGCACAUCGCGGUACGCUGCAUGGCAUAUCGUAUAGAGCCUAUGGCUAAGGCAUAGGGGACGACUUUCGUUCUUUCUCUUUCUUCUGCCGUGGUCGAGCUUCAAGUCUUAACUCCACACCUUACAACUCAGGCAAGAACUCCUUCUUUGACUGAUCCAUCUUGCACUCCUUCAAGAUCAUGUCAAGGUAUGUGCUCUAUGAAAGUCUUAUCAGGCGUCUUGAUCUAUCUCUAUAGAUCUUGAUACCCAACAUGUAAGCAGUUUUACAUAGGUCUUCCUUUGAAAAACUCCAUUCAAACAACCCUUUAUGCUUUCCAGAAAUUCUGCAUCAUUUCUGAUCAACAAUAUGUCAUCCACAUAUAUUUAUCAAAAUGUUGUAGUGCUCCCACUCACUUUCUUGCAAAUACAAGUUUCUUGCAAAUUUUGUAUAAACCCAAAUGCUUUGAUCACCUCAUCAAAGCGUAUGUUCCAACUCCGAGAUGCUUGCUCCAGUCCAUAGAAGGACCGCUGGGGUUUGCAUACCUUUUAGCAUCCUUAGGAUCGACAAAACCUUCUGGUUGUAUCACAUACAGCCUUUCCUCACGGAAACCGUCAAGGAAACUUUGUUUUGACAUCCAUCUGCCAGAUUUCGUAAAUGAAAAUGCAGCAACUGCUAACAUAAUUCUAACAGACUUUAGCAUCGCUAUGAUUGAGAAAGUCUCAUCACAGUCAACUCCUUGAAUUUGUUGGAAACUUCUUUGAGACAAGUCGAGCUUCAUAAAUGGUGACAUUACCAUCAACGGCUGUCUUCUUCUUAAAGAUCCAUUUAUUCUCAAUGGCUUGUCGAUCAUCGGGCAAGUCCAGCAAAGUCCAUACUUUGUUCUCAUACAUGGAUCCUAUCUCUGAUUUCAUGGCUUCCAGCCAUUUGUUGGAAUCCGGGCCCACCAUUGCUUCUUCAUAGCUCAUAGGUUCAUCGUUGUCCAACAACAUCAUCUUUAAGACAGGGUUACCACUCAGAAGUUGUACACACCCUUGUCGACCUAUGAGGUUUGAUAGUAACUUGAUCUGAAGCUCCAUGAUCAUCAUCAUUAGCUUUCUCUUCAACUAAGGUAGGUGCCACAGAAACAUUUUUCUGUGCUACGCUACUCUCUGGUUGAAGUAAAGGUUCAACAACCUCAUCAAGUUCUAUCUUCCUCCCACUCAAUUCUUUUGAGAGAAACUCUUUCUCGAGAAAGGACCUGUUCCUCGCGACAAACACUUUGCCCUCAGAUCUGAGAUAGAAGGUACACCCAAUCGUCUUGUUUGGGUAUUCUAUGAAGACACAAUUUUCCGCUUUGGGUUCGAGCUUUUCUGGCCGAAGCCUAUCGACAUAAGCAUCGUAGCCCCAAACCUUAAAAAACAACAACUUAGGUUUCUUGCCAAACCAUAGUUCAUACGAUGUCAUCUCCAUGGACUUAGAUGGUGCCCUAUUUAAAGUGAAUGUAAUUCUCUCUAAUGCAUAACCCCAAAAUGAUUGUGGUAGACCGGUAAGAGACCUCAUAGAUCGCACCAUAUCCAAUAGGGUGCGAUUACGACAUUCAGACACACCAUUAUGCUAUGGUGUUCCAGGUGGCGUCAACUGUGGAACGAUUCCACCUUGUCUUUAGUGAUUGCCAAACUCAUAACUCAGAUACUUUUCCCUUGAUUAGAUCGUAGGAAUUUGAUCUUCCUGUUAUGAUGAUUCUCAACUUCACUCUGAAAUUGCUUGAACUUUUCAAACGUUUCAGACUUACGCUUUAUUAAGUAAAUAUAUCCAUAUCUACUCAAUUCAUCGGUGAAGGUGAGAAAAUAAUGAUAUCCACUGCACGCGUCAACACUCAUCGGACCGCACACAUCAGCAUGUAUGAUUUCAGUAAGUUACUUGCCCGGUCCAUUGUUCCAGAAAAUGGGGUUUUAGUCAUCUUGCCAACGAGGCAUGGUUCGCAUGUGUCAGGUGAUUCAAAAUCAAGUGACUCCAAAAGUCCAUCGAUAUGGAGGUUCUUCAUGCGCUUUACACCAAUAUGACCUAAGCGGCAGCGCCACAAAAAGUGGUACUAUCAUUAUCAACUCUACAUCUUUUGGCAACAAUGUUAUGAACCUGUGUAUCACUACGACCGAGAUUCAAUAAACCAUUCAAAUUGGGUGCAUGACCAUAGACGGUAUUAUCCAUGUAAACAGAAUAACCAUUAUUCUCAGACUUAAAUGAAUAACCGUAUUGCAAUAAACAAGAUCUAAUCAUGUUCAUGCUCAAUGCAGACACCAAUGCAAACAACAUUUAUUUAGGUUCAACACUAAUCCUGAAGGUAGAGGGAGCGUGCGAUGGUGAUCACAUCAACCUUGGAAACACUUCCAACACACAUCGUCACCUCACCCUUAGCUAGUCUUCGUUUAUUCCGCAGCUUUUGUUUUGAGUUACCAAUCAUAGCAACUGAACCGGUAUCUAAUACCCAGGUGCUACUAGGAGUACUAGCAAGGUACACAUCAAUAACACAUAUAUUAAAUAUACUUUUGUUGAAGUUGCCAGCCUUCUUAUCUACCAAGUAUUUGAGGCAGUUCCGCUACCAGUGACCGUUCCUCUAAUAGAAGAACAUAGUCUCGGGUUUGGGUUCUUUGGGUUUCUUCACUGGAGCGGCAACUGGCUUGCCAUUCAGGAAGUUGCCCUUCUUUCCCUUGCCCUUCUUUGAAACUAGUGCUCUUGUUAACCAUCAACACUUGAUUCUCCUUCUUGACUUCUACCUUUACGACCUUAAGCACGACGAACAGCUCCUGGAUCAACUUCCCUUGCAUGUUAUAGUUCAUCACGAAGCUCUAGAUAGCUUGGUGAUAGUGACUGGAGAACUCCGUCAAUCACUUCUCUUAUCUGGAAGAUUAACUCCCACUUGAUUCAAGCGAUUGAAGUACCCACACAUUCUGAGCACAUGCUCACUGGCUGAGCUAUUCUCCUCCAUCUUGUCGGCAAAGAUCUUGUCAGAGGUCUCAAACCUCUGAACACGGGCAUGAGCCUGAAAUACCAAUUUCAGCUCUUGGAACAUCUCAUAUGUUCCAUGGCGUUCAAAAAGCUUUUGGAGCCCCAACUCUAAGCCGCAAAGCAUGGCGCACUAAACUAUCAGGUAUUCAUCAAAACAUGUCUGCCAGAUGUUCACAACAUCCACAGACGAUGCCAGAGGGGUUGGCGCACUGAGCGGUGCAUCAAGGACAGAAGCCUUCUGUGUAGCAGUGAGGACAAUCCUCAGACUACGGCCCUAGUCCGCAAAUUUGCUUACAAUAUCUUUCAACUUAGUCUUUCUCUAGGAACGUAUUAAAACAAGGAGCUAAAGCGCGAGCUAUUAAUCUACAACAUAAUUUGCAAAGACAAUUUAGACUAUGUUCAUGAUAAUGAGUUCAGUUAAUCAAAUUAUUCAAUGAACUCCCACUCAGAUAGACAUCCCUCUAGUCAUCUAAGUGAUACAUGAUCCGAAUCGACUAGGCCGUGUUCGAUCAUCACGUGAGACGGACUAGUCAUCAACGGUGAACAUCUCCAUGUUGAUCGUAUCUACUACACGACUCAUGUUCGGCCUUUUGGCCUCUUGUGUUCUGAGGCCAUGUCUGUACAUACUAGGCUCGUCAAGUCAACCUAAGUGUUUCGCAUGUGUAAAUCUGGCUUACACCCGUUGUAUGCGAACAUUAGAAUCUAUCACACCCGAUCAUCACGUGGUGCUUCGAAACAACGAACCUUCGCAACGGUGCACAGUUAGGGGGGAACACUUUCUUGAAAUUUUAGUGAGGGGUCAUCUUAUUUAUGCUACCGUCGUUCUAAGCAAAUAAGAUGUAAACAUGACAAACAUCACAUGCAAAUCAUAAAGUGACAUGAUAUGGCCAAUAUCACCUUGCGCCUUUGAUCUCCAUCAUCGAGGCGCUGCAUGAUCACCUUCAUCACGGGCAUGACACCAUGAUCUCCAUCAUCAUGUCUUCAUGAAGUUGUCUCGCCAACCAUUACUUCUACUACUAUGGCUAACGGUUAGCAAUAAAGUAAAGUAAUUACAUGGCGUUUUUCAUUGACACGCAGUUCAUACAAUAAAUUAAGACAACUCCUAUGGCUCCUGCUGGUUGUCAUACUCAUCGACAUGCAAGUCGUGAUUCCUAUUACAAGAACAUGAUCAAUCUCAUACAGCACAUAUAUAUAAUUCAUCACAUCCUUUUGACCAUAUCACAUCACAUAGCAUACCCUGCAAAAACAAGUUAGACGUCCUCUAAUUGUUGUUGCAUGUUUUACGUGGCUGCUAUGGGUUCCUAGCAAGAAUGUUUAUUACCUACGCAAAAGCCACAACGGUGAUAUGCCAAUUGCUAUUUACCCUUCAUAAGGACCCUCUUCAUCGAAUCCGAUCCGACUAAAGUGGGAGAGACAGACACCCGCUAGCCACCUUAUGCAUCAAGUGCAUGUCAGUCGGUGGAACCUGUCUCACGUAAGAGUACGUGUAAGGUCGGUCCGGGCCGCUUCAUCCCACAAUGCCGCCGAAUCAAGAUAAGACUAGUAAUGGUAAGCAAAUUGAACAAAUCAUCGCCCACAACUACUUUGUGUUCUACUCGUUCAUAGAAUCUACGCAUAGACCUAGCUCUGAUACCACUAUUGGGAAACGUAGUAAUAAUUCAAAAUUUUCCUACGUGUCACCAAAAUCAAUCUAGGAGAUGCUAGCAACGAGAGAGAGGGAGUGCAUCUUCAUACCCUUGAAGAUCGUUAAGCGGAAGCGUUACAAGAACGCGGUUGAUAAAGUCGUAUUGGCGGCAAUUCAAAUCGCGGAAGAUCCGAUCUAGCGCCGAACGGACGGCGCCUCCGCGUUCAACACACGUACAGCCCGGGGACGUCUCCUCCUUCUUGAUCCAGCAAGGGGAGAGGAGAAGUUGAGGGAGAACUCCAGCAGCACGACGGCGUGGUGGUGGAGGAGCUCGAGGUUCUCCGGCAGGGCUUCGCCAAGCACUACGGAAGAGGGGGAGGAGUUGGAGGAGGAGAGGGCUGCGCCAGGGAAGGGGUGUGGCUGCCCUCUCUCUCCCUCACUAUAUAUAGGGGGAAGGGGCGAGGAGGAGGCGCCCUAGGGUUCCCUAGGGGAGGGGCGGCGGCCACAGGGGAAACCCUAGAUGGGUUUGGGGGGUCCCCACCCCUAGGAAACUUGCCCCCAAGCCGGGAGGGUGGCUGCCCUAGGGGAGGCGCCCCCACCUCUCCAGGUUAUGUGAGAUGGGGUAGGAGGGGCGCUGAGCCCCUUAGUGGGCUGAUGUGCCCCCUCCCCUUGGCCCAUAAGGCCCCCCAAUGCUUGCCGGGGCAUCCGAAACCACUUUCGGACACGCUGGUCGUCACCCGGUACCCCCGGAACAAUUCCGGACUCCAAUACCCUUCGUCCAAUAUAUCGAUCUUCACCUCCGGACCAUUCCGGAGUUCCUCGUCAUGUCCGGAAUCUCAUCCGGGACUCCGAAAAGCCUUCGGUAACCACAUACUAUUUUAAAAAACAACUCUUAGCGUCACCGAACCUUAAGUGUGUAGACUCCACGGGUUCUGGAAUCAUGCAGACAUGACCGAGACAUCUCUCCGGCCAAUAACCAACAGCGGGAUCUGGAUACCCAUGUUGGUUCCCACAUGUUCCACGAUGAUCUCAUCGGAUGAACCACGAUGUCGGGGAUUCAAACAAUCCCGUAUACAAUUCCCUUUGUCAAUCGUUAUGUUACUUGCCCGAGAUUCGAUCGUCGGUAUCCCAAUACCUCGUUCAAUCUCGUUACCGGCAAGUCACUUUACUCGUUCCGUAAUGCAUGAUCUCGUGACUAACUGCUUAGUCAAAUUGAGCUCAUUAUGAUGAUGCAUUACCGAGUGGGCCCAGAGAUACCUCUCCGCCAUAUGGAGUGACAAAUCCCAGUCUCGAUUCGUGCCAACCCAAUAGACACUUUCGUAGAUACCUGUAGUGUACCGUUAUAUCCACCCAGUUACGUUGUGACGUUUGGCACACCCAAAGCAUUCCUAUGGUAUCCGGGAGUUGCACAAUCUCAUGGUCUAAGGAAAUGAUACUUGACAUUAGAAAAGCUUUCGCAGACAAACUACACGAUCUUGUGCUAUGCUUAGGAUUGGGUCUUGUCCAUCACAUCAUUCUCCUAAUGAUGUGAUCCCGUUAUCAAUGACAUCCAAUGUCCAUGGUCAGGAAACCGUAACCAUCUAUUGAUCAACGAGCUAGUCAACUAGAGGCUCACUAGGGACAUGUUGUGGUCUAUGUAUUCACACAUGUAUUAUGAUUUCUGGUUAAUACAAUUAUAGCAUGAAUAAUAGACAAUUAUCAUGAACAAGGAAAUAUAAUAAUAACCAUUUUAUUAUUGCCUCUAGGGCAUAUUUCCAACAUCCAUACCUUAGAUGCUCUAUGCCGAUACGAUUUGCUUGGAGCUUGUAGAUCUGAGAUAUAGCAGCUCACGUGAUGUCUUAAUAUUUUUACAAGAAACCUUGAUGAGUUUGAGAAUUGCACACAAUUUGUACAAAAACUACUCAGAUGCCCUUGGAUCCCAUACCCAACGACCUCGAAGCUUGUAUCACCGUAGCAUCUAAGAUGAAGGAGGACAUCAUAUUCUCCUGUAUGUAAGAAUAUCAUGUGCUACCACACCUUAGAUGCUUUGGUGAUACAAGCUCUUCGGAGCCGUUGGAUUUGUGCCCCAACACCUCCUCGGUGGUUCGAAUGGUUUUUUGCAGAAAAGACCCCAAAGAGUUUGGCCACUGCUUACAAGCACAAAGACUGCUCAGAUGCCAUUGGAUCUCAGAUCAAACGACCUCGAAGCUCGUAUCACGGUAGCAUCCAAGCUGCGAUAGCACCUUAUGUUUUCUCGCACGGGAGAAUAUGAGGUGCUCCCGCACCGUAGAUUCUAUGCUGAUACGAGUUCACUAAGAUCUAACGGCCCACGGUAGGAGGUUUGAAUGUUUUUGCAAUCUACGACUGAGAGAGUUUGGGAAAUGUGCAGAAAGUACAAGUACUACGCAUGUGCCAUCUGAUCACUGAUCAUACGGCCUAGAUGCUCAUAUCACCGUAGCGGGUAAUUAAGCUACGGGGAGCACCUAAUAUGAGCAACGGGGAGCCGUUGGAUCCAAGAUGCAGUGGCACACACGAGGCCUGAAUGUUUUAUUUGCAAAAAAACCUUUGGAGAGUUUGGAAAUUGUGCAUAAUUACAAAGACUACUCCCAAGCCAUUGGAUCUCACUUCCAACGAUGUAAAAACUCGUAUCACCAUAGCAUCUAAGAUGCGGGGUGGAUGUGAUAUUCUAUGCUGCUGUCAUUUUUCUUCGUAAACUUGCAAAAUAUGUGUGACUCGUGCUGUUACUUGUCUAACCGUGCAAAGGGUUUGUUCAAAAAAACCAUCCUACACUGAAAUAUCGGAACAACACAUGGGGGUCCCACUAGUCAUUAAUCAAAUUUGGACCCUAAACUAACAAAUCUGAAAGACGAGAUUCAAACUGGCAACCUCGACUACAAAGCGUAAGUCGAUAGCCUGAAACAACAACGGUUGUUGGCUUUGUCCCAUAACUUGAUUUUAUGCAGUAUUGCGUUGAGUAGAGUAGAGGGAGUGCCUCGUCAACACGUGCAUGACCAUUGACUCACUUACUGGUGGGUCCCAGGUCUGUGAUCUCUCUCUUCUCUCCAUCGUCUAACCUUUGCACGGGCACACAGAAGAGCGGCGCUAGCUUGCCGUGGUGUUAUUACAACUAAAAAAAGCUUGGAAAAUAGAAGAAUCGCCUAGAACAAGAGACGUUGUGGCUGGUCGAGAUGGAGCUAAUCACAUCUAUCCUCCGUGCCACGUUAGCAUGAUGAAGCUGUGUGGCUAGUGGGGUGUUUUCGACCGACUGGCUGGGUUCAAGGUCGAACCAUAGGUAUAUUUUUACACGCACAUUUUUCCUCCGUGCCGAGACGUGGCACACCCUAUCACGCGGUUUCAGGGUCCUCCUGGGUGGUGCACGCAUAUAUUCUUCCUAACAUGGGACGCCCUACCGCGCGUUUUCUGGGUCCUCCUCGGUCGUAGCGCCGAAGCAAGUAAAUGAGUCGUCAAAUCACGAAAGACCACCUUUCCCGCCGAGUACAUCAAUGAAGCACGGUGGCUAGCUAGUUGGGCUAGUUUGACCGAUUAGCUAGGCCGCUGCCACAUUUGUUUUUUCACCCUUUUUUAUCUACUUGCCGCCAGGUAAAUUUAAUUAUCCACCGCGGCAUUGCUCUGGUGUUUGGGUGCGGCAGGAUUUUUAAUUUUUUGAUUGAUGGGAGCAGGUGCGGCAGGAUUUUUAAUGUUUUGAUUGACGGGAGCAGGUGCGGCAGCAAUUAGUCAUGAUGACUCCGCCUGUAAAACCCACUGCUCCCUGAUGUGAGAAAUCGUCGACUGGUGUUUUACCAUGGUGAAAACCAAAAGAUUCCCCGCUCCUCGGCUGGCUCCCUCCGCCUUCCCGUACAUUGCACUGCCUUUCAGCCGUUUUGCCCCCUUUGCUUCCUCUCCCCAUUGCUUCUACCUGGUGCCAUGGCGGCGCAGCAGAUCACGGAGUCCGAGGUGUGGCUCCUGACACAGGAGCUCCAGGCCAAGGAUGUGAAGCUCAGGGCCAAGGACAUGGAGCUCCGUGAGCUCAAGGAGGAGAGGAGUGCCAUGCUCCUCCAUUAUGUGCGGGAGUUCACAAAGCUUCAAAAGCGGCAGGCGUCCACCACAAAGAUGCUCGAGGCAUCGGCGUCGUUGCUGCAGAAAGCGGGAGAUACGAUAGGCCGUCAGGGGAGCCGGCUGGAGCGCGAGCGGGCCGAUCGUGACGAGGUCCAGGAUCGCCUCAGCCACUUGGUGAACCAAGUUGCCACACACGUGUUGCGGCUGUGCAAUGCCUACCGUCGUGCCAGCACGACCAUGCCGGCCAUUGGGCUAAACCGGUUUGACCACCCGGUCGACUUCAACGAGCUGCGGCUUCCUGACCUGGUCUCCUUCUUCACCUAUAUCUCCGAGGAGCUGAGCCGUCUCCGCGCGAUGGUGGGGGCGGAGCUGGACAAGGAGGGGUUGCAGGCUGCCCUCGCCAUUGUCGGGCGAAUCCUUUCAGGGCUCCGUCAUCGGAAUCCAUUCAUGCCAUUGGACGCCGUCUUUGAUGAGCUGGCUCCCGUCGACCGGGAGCGGGCUCUGCGGGCGGUUGCCCCUGCAUCACCAACAUCGUGCGCCUCGAGAAGGAGAGGGACUUCGGUGGUGUUUAGGCGCCCUCUGCAUGGGCAUGUCCAUGUCUCGGCGCAACAUGACCGUUGGAUCAAACUCAGACGGUGUAGAUCAGUCACUGUAGCAGAAAGCGUGUGGGUGUGUUUGGUUGCAUUCUCAUCUCAAUGUAGUUGUUUCCUCUUCGUGUAUUUGUGUUAACCUACUAGUGUGGACUGAUGCACCCUUCAUGCACUCUGCCAAACACCCAAAAGUGGGUCGAGAAGGGAACUUUUGCUCCCAUCCCGUGCACCCUUCAUACACCCUGCCUAACACUAUUCGUGCUUCAUAUGGUUCAUGUUUCAUGGAGUACUGUAGCACCGUAGUCUUCGUGCAUUGUAGACCUAGUUCUGUUAACAUUGAUCUCACGGUUCAUUCUCGACCGGACAGUCGAAAAAGCGGUACUAUGUUACUACAUUAAUGUUCAUAUAGUUGACAUGCGCACAACAUCAUUUGUUAUCGUCCUAUCUUACUACACUAGCAACAAGAUUAUGUAGUACUGACGUAUGAACCACUGCACAUGCCUAGCAGUAGGAGCAUUCUGUAUGUUCAAGUGGCUGUCGUGUUUCGCACUCCUCCCUCGUAAGAGUGGAAACGCUUGCUGUAAUCAUUUUUUCUUCAGAAAAACAGUGGACAUGCUCUACCGUGCGGAUCCUCCUCCAGCCAUGCACUAAAUUACUCACUUUCGCAGACGUGUGGGACAGCGAGCAUCUGGGUCCACCAGCCAUGCACUAAAUUACUCCGUAGUAGAGUGACGGUAGACUACCCCGAUCGAAGCGCCGCAGUAAUGCCCAACGAGCCGUCAAAUCACAAAACCCCCUCCUUUCCAGUAGUAAGUUGGACGAACGAAGCAACCAUCAUUUCACUCUUCUCUCUCAGCUUCCUCUCUUGAAGAAAACCCCCACCACUCACUUCGCUUCUCCCUCAUCUCGUUCUCAUUUCACUCUUCUCUCUCAGCUUCCUCUCUUAGAUGGACGCUGGAGCACCGGCCGACGUGAUGUCUAUGGCUCUGGCCAAAACCGUCGAGGCUCAUGGUACGAAGAAGUGCAAGCCCCGCCGAGACUACCGCAGACAAGCUCAAAGCCAUCACCCUGCCGAAGCCCCCCUCUCCGCGAUCCCUCAUUAAGCAAAUCUAGGUAAUAUCUCUUCUUGAAGAUCUUUUUCUCGAUCUUGAUCCUGUUUUUUCAUCUAACACGCAGUAUUAGUACUAGUAGUACAACUUCUGGGUGAUCUUGCAUGUGAUUUUAGUGUGCCAAAUGACGGUUCUAAAUUCCUCUUUUGACCAAAACAUGUGACAGGUUGACACUGAUUUCUUAUAGAUUACUUUCAACUACUCCCUCUAUCCCAAAUUUCUUGUCUUAGAUUUGUCUAGAUACGGAUGUAUCUAAUACUAAAAUGUGACUUGAUACAUCCGUGUCUAGACAAGUCUAAGACAAGAAUUUUGGGACGGAGGGAGUACUUUAUGAACAUCAAUGCUACCUUUGAAGAGGGUAUAUUUGCCUCAGUAACUUGUGUUAUGGAUAUUGCAAGUAAUCCCUCUACUCUCAUGCCUUUGAAGACAUGUUCUAGUGUCUUUGUUCACUCAUUUCUGUGCGUAUAUGUAGUCAUAUAUGGAGUAUAAUAUCGAAAAUCAUCUUAUAUUUCUGAACGGAGGUAGUAAUAAAAUAUGGUUUCAGUUUGAAUUAGAACCAGGUCCGCGGUGGAGAUGAAGUUCUCAAAGUCAUGCCGUGUGAACUGGAAGACCCGAGGAUGAGUUCUACUGCUAAACUAUCGAGCUGCUGUGUCCUUCUCGCCAUGUGUCCUGAACUAGUGUUUUCCUGUAGCAUUGUUGUCAGGCGUGUUCUCGAGGCUGUACUUGACCACAACAAUUUCCUGGCUGUGCCUUCGAUUACGAAGGGUGUGGUUCUUGUAAAGCUUCCCAACAAAUCUGAUGCGGCCUGUCUUCAUCAUCAUGUUUAUGAGUGGAAAGACCACUCUGUUAGGUUCUCCAAGGUUGACGAGAUGGUGCUGGUGCAUGUAGACAUCUCUCAAGAAGUCCAUGGCCUAGUCAGUUAUGCGGGGUUCAUCCCGUAGGUCGGUGGCAAGAAAUAGUCUGCAGAGUUUAAUUAGUGCAACUUUGCUUGUCUGUAGUAGGUACUAUUGUUUAGUACUUGAUUUGUGUUUGUGAACCCUAUAUUGUUUAUUAGUACUGCCGCUUUUGGUGUGUGGUCAGUCCUGAGAACGGUCUAUGUUAAUGUCUGUCCACUCAAUUCAGUCUGUAUAUUUUGAAGUAUCCAGAUCAUCUUUUUUGUGAGGACGGUUUAUCAAUUAUGGUUACACUCCAAUAUCUGUAUGCAUUGCAGGGUUUAUCGCACCCACCAGGAUUUCCAGUCCCAUGGAUGUUCGGUCCAUAUGACUUGUCACGACCUUUGGAUUGUCCUGCUUGUGGAAGUAGGCGGGGCCCCUGCAUGCCACCCGUAGUUGGGCGAUCAAUCUUCUGUUUAGUACUUCAACAUAGUGAUUUCCUGGUAAGGAUUCACUCGUGUCACAUCAAGUAAAUCUUAUUGAUUUACUGUCUAAAUCUUAUUGAUUUAAUGUCAUGUUUUCUUUCUUUUCCUGCAAUUUUACGAUGCAAGUUGUGCCAUGUGACAUUCAUCACAGAAUAAACCGUUUGGUUUGCUCUACGAUGGAUAUUUUUGCAGGUUUCACUUCUUAUGUCGUGUCAGUAACGAAGGCACUGUCCAUCACUUAUAUUAAUGGAAAAAAUUGGAUCAGUCUGUUGUCUGAGUACAAGUUGAAUCCCUAUGAUGAACUGCAGUUUGGUUUAAUAAAAACGCCACAAUUAGUCCUUCUUGCAUUUAAAAGAAAUGAAGAAAAAAACUGGAUCACGGUCACGGAUCCUAGUCAAGUUAGAAAGCUGAUCAUAGCAGACCAGACACGAUCGCCGCUAUCUCGCACAUCGGUACCACCCUCAGCAACGGAUCGAGCAUCAGCAGUUGCUCUAGCACUGACAGCGGCACCAACUCAGUCUGAUCCAGUAGAGGAUUGGGCACCGGCCGCGUCAGCGGAUCAGGCUAAUCUACCGGAGGAUCGGGCAUCGACACCGGCACCUGCUCCGACACCGGCACCAGCUCUACAAGGAGCACCAUCUCCGGCAGCAGCGGCGGCUUCGGCACCUGCACCAACACUUGCACUUGCAUCUGCUCCGGCCCGUGCAGCGGCAACCCAACGAGCGGUUGCACCGGCAAUAGACUGGGCUGCAGUUCGCACUUCAUAUACCAAUGUCCUUACAAAAACCGACAUGUCCACCUUCUUGGUAAGCAUUGGCCGCCCAAGUGCUUCGUUCUUUUUUAUUUCCAUGUUGUUUCACAUGAUUCACUGUGUUGAUGUAACUGUUUGGAUAUGUCUUCUUGUUUGCAAACAGAGAAUUCCUAGAGAAACGAGGGAGUCGUUCAACAAUCCGGGCGACCGCCGCCAAGUUUCUCUUACCAUGCGCAGCCUUGGUGUGAAUGAACCUGCUCAAUAUACCGUAAGUACAAAGGAUGGUCGCAUGACGAUUGAUGCUAAAGGAUGGUCAAGGUUCAAAUCUAAAUCAUAUCUUGCGGUAGGGGAUGAUGUCAAAAUCAAACUUUCUCGGCAAGGAGAGCUGGUCCAAAUCAACUUUGAAAUUCUUCAGUAGCAGCACGCAACUGCCGAACUGAUCUAUCCUCGGAGAGAUUUUGAUGUAAUAAUCUGGCAUGGUGAAACAAGUGUCCUGUGUGUAUAAGUAGUAUGACAGUAUUAUUUAUCACAUGGUAUAUCGUUGAUAGAAUUGCAACUCUCAUUGUUGGUUAGGAUCUGUCGUUCGAUUUCAUUCCAAUAGCUGCCGUGCUUUAUUCAAUUCUAUGUAUUAUCCUUGCGAUAGCAUCUAAAACCAGCGCCGUACCGAUCGCUUGCAAUAUGAAAAGCGCUGAGGUAGAACACAUGGGCCCCCAAACAUGCAGGGUGGGCCUGCGGCCCAAAGUCCAGAACCGUGAGCCUGUCUGAGUAUUAUAUUCUUAGCUGAACCCCCAUAAUGCCCGUGCGUUGCAUGUAACAUCAAGAUGCAUUUGUAUGAGUAUUUUAUCUUGUGAGAGAAAAGGAUGAACGAGGGAAGGCCUUAUUUGCAAAUGUGGAGAGAUGUGUGGGUACCUUUUUGCAAAAUUGCCAUAAUUUCCUUCCUAUCUGUCAGAUAUAACACUACUAGGGAAAUGAUUUUUAACGAUGGUAUAUGUGGUCGUUAAAUGUCAUAUUGUGGUCGUUAAAGAUCAGUAACGACCACAAUAUGGUGGUCGUGAUAGGCUCCAUCGUUAAAAGUAUUUUUUCGGCCGUUAUUCUUGUAACGACGGGAUGGUUUGUUGUUGUUAAUCCUGAGCCAACGACGACCACACUUCUAGUAUCAACAACCAUUUGUCCUCGUUAAUAAUUUUCCCGUGGUGAAAGAAUUAUCAUUAAUGGACACGUCAUAUUAUUGAUGACCAUUAUCUUUACUACUAUUUGGUUAAUUUUUAGCUACCACUUGUUUUUAAAAUGGUGAUCAUUUUUGUUUUUGUAGAACUUCAUGUUCGACAACCUUUAGAAUCGUUGACGACCACUCUAUGUAUCAUACAACAUUUGAAGAUUGACAUAGAAAUCAAUAUAGCCACAAGUUUUUGAAUAAUGAAAGAAUAUAUGCACUUCUUUAUUAAUAAGAAAUAAUAUAACGUAACAGAAUUCCGAACUAUAAUACUAAAAGUACUUAUCAGUUAAGAAAUAUGAGUCAAAAUCUAUCUAUAGAGGACCAAUGUACUUCCUCAUCUCUAAUUGGAAAACGAGAAAACUAAUAAGAUAAAAUAUAUUAAUCUUCAGUCGAGGGACGCCAUCAUUGUUGUCAUGGAUGUCUGCUUUGGCUAUUCCAAUGCCUCCUCGUGUUUGUAUAACUUAUGGUAGACCAUCGACUCUACAAGACAUUGAAUAAUUUAUAGAACUCAGUCCAUGUAAAAAAAUUCGCACAAAAGUGUAUGAGAACAACUUACUCGAUUGUGCUGGCUUUCACGAGGGUUCCUACUUAGUUAAGCCCGCUUUUUCCCUGCAAAACAAAACAUUGAAUUACAGGCAGAAAUUAAUUAGUUCCAGUUCAUAAGGUGCUUGUGUAAGAGCAAUGUGAACAAGUUCCAAAUUUGUAACCAAGGUAACCUCUCGUGUUAGUUUUAGCUAGAUGCAGGUAGUUUCAGUACCAAUCAGAAAAAAAAAAACAUUUUAAAACCACGUGGUAAGCAUAGAGCCAUGGACGUCUUAGUUCAAUAUCUCACAUAAUGAUAUACAUGAGUAUUUGAAUAAAAUCAUUGUCUAACCGGAUAGAUCAGUAGAGUAAUGAACUCUAAAGGACGACUAGACUAGUACAACAGCCAAAGCAGAAUGAAACCAAAACUUAAAAAACCACCGACCAUGAAUCCUUUCACAUGGUACUAAUGCCCUUAUAUUGAUUAAAAUCAUUGACUCACAGGCAACGGAAACUCUACGCGUGGGCAUCCACUGCCGCGUCUUCCCCCGCUCCGCGUCAUCCCCUUCCUAGGCCUCGCCGUCAUCCACUGCCCUAGUGCUCUCGGCGCAGCGUGGUCAACGUGGUCAAGGAACGACUUCCAUCAGACAUGGACUGUACGUGGAGAGGCUGACAGCUGUGUCCAUGGCCGCAGCAAGGAAGUGCCUCCUUAUUACGCGGAAAAUAAUGAUUCCUCCACCUGACAGCAGGGACCAACUGAACGGGCCACCGUAUUUCGCGAAAAAAACGUUUCCCCCCUGACUGCUGGGACCUAGCAGCUACAUCUUCGCACGCAAGUCAGUGCGUCCAUAUUACGGGGAAAAAAUGAUUCGCCCCCUGACUGCUGUGACCCACCAGCUACAUCUUCGCACGCAAGGAAGUGCAUCCGGGGAAAAAAUGAUUCGCCCCCCUGACUGCUGGGACCCACCAGCUACAUCUUCGCACGCAAGGAAGUGCCUGACAGUCGGGACCCACCUGGUCGAUGAAGGAAAUAUGCCCUAGAGGCAAUAAUAAUGUUAUUAUUUAUUUCCUUAUAUCAUGAUAAAUGUUUAUUAUUCAUGCUAGAAUUGUAUUAACCGGAAACAUAAUACUUGUGUGAAUACAUAGACAAACAGAGUGUCACUAGUAUGCCUCUACUUGACUAGCUCGUUGAUCAAAGAUGGUCUGGUUUCCUAGCCAUAGACAUGAGUUGUCAUUUGAUUAACGGGAUCACAUCAUUAGGAGAAUGAUGUGAUUGACUUGACCCAUUCCGUUAGCUUAGCACUCAAUCCUUUAGUAUGUUGCUAUUGCUUUCUUCAUGACUUAUACAUGUUCCUAUGACUAUGAGAUUAUGCAACUCCCGUCUACCGGAGGAACACUUUGUGUGCUACCAAACAUCACAAUGUAACUGGGUGAUUAUAAAGGUGCUCUACAGGUGUCUCCAAAGGUAUUUGUUGGGUUGGCGUAUUUCGAGAUUAGGAUUUGUCACUCCGAUUGUCGGAGAGGUAUCUCUGGGCCCACUCAGUAAUACACAUCACUAUAAGCCUUGCAAGCAUUGUGACUAAUGAGUUAGUUACGGGAUGAUGUAUUACGGAACGAGUAAAGAGACUAGCCGGUAACAAGAUUGAACUAGGUAUCGAGAUACCGACGAUCGAAUCUCGGGCAAGUAACAUACUGAUGACAAAGGGAACGACGUAUGUUGUUAUGCGGUCUCACCGAUAAAGAUCUUCGUAGAAUAUGUGGGAACCAAUAUGAGCAUCCAGGUUCCGCUAUUGGUUAUUGACCGGAGAGGUGUCUCGGUCAUGUCUACAUAGUUCUCGAACCCGUAGGGUCCGCACGCUUAACGCUAUGAUGAUAGUUAUAUUAUGAGUUUAUAUGUUUUGAUGUACCCAAGGUUGUUCGGAGUCCCGGAUGUGAUCACGGACAUAACGAGGAGUCUCAAAAUGGUCGAUACAUAAAGAUUGAUAUAUUGGAAGCCUAUGUUUGGAUAUCGGAAGUGUUCCGGGUGAAAUCGGGAUUUUUCCGGAGUACCGGGAGGUUACCGGAACCCCCCGGUAACUUAAUGGGCCUUAGUGGGCCUAGGUGGAAGAGAGGAGAGGAGGCCAGGGCAGGGCCGCACGCCCCUCCCCGCAGUCCGAAUAGGACAAGGAGAGGGGGGCGGCGCCCCCCUUUCCUUCCUCCCCUCCACCUCUUCCCCCUCUCUCUCCUAGUCCAACAUGGAAAAGGGGGGAGUCCUACUCCCGGUAGGAGUAGGACUCCUCCUGGCGCGCCUCUCCCCUUGGCCAUCCGAACCCUCCCUUGCUCCUUUAUAUACGGGGGCAGGGGGGCACCUCUAGACACACAAUUGAUCAUUGAUCUCUUAGCCGUGUGCGGUGCCCCCCUCCACCAUAUUACACCUCGGUAAUAUCAUAGCGGUGCUUAGGCGAAGCCCUGCGUCAGUAGAACAUCAUCAUUGUCACCACGCCGUCGUGCUGACGAAACUCUCCCUCAACACUCGGCUGGAUCGGAGUUCGAGGGACGUCAUCGAGCUGAACGUGUGCUGAACUCGGAGGUGCCAUGCGUUCGGUACUUGAUCGGUCGGAUCGUGAAGACGUAGGACUACAUCAAUCGCGUUGUGUUAAACGCUUCCGCUUUCGUUCUACGAGGGUACGUGGACAACACUCUCCCCUCUUGUUGCUAUGCAUCACCAUGAUCUUGCGUGUGUGUAGGAUUUUUUUUGAAAUUACUACGUUCCCCAACAGUGGCAUCCGAGCCUGGUUUUAUGCGUUGAUGUUAUAUGCACGAGUAGAACACAAGUGAGUUGUGGGCGAUAUAAGUCAUACUGCUUACCAGCAUGUCAUAUUUUGGUUCAGCGGUAUUGUGAGAUGAAGCGGCCCGGACCGACAUUAUGCGUACGCUUACGCGAGACUGGUUUCACCGUUGCGAGCACUCGUUGCUUAAAGGUGACUGGCGGGUGUCUGUCUCUCUCACUUUAGUUGAACCGAGUGUGGCUACGCCCGGUCCUUGCGAAGGUUAAAGCAGCACCAACUUGACAAACUAUCGUUGUGGUUUUGAUGCGUAGGUAAGAACGGUUCUUGCUAAGCCCGUAGCAGCCACGUAAAACUUGCAACAACAAAGUAGAGGACGUCUAACUUGUUUUUGCAGGGCAUGUUGUGAUGUGAUAUGGUCAAGACAUGAUGCUGAAUUUUAUUGUAUGAGAUGAUCAUGUUUUGUAACCGAGUUAUCGGCAACUGGCAGGAGCCAUAUGGUUGUCGCUUUAUUGUAUGCAAUGCAAUCGCCAUGUAAUUGUUUUACUCUAUCACUAAGCGGUAGCGAUAGUCGUAGAAGCAAUAGUUGGCGAGACGACAACUAUGCUACGAUGGAGAUCAAGGUGUCGCGCCGGUGACGAUGGUGAUCAUGAUGGUGCUUCGGAGAUGGAGAUCACAAGCACAAGAUGAUGAUGGCCAUAUCAUAUCACUUAUAUUGAUUGCAUGUGAUGUUUAUCUUUUAUGCAUCUUAUCUUGCUUUGAUUGACGGUAGCAUUAUAAGAUGAUCUCUCACUAAAUUUCAAGAUAAAAGUGUUCUCCCUGAGUAUGCACCGUUGCCAAAGUUCGUCGUGCCCAGACACCACGUGAUGAUCGGGUGUGAUAAGCUCUACGUCCAUCUACAAUGGGUGCAAGCCAGUUUUGCACACGCAGAAUACUCAGGUUAAACUUGACGAGCCUAGCAUAUGCAGAUAUGGCCUCGGAACACUGAGACCGAAAGGUCGAGCGUGAAUCAUAUAGUAGAUAUGAUCAACAUAGUGAUGUUCACCAUUGAAAACUACUCCAUUUCACGUGAUGAUCGGUUAUGGUUUAGUUGAUUUGGAUCACGUAAUCACUUAGAUGAUUAGAGGGAUGUCUAUCUAAGUGGGAGUUCUUAAGUAAUAUGAUUAAUAGAAAUUAAAUUUAUCAUGAACUUAGUACCUGAUAGUAUCUUGCUUGUCUAUGUUAAUUGUAGAUAGAUGGCCCGUGCUGUUGUUCCGUUGAAUUUUAAUGCGUUCCUUGAGAAAGCAAAGUUGAAAGAUGAUGGUAGCAAUUAUAUGGACUGGGUCCGUAACUUGAGGAUUAUCCUCAUUGCUGCACAGAAGAAUUACGUCCUGGAAGCACCGCUGGGUGCCAGGCCUGCUGCAAGAGCAACACUAGAGGUUAUGAACGUCUGGCAGACCAAAGCUGAUGACUACUUGAUAGUUCAGUGUGCCAUGCUUUACGGCUUAGAACCGGGUCUUCAACGACGUUUUGAACGUCAUGGAGCAUAUGAGAUGUUCCAGGAGUUGAAGUUAAUAUUUCAAGCAAAUGCCCGGAUUGAGAGAUAUGAAGUCUCCAAUAAGUUCUACAGCUGCAAGAUGGAAGAGAAUAGUUCUGUCAGUGAGCAUAUACUCAAAACGUCUGGGUAUAACAAUCACUUGAUUCAACUGGGAGUUAAUCUUCCGGAUGAUAGCAUCAUUGACAGAAUUCUUCAAUCACUACGACCAAGCUACAAGAGCUUCGUGAUGAACUAUAACAUGCAAGGGCUGAAUAAGACAAUUCCCGAGCUCUUCGCAAUGCUAAAGGCAGCGGAGGUAGAAAUCAAAAAGGAGCAUCAAGUGUUGAUGGUCAAUAAGACCACUAGUUUCAAGAAAAAGGGCAAAGGGAAGAAGAAGGGGAACUUCAAGAAGAACAGCAAGCAAGUUGUUGUUCAGGAGAAGAAACGCAAAUCUAGACCUAAGCCUGAGACUGAGUGCUUCUACUGCAAGCAGACUGGUCACUAGAAGCGGAACUGCCCCAAGUAUUUGGCGGAUAAGAAGGAUGGCAAGGUGAACAAAGGUAUAUGUGAUAUACAUGUUAUUGAUGUGUACCUUACCAGAGAUCGCAGUAGCACCUGGGUAUUUGAUACUGGUUUUGUUGCUAAUAUUUGCAACUCGAAACAGGGACUACAGAUUAAGCGAACACUGGCCAAGGACGAGGUGACGAUGCGCGUGGGAAACGGUUCCAAAGUCAAUGUGAUCGCCAUCGGCAUGCUACCUCUACAUCUACCUUCGGGAUUAGUAUUAGACCUAAAUAAUUGUUAUUUGGUGCCAGCGUUAAGCAUGAACAUUAUAUAUGGAUCUUGUUUGAUGCGAGACGGUUAUUCAUUUAAAUCAGAGAAUAAUGGUUGUUCUAUUUAUAUGAGUAAUAUCUUUUAUGGUCAUGCACCCUUGAAGAGUGGUGUAUUUUUAAUGAAUCUCGGUAGUAGUGGCACACAUCUUCAUAAUGUCGAAGCCAAAAGACGCAGAGUUGAUAAUGAUAGUGCAACUUAUUUGUGGCACUGCCGUUUAGGUCAUAUCGGUGUAAAGCGCAUGAAGAAACUCCAUAAUGAUGGACUUUUGGAAUCACUUGAUUAUGAAUCACUUGGUACUUGCGAACCGUGUCUCAUGGGCAAGAUGACUAAAACACCGUUCUCCGGAACUAUGGAGAGAGCAACUAAUUUGUUGGAAAUCAUAGAUACAGAUGUAUGUGGUCCGAUGAAUAUUGAGGCUCGUGGAGGAUAUCAUUAUUUUCUCACCUUCAUAGAUGAUUUGAGCAGAUAUGGGUAUAUCUACUUAAUGAAACAUAAGUCUGAAACAUUUGAAAAGUUCAAAGAAUUUCAGAGCGAAGUUGAAAAUCAUCGUAACAAGAAAAUAAAGUUUCUACGAUCAGAUCGUGGAGGAGAAUAUUUGAGUUACGAGUUUGGCCUACAUUUGAAACAAUGCGGAAUAGCUUCGCAACUCACGCCACCCGGAACACCACAACGUAAUGGUGUGUCCGAACAUCAUAAUCGUACUUUACUAGAUAUAUUGCGAUCUAUGAUGUCUCUUACUGAUUUACCGCUAUCGUUUUGGGGUUAUGCUUUAGAGACGGCUGCAUUCACUCUAAAUAGGGCACCAUCGAAAUCCGUUGAGACGACGCCUUAUGAACUAUGGUUUGGCAAGAAUCCAAAGUUGUCGUUUCUUAAAGUUUGGGGUUGCGAUGCUUAUGUGAAGAAACUUCAACCUGAUAAGCUCGAACCUAAAUCGGAGAAAUGUAUCUUCAUAGGAUACCCAAAGGAGACUGUUGGGUACACCUUCUAUCACAGAUCCGAAGGCAAGACAUUCGUUGCUAAGAAUGGAUCCUUUCUAGAGAAGGAGUUUCUCUUGAAAGAAGUGAGUGGGAGGAAAGUAGAACUUGAUGAGGUAACUGUACCUGCUCCCUUAUUGGAAAGUAGAUCAUCACAGAAACCAGUUUCUACGACACCUACGCCAAUUAGUGGGGAAGUUAAUGAUAAUGAUCAUGAAACUUCAGAUCAAGUUAUUACUGAACCUCGUAGGUCAACCAGAUUAAGAUCGGCACCAGAGUGGUACGGUAAUCCUGUUCUGGAGGUUAUGUUACUAGACCAUGACGAACCUACGAACUAUGAAGAAGCGAUGGUGAGCCCAGAUUCCGCAAAAUGGCUUGAAGCCAUGAAAUCCGAGAUGGGAUCCAUGUAUGAGAACAAAGUACAGACUUUGGUUGACUUUCCCGAUGAUCGGCAAGCCAUUGAAAAUUAAUGGAUCUUCAAGAAGAAGACUGACGCUGACGGUAAUGUUACUAUCUAUAAAGCUCGACUUGUUGCGAAAGGUUUUUGACAAGUUCAAGGGAUUGACUACAAUGAGACUUUCUCACCCGUAGCGAUGCUCAAGUCUGUCCGAAUCAUGUUAGCAAUUGCCGCAUUUUAUGAUUAUGAAAUUUGGCAAAUGGAUGUCAAUACUGCAUUCCUGAAUGGAUUUCUGGAAGAAGAGUUGUAUAUGAUGCAACCGGAAUGUUUUGUCGAUCCAAAGGGAGCUAACAAAGUGUGCAAGCUCCAGCGAUCCAUUUAUGGACUGGUGCAAGCCUCUCGGAGUUGGAAUAAACGCUUUGAUAGUGUGAUCAAAGCAUUUGGUUUUAUACAGACUUUUGGAGAAGCCUGUAUUUACAAGAAAGUGAGUGGGAGCUCAGUAGCAUUUCUGAUAUUAUAUGUGGAUGACAUAUUGCUAAUUGGAAAUGAUAUAGAAUUUCUGGAUAGCAUAAAGGGAUACUUGAAUAAGAGUUUUUCAAUGAAAGACCUCGGUGAAGCUGCAUAUAUAUUGGGCAUCAAGAUCUAUAGAGAUAGAUCAAGACGCUUAAUUGGACUUUCACAAAGCACAUGCCUUGACAAAGUUUUGAAGAAGUUCAAAAUGGAUCAAGCAAAGAAAGGGUUCUUGCCUGUAUUACAAGGUGUGAGAUUGAGUAAGACUCAAUGCCCGACCACUGCAGAAGAUAGAGAAAAGAUGAAAGAUGUUCCCUAUGCUUCAGCCAUAGGCUCUAUCAUGUAUGCAAUGCUGUGUACCAGACCUGAUGUGUGCCUUGCUAUAAGUUUAGCAGGGAGGUACCAAAGUAAUCCAGGAGUGGAUCACUGGACAGCGGUCAAGAACAUCCUGAAAUACCUGAAAAGGACUAAGGAUAUGUUUCCCGUUUAUGGAGGUGACAAAGAGUUCAUCGUAAAUGGUUACGUUGAUGCAAGCUUUGACACUGAUCCAGACGAUUCUAAAUCGCAAACCGGAUACGUGUUUACAUUGAACGGUGGAGCUGUCAGUUGUUGCAGUUCUAAGCAAAGUGUCGUGGCGGGAUCUACGUGUGAAGCGUAGUACAUAGCUGCUUCGGAAGCAGCAAAUGAAGGAGUCUGGAUGAAGGAGUUCAUAUCCGAUCUAGGUGUCAUACCUAGUGCAUCGGGUCCAAUGAAAAUCUUUUGUGACAAUACUGGUGCAAUUGCCUUAGCAAAGGAAUCCAGGUUUCACAAAAGAACCAAGCACAUCAAAAGACGCUUCAAUUACAUCCGGGAUUUAGUCCAGGUGGGAGACAUAGAAAUUUGCAAGAUACAUACGGAUCUAAAUGUUGCAGACCCGUUGACUAAGCCUCUUCCACGAGCAAAACAUGAUCAGCACCAAGACUCCAUGGGUGUAAGAAUCAUUACUAUGUAAUCUAGAUUAUUGACUCUAGUCCAAGUGGGAGACUGAAGGAAAUAUGCCCUAGAGGCAAUAAUAAAGUUAUUAUUUAUUUCCUUAUAUCAUGAUAAAUGUUUAUUAUUCAUGCUAGAAUUGUAUUAACCGGAAACAUAAUACUUGUGUGAAUACACAGACAAAGAGAGUGUCACUAGUAUGCCUCUACUUGACUAGCUCGUUGAUCAAAGAUGGUUAUCUUUCCUAGCCAUAGACAUGAGUUGUCAUUUGAUUAACGGGAUCACAUCAUUAGGCGAAUGAUGUGAUUGACUUGACCCAUUCCGUUAGCUUAGCACUCGAUCGUUUAGUAUGUUGCUAUUGCUUUCUUCAUGACUUAUACAUGUUCCUAUGACUAUGAGAUUAUGCAACUCCCGUCUACCGGAGGAACACUUUGUGUGCUACCAAACUUCACAACAUAACUGGGUGAUUAUAAUGGUGCUCUACAGGUGUCUCCAAAGGUAUUUGUUGGGUUGGCGUAUUUCGAGAUUAGGAUUUGUCACUCCGAUUGUCGGAGAGGUAUCUCUGGGCCCACUCAGUAAUACACAUCACUAUAAGCCUUGCAAGCAUUGUUACUAAUGAGUUAGUUGCGGGAUGAUGUAUUACGGAAUGAGUAAAGAGACUUGCCGGUAACGAGAUUGAACUAGGUAUCGAGAUACCGACGAUCGAAUCUCGGGCAAGUAACAUACCGAUGACAAAGGGAACAACGUAUGUUGUUAUGCGGUCUGACCGAUAAAGAUCUUCAUAGAAUAUGUGGGAACCAAUAUGAGCAUCCAGGUUCCGCUAUUGGUUAUUGACCGGAGAGGUGUCUCGGUCAUGUCUACAUAGUUCUCAAACCCGUAGGGUCCGCACGCUUAACGUUAUAAUGACAGUUAUAUUAUGAGUUUAUAUGUUUUGAUGUACCGAAGGUUGUUCGAGUCCCGGAUGUGAUCACGGACAUAACGAGGGGUCUCGAAAUGGUCGAGACAUAAAGAUUGAUAUAUUGGAAGCCUAUGUUUGGAUAUCGGAAGUGUUCCGGGUGAAAUCGGGAUUUUUCCGGAGUACCGGGAGGUUACCGGAACCCCCCGGUAACUUAAUGGGCCUUAGUCGGCCUAGGUGGAAGAGAGGAGAGGAGGACAGGGCAGGGUCGCACGCCCCUCCCCCCAGUCCGAUAGGACAAGGAGAGGGGGGCGGUGCCCCCCCUUUCCUUCCCCCCCCCACAUCUUCCCCCUCUCUCUCCUAGUCCAACAUGGAAAAGGGGGGGAGUCCUACUCCCGGUAGGAGUAGGACUCCUCCUGGCACGCCUCUCCCCUUGGCCGUCCGAACCCCCCUUGCUCCUUUAUAUACGGGGCCAGGGGGGCACCUCUAGACACACAAUUGAUCAUUAAUCUCUUAGCCGUGUGCGGUGCCCCCCUCCACCAUAUUACACCUCGAUAAUAUCGUAGCGGUGCUUAGGCGAAGCCCUGCGUCGGUAGAACAUCAUCAUUGUCACCACGCCGUCGUGCUGACGAAACUCUCCCUCAACACUCGGCUGGAUCGGAGUUCGAGGGACGUCAUCGAGCUGAACGUGUGCUGGACUCGGAGGUGCCGUGCGUUCGGUACUUUAUCGGUCGGAUCAUGAAGACGUACGACUACAUCAACCGCGUUGUGUUAAACGCUUCCCCUUUCGGUCUACGAGGGUACGUGGACAACACUCUCCCCUCUCGUUGCUAUGCAUCACCAUGAUCUUGCGUGUGCGUAGGAAAUUUUUUGAAAUUACUACGUUCCCCAACAAUCGAAGCGUAUGUAGCGUUGUCAUUCUGGUCGCGAACGUGUACGUACAUAUUGGUCGAUGUAGAGGCGCGUACGUAGCAUGUACACUUACGUACAUCUGCCAGUGUGCAAGAAAGAAAAUACGGUCACGUACGUACAUACAGACGGGGUCUCAAACGCCUACUCGCGCAUACGUACGGCGAGGACUGGUGUACAUGGCUGGGUCGGAAUGGAGAAACAUCGUCGUCGUCGUGUUCAUGGGGAGCCACCCGGCUGGGUCGGAACGGAAUGCGUCGUCGUGUUCAUCGGGAGGGCUUGGACGGAACAGGCGAUGGAAACAGUGCCUGGCGUACCGUAGAACGGAGGAAACGGCCUUGUGUUCGACCGUCCACGUUCGAAACGGGAUCCUGUUCAUCGGGAGGGGUCUGGCGUACCGCAAAAACGAAGGAAACGGACUUGUGUUGGACCUCCUACGGUCGAAACGGGGUCCUGUUGAUCGGGAGGGGUCUGGCGAACUGCAAAACGGGGGAAACGGACUUGUGUUGGAGCGCUACGGUCAAAACGGGGGUCCUCUUCAUCGGGAGGGUGUGGCGUACCGCAAAACGGGACUCCACGGGAUAUUGUUCAUCUCCACCGUCGACCUCCUCCAGCCUCCAUGGGCUACUGUUCAUCCACCGUCGACCUCCUCCAGCCUCCACCUGCGACUGUUCAUCCACGGGCUCCUGUUCAUCCAGCCUCCACCGUGCGCUACUCCACCGGCUACUGUUCAACCACCCCUCUCCACGGGCUCUUGUUCAACCACCCCUCCACGGGCUACUGUUCAUCCACCCCUCCACCAUCUACUGUUCAUCCAGCCCUCCACGGGGUCGUCCUGUUCAUCCAGCCCUCCACGGGGUCCUGUUCAUCCAGCCGCAACCGGCUCGAUCGAUCGGGGUCCUGUUCANNNNNNNNNNNNNNNNNNNNNNNNNNNNNNNNNNNNNNNNNNNNNNNNNNNNNNNNNNNNNNNNNNNNNNNNNNNNNNNNNNNNNNNNNNNNNNNNNNNNNNNNNNNNNNNNNNNNNNNNNNNNNNNNNNNNNNNNNNNNNNNNNNNNNNNNNNNNNNNNNNNNNNNNNNNNNNNNNNNNNNNNNNNNNNNNAACACCACGGGGUCCUGUUCAUCCACCCCCAUCGCUCACUAUUCAUCCAACCACCCCCCCCCCGCAACGCUCACUGUUCAUCCAGAGGCAGCAUCGAUCAGCUUCAGUUAGCAGCAAUAGCGAAGGAAUCGCUCGAGCGGGUUCAGUUAACAGCCAUCGGCUCGGGUUCAGUAACGCAUAGCCUGCAGUGCAAUCGCUCGGGUUUAGUUAGAGCCCAACGCCUCGCUCGGGUUCAGUUAGAGCCCAACGCCCUGCACGCACACGUGUAUGUGUAUGAGUGAAACGCGCAAACCUCCGUGCAUCGCUCGGCCCCGACCACCCACCGUAACCGGGAACUCACCGAAACUUUCCUCGCCCUUGCUUCUACCACGGUUUUUUCCGUCAUGGAUGGCCCAAAGAAUGUUAUGCAGCUGCAUCUCCGGCCCUCCCAGGACGAAAAGCCCAUUUCCUGUCAUGAUUUUUUGUCAUAGAAGUAGGAGCCCCCAACAUCUAUGAUGAUACCGGGUUUUGUCACAAUUAUCGUCAUAGAUGUGUCAUAAGUAUGACAGAUUUUUUUUUCGUUCGGCCCAAAAUGUCACGGAUGUGUCUUUUUUUGUAGUGUCGAGGAGCGCCUGCAGUGCAUGCAUGAGCUUCUCACCGUUGCGAACAUGCAGCAUGAAUGCCUUGACGCUCUCGCAGCGUUCGAAUCGCACCGCACCAAAGAGCCCGAGCAACAGAACACGGCGUCUUCUCCACGCCACACUGAGGCUCAUUCCGGCCGGACCCGAACCUGGCGCAACUGCACCCUGACGGCUGGCGGCGACCUAGGCAACGAGCUGGCUGUAGAAGACCGGUGCCGGCAAGACCCUCCCCCGCCAUCCGUCCGGCGUGGCCGUCCAGCUUCAACUGACCCGGCUCCCCAUGGCCUAGUCGCAACCUGGCUGGGCCCGCGCGACAUCGACAACAACGACGCUCGCGACCACAUCGAGCAACUCGCCCUUUCCCUCGAGUUGGAGGAAGAUAACGCGGUCGGGCCAGCUUCCUUCAACCCGCGGAUCCGCGACAAGCCCUUCCACAAAGGGUUCACGCUCCCUCGUGACACCCCCAAGUACAAUAGGAUCGUCAAGCCAGAGCACUGGCUCAUAGAUUAUACCACCGCCACUGGCAUCGCAGGCAGCAACCGGCGUCGGGCCGUGCGCUAUGCCCCGGUCAUGCUCCAGGGCUCGGCCCGGAUAUGGCUGAACAGCCUGCCGGCUAGCAGCGUCAACUCGUGGCUCAACUUCGAGCCCUUCGUGCGCAAGUUCACCGGCACCGACAAGCGACCCAGCCGUCCCAGUCAGCUUGCCAUGUGCGUGUAGGGGCUGAGCGAGACCAAACGUGAGUACCUUGCAUGCUAGAAUGAGCUCCGCAACAACUACGAGGUGGUCCAUGAGGUUCAAGCUAUCUAGUACUUUGGGAGCGGCUGCUGGGAUGGCACCCUCCUGACGCAAAAGCUCCUGCGCUCCGAGCCAACCACCAUGGCCGUGCUUAUGGUCAUGGUGGACAAGUACGCCAUGGCCGACUCCGCCAUGAAGAUCCAUGUCGUAGUGGACGAGGCCGGCAAGGCGUUGCCCGCACCGCCCUUCAAGCCGGUUGGCGAGAACGGCCGCCAGCAGAACAACAAGUGUAAGGCCGAGUUGCCAGCUACACUACAAAAAAAAUACACUUCCGUGAUGAUACAUGUUUGUCACAGUAGGUCACGUUUUCUGUCAUGCAUGUACAUCCAUGACGAUUUUAUGAGAAAAUUAAGAUAGUCAUGCCUGUGCUGUCAUAGAAGUGUUCCAUGACAUUACCAAAAUUAUCAUCACAGAAGUGUCCACUUCCAUGACGAUAAAUUGUGCGUCACAGAAGUGCUUUCGUCAAGGGUGGCCGACAUGUGGCAUCCACCGUAACGGGUCACCGUUAAGCUAUUGGGUUCCGGUUUGGGUCCGAUAACCCGUUAACAGCCCAGACCAAUGGGGAUUUUCUAGGUGUAAAAUUCUCAAUGGCCAGAGUAACCACGUGUCGGCUCACCAUUGGGACAGAUGUUAUCCACUCAUUGGACCGAAGGCACCUAUGAUUCAUUGACACGUGGCAUGGGCCAACAGAGGCCCAUUCGAGUGAAAAGGCCGGCCCGUUCGACUUGGUCAAAAGGUAGCACGCCGGCCCAUGCAAAGCCUAUUAACGGACUGUUCGAAUAUAGCCCAUUUACAGCACGCUAACUCACGACCUACCGGAAUUUGGCCCAGUAGCGUCAUCUGGGCCGUCCAAUAUGAUACCAGCCCAUUGUAACUUCCAGCCCAUGUAUGGCCCAUGACGUCUUUCGGCCCAUACGAGGCCCUUUGUAACUCUGGGCCCAUUAAAGGCCCGAGAUGAAACUGACCCAUAAUGAACAGUGUAUCGCUUUAUACCCAUUAACGGCCCAGUAUUCCAUCGGUCAUUUCCAGCCCGUGUUAAGUUUUGGCCUUCUAAGGGCACAUUUAUUCUUGGGCUCAUUUCUAGAAUUUGGUUAGUUACGGUCCAUUAAUGGCCUGUUCCGUUAAUGGGCCAAACUCAGCCCGUGGUUACAUUUGGCCCGUUUGUGGCUCGUUAACCCACUAGGCUGUUUUCAUAGCGUUAUCAAAUACGGCCUAUUAAUGGCCUGUUAUGGUCCAUGAAUAGUACGGCCCGUGUUUCGCGAAAUGAUUAUACGCCCCGUAGAAGGCCCAUGGAUCCUACGGCCCAUAGAAAGCCAAUGGAUCCCACGGCCCGUAGAAGGCCCAUGGAUCAUAUGGCCCGUAGAAGGCCCAUGGAUCCUACGGCCCAUAGGAGGCCCAUGGUUACAACAGUCUGUGUGUUGCCAUGGUUAUUGUGGCCUAGUUACCAAAAAUAGGUUAUUGUGGCCACUAGAAAAAUGCGGAAAAAGAACUGCAGUGACUACAAGCAAACAACUAAACAAGACAAUAAGCAAAUAAAUAAGCAAGCAACUAACGCUAGGCUAUUACGUCUAUUACACAUAUUACAUCCACUAGGCAUCAAAGUUCGCCACCAGUGCAAAUAUAGGGAACAAAGCAGUAUAUUACAUACACUGGCCGUCUAAAUUGGCCACCAGUGCAAAUAAACAAGGCAGGAAAACAAGUCCAAAACUGAAACAACUUCAGAAGAGCUCAAGAAAUGUUAUCAUGGGUAUCCACCAUGUUGGCAAUAAGCUUAGCAAGCUUAUUAGCUUUGUCCUGUUUGGCGGUAAAAUCCUCCAACGCUUGUUGUUGCACCAGAAAGUAUGCAUCUGAAUGCUCCAUGGACUUCCGCAGUCAUUCCGCUUCUUGACGCAGCACAACUGAUCGAUGUCUUUCAGCUUGUAGUUGAGACUCAAGAAACCGAACUGAUUCACACAGUGAGUUUGAAUAGCUUGUGCCAGCGGUAGUGGCCAGUAACUCGAACACUAAACCAAGCAGAACAUUGGGGUUGUCUCGCUGUCUCCAGUAUAGUUUUCCUUAGCUGUUUUAUCAGCUUUGUUGGAGACCAACAAGGAUGUCAAACUAUCCCGAACCUUAUCUGCAUUACUUCCUUUACCAUUUCUUAAAAAGGCACUCUUCCCCAAUAUUUUGUCAGCAUUCUAAAAGAAGAAACAAGCAUACACAUAACAGGUUUAGCAGGUACUAGUAUAUGAAACUCAUUUCGGUGAACCAGUUCAUUAGUAAGGUGGACAAGAUUAAACUACCAAGUCUUCUAUUGCCAAGUAGUACAUUAUAAAAGCAUCAAACAAACAUAUAUCUAUGUCCUAUGGUCACUGCAUUGUCUUGCCAAAUCAAAAUAGAGACACGGUUCAAAUCAUAUUAGUUCAAGAGAAAGCAGCACUAAAAGAAUACAAAGCAUGGGAAACUACACGGCUCAACAAGAUUUCAGAUGGGUACUACGGGGUCUACAUGUACAACAACACUAUUGGCUCUGUUGUGAUCCUAGUAAUGUGCAUGAUAUGAGAAGUCAACUGCAUAUACAAUUGAAAUUGAAAUCAGCAGAGCUAUUUAUAAGAGCAGACAUGUUAAAGAAAUAUGCGUAAACAUACCUGUUGUGCCAUUGGAGUUUCGAUUGGAUCCUUCAAUUUAAAAAUAAUUUUGUAUGAGUAAAUACAAUGAUACAAGAGCAAAGCAGUAUGCACGAUAGCAAUGGAAUCUUAAAUGACAAAAGUUGUUCUUCAGGUUUAAGCACUUGUUCUACAUGAACAGAGUACAGUAAGACGCAAGCAUAUAGUACUUAAAAAAUGAGCUCAUAGACCUUACCACAUUCUUGGUUCGGGACCAGUACAGAACAAGGCAUUCCCAGUCAUCGUCUAGUAAAUGUGUCUCGGGAGAACGUAAGGGAAUAUUACGAGUUUCUUUGCCAGUGAAGUACAUUUUAUUCAGGUAAUUCUGACACUGCCACCAAGCAUUCUUGAAGAUAGCAGAGGUAUUAGCAUAGGUGUAGGAUUGAAAGUAUGUCUAGAGGGGGGUGAUUAGACUACUUGACCAAAUAAAAAUCUAGCCUUUUCCCAAUUUUAGUUCUUGGAAGAUUUUAGCAACUUAGCACAAGUCAAGCAAUCAGCCUACACAUGCAAUUCUAAGAGUAUAGCAGCGGAAUGUAAAACAAUUGCAUAUGAAGGUAAAGGGGAGGAGUUUAAGGGAGCAAAUGCAAUGUUGACACGGAGAUUUUUUACCCGUGGUUCCGAUAGGUGGUGCUAUCGUACAUCCACGUUGAUGGAGACUUCAACCCAUUAAGGGUAACGGUUGCGCGAGUCCACGGAGGGCUCCACCCAUGAACGGUCCACGAAGAAGCAACCUUGUCUAUCCCACCCUGGCCGUCGCCCACGAAGGACUUGCCUCACGAGGGUAUAUCUUCACGAAGUAGGCGAUCUCCUUGCCCUUACAAACUCCUUGGUUCAACUCCACAAUCUUGUCAGAGGCUCCCAAGUGACACCUAGCCAAUCUAGGAGACACCACUCUCCAAGAAGUAACAAAUGGUGUGUUGAUAAUGAACUCCUUGCUCUUGUGCUUCAAAUGAUAGUCUCCCCAACACUCAACUCUCUCUCACAGGAUUUGGAUUUGGUGGAAAGAAGAUUUGAGUGGAAAGCAACUUGGGGAAGGCUAGAGAUCAAGAUUCAUAUGAUAGGAAUGGAAUAUCUUGGUCUCAACACAAGUGUAGGUGGUUCUCUCUCAGAAAAUGUAUGUUGGAAGUGUAGGCAUGUUCUGGUAGCUCUCUCCAUGAAUGAAGAGGGGGUGGAGGGGUAUAUAUAGCCUCCACACAAAAUCUAACCGUUACACACAACUUACCAAUCUCGGUGAGACCGAAUUGAGAAACUCGGUCGGACCGAUUCAGCAAAUCAUGUGACCGUUAGGUUUUUCCGUGGGACCGACAUGCAACUCAGUAGGACCGAUAUGAUUAGGGUUAGGGCAUAACGUAAUCUUGGUGAGACCGAUUCACAAACUCGGUGAGACCGAUUUUGGUAAUAAGCUAACCAGAGAGUUGGUCAGGCAAACUCGGUGGGACCGAUUCGCUCAUCUCGGCGAGACCGAAACGUUACGAAAAGGAAACAGAGAGUUUGCAUUGUAAUCUCGGUGGGACCGAUCGCUCAUCUCGGUUUGACCGAAGCGUUAUGAAUGGAAACGGAGAGAUUACAACCCCAUCUUGGUGAGACCGAGAUCCCUAUCGGUGAUACCGAUUUGCCUAGGGUUUGUGGCAGUGUCUAUGACAUCUGAACUCGGUGGCGCCUGAUAGAAAGAAUCGGUUGGGCCGAGUUAGACUUUUGGUUUGGGUCAAAUGUGGAUGUGAGAAAGUAGUUGAGGGCUUUGGAGCAUAUCACUAAGCACUUAGAGCAAGAAAGCCAUUAAGCAACACCUCAUCCCUCCUUGAUAGUAUUGGCUUUUCCUAUGGACUCAAUGUGAUCUUGGAUCACUAAAAUAGAAAAUUUAGAGUCUUGUGCUUUGAGCUUGAGCCAAUCCUUUUGUCCUUAGCAUUUUGAGGGAUCCACUUUUCUCAUCCAUGCCAUGCCAAUCAUUGAGCUUUCCUGAAAUAUUUAUCUUGAAGUAGCAUUAGCUCAAUGAGAUAUAUGUUGUUAGGAAUUACCAAAACCACCCAGGGAUAGUUGCACUUUCAAUCUCCCCCUUUUUGGUAAUUGAUGACAACAUAUAGAUCAAAGCUUCGACAAAUGAUAAUAAGAUUGAAAAACAUUGUCGCUUUGAGAACUAUGUGAAAAGUAAGAGCUCCCCCUAAAUUUGUGCAUUAUUUAAAAAUUUGCUUUGGACUGCAAAUGAACAAUGAGUUAGGAUCAUGGGUUACUCUUCCAUGUCACAUACAUCUUGGUGGAGCGCUCAAAAUGAAAAUAAUUAAAUACAUGCACUCAUCACCAAGCAAAGUGAAUGAUCAUAUAGGGAUAAAGGAUAAUGUCAUCCAACAAGCAUUAAGGUAGCAUAUGAUCAAACACAUGAUCAUCCAAGUAUCUCACAAAAGCAUAGAGUAUCAAGCAAACAAGCAAGUAACGAAGUUCAACCAAAAAGACAAGAGAGACCAAAAGCAACACUCUCUCUCGAAGCCUAUGAUCUAUACAUUUUCUCCCCCUUUGGUAACAAGUUACCAAAAAGUUCAUAAAAAAAUGCAUAGUGCUAAACGACUCUCAGGCUUGGUCUUCAUGGGUUGGUGUAGAGAUGACUCCAAGGAUGAAGGCUUCAGAUGAAGUAGCUGGAGCUGGUGGAGUAGGUGCUGGAGGUGGAACUGGAGCUGUUGCUGCUGGUGCUGAUGCUGUAGCUCUGGUGUCUGAAACAGGCACUGCAGUAGAUCUCUGACUUCUGGGCACUCUAGCAAAAGCAUCUAUAGUUGAUUUGCCCUUCUUCUCCUCCACUUCUUCCUGAAGUUGCUCAACUGUGGUUUGGAUCUCAGUAAUUUUGACAUGAAAAGCAUAAAACUUCUGCUCCAUGAUUCUCUCCAAGCUCUGCUGGUUUUGAGUCAGGGUGGCCAAGCCCUUCUCAAUCCUCAGAGUGGAGGCAAUCAAGUAGACAAGCUGAUCUUGCUUGCUCUUCAGAAGAAUCUGAGAUGCCUCUUCAGCAGUUGGCAUCUUUGCAGCCUUCUCAGCCCUUGCCUUCUCCUUCUUCUCUUGUGCUUGCACAUAAGAUGGUUCAUUGUCAUCCAUCACAACAGUGUUGUCCUCAAAAUCAGGGUAGAUGGGCAGGUGUUCCUUGUCCAAGAGAUAUGUGCCAGUGCCCAUCUUGGAGUUUAUAAGCUCCUGACCUUAUAGCAUCUCCCAUUAGCUUUUGAGCUUUAGGAGCUGGUGCAGCUUCCUCUUCCUCUUCUUCUUCAGAGUCUCUCCUCAUUGAGGGCUUCCCAAGUACUUUGGCAGUAGUAGUUCUGAAUCUCUUUUUCUUCUUAUCUUGGCCAGCAGCUUCAUCAUCAGACUCAAUGGUGAACUUCAUGGUUUCACUAGUGGCAACUUUUCUUGGCUUAGACAUGGGUUGUCUUCUUGCUGGCAUCUUAGUUUUCAGUCCAGGCUUUGUUGUGGCAGCAGUGCCAUAUUCUUUCUUCAGCACUUUCUUCUUGGAAGUGGCCUCAUCCUCAACAGCCACAUAGUCCUCAUCUCCAGACUCAGAUGUCUUCCUUCUUUCUGGCCCUGGUGGCUGCCUCUGGCAAAUUUCUGGGUGUGCUCCUGCUACCCUCAUCAGAAUUGCUAGAGGGACUAGUGCCCUCACUUAACUGAACUUGCUCCUCAGACUUGUUCUGACUGUCACUCUGAUCUGACAUGAUGCAAACUCUGACAGCAGACCAUGUGAAUAGUUAUAGAUGAGGUAGAGUGGAUGAGCAUCACAAAGCACAGAGGUUUUUACAAAAGAUUGAGUCAAAAACUUAGUUUUAGUUUUCCAAGGAAAGCAUUUCGGAGCUACCGAUCUGUAAACUUGGUGAUACCGAAGCAUCUUUUGGAACCUAAACUAGUGAACUCGGUCAGAUCGAGUCACAGUUCGGUGGCACCGAGACUGCUAGGGUUUCACAAAGAACCGAACUCGACACACAGAUUUGCAAUUCUCGGUCAGACCGAGAAUCACAAGUGCACUGGCCUGAGCCAAAUCGGUGGGACCGAUUUCUACAACUCGAUCGGUCCGAGAUGAGUUCGGUGGAAACCUAACCCUAAAUUUUCAAUUCAAAACUAAUCUACGGAGUGUUUUCGCUAGAUAGGAAGAUCUCAAUCGUGGCAAGAUACAUGGCAAUGCAAUGUGCUAGGAAUCGGAGUGAGGAAUAGCACAAAGAUCAAAUCCAUACCCAAGUUUCGUGAUGGACUUGCUACGGCGGCAACGGCGGAGUUGAAUCCCGUUGACGGCGGCAGAGACCAGCGGCUGGAGGUCGCUGGGGAUGAGGAGGACGAUCCGGAGACCCAAGGAGAUAGAAGGCUGUGCGCGGGUGAAGAGGUUCGGAAAAAUUUCCAAAUUUUGGCCCGUGGAUAUAUAUAGCCUGACCCUGUCGGUGUGACCGAGUGGAACAACUCGGUGGCACCGAGAUGCAUAACUGCAAGCAGUUACAGCAACUCGGUGUGACCGAAAAGUUCAAAUCGGUUGCACCGAGGUUGAAAACCCAGAUCAACUUAAUGAUCUCGGUAUGACCAAAAUGGAUGAAUCGGUCAGACUGAAACACACAAAGAGGUUUUGGAAGUUUAAGUCUAUGACGAAUCGGGGACUCUGAGUGCUCCUCACACAGAGUGGUUCAAAUCUGACUUGAUCAAACUUUGUGAUGUAGCAUGAAUAGAGUUUGAGACAAGAAAAGCAUAGAUAGCUAGAGAAGGUUCUUAGGCAUCCUUGUCCAUCCACUAGGCAAAAGAAAAGAACCCAAACAAUCAAAACAACAAGUGGAUGUCCUCGAAUGAGCAAAGUAUGCAACCAACAUGCUCACACAAUAAAAUGACAAAUAAAAUAUGUGGCAAAGCAUGCACAACCAUUCUAGCAUCUAUCAAGCAAUUGGCGAUGACUAGGUCAUCUAUAUAUGAGUAUAUUGACUUAGGAGUCAAAUGAGAAUCAUUUGAUCAUAAGUCAUACUCAUCGUUUAAGCUCAAGUGGGGUUACCACUUUUACAUAAAGCAUUGUUGUGUUCACACCAUUAGAGUUGCUUUAGCUCAAUUCUUAGAUUAAAGCUCCCCCUAGAUGUGAGAUCCCCCCUAAGAGGGAUGAACUAACCUUGGGUUUUGUCGAUGAUGAGUUCAUGUAGGUGUUGAAGAUGUGGAUGCUCAAAGUUGAUGUAGAUCAUUUGGAGCAAUCCUUUGGAGUGAGUUGCACUUUCAAUACCUACACGGGUUAGUCCCACAAGGAACAAACAAGGAUAUCCAUAGACAUAGAGUGAUGCAGACACAAGAUGAUGUCCAUGAAAGCAUUGGGUUACCUUGUCCCUUGUCUUACCAACAAGAGGGUUUGUGACUCCUUGAACUAGUGCAAGAUGUGGAAGUUUAUUGCACUUGUCCUUGCCAAAAUGAUAAGAGUGAAAUAUGUUGGCGGAGUCACCCUCAAGAACUCUCUACUUCUUCUUCUUCGGGAUCCACAUCAUCUUGAUGGGAAUCCUUGGAGUUGUAGUUGUACUUGAUGAGGUAGAACUUGACGUAGUCUUGGGAAUCCACUUGACCAAGGCCUUAGGAGCUUCUUCAAAUGCAUCAAUCUCCUCUUGAAGCUUGUCCUUGCCUUUUUGCUUGUGGUCUUGGGGUGGAAGAUCAUCUUGAGCUUGUGUCCCUUUGAAGGAAGUAGGAUCAUACUUCUCUUGUUGAGGAACAAACUUCAUCUUGGGGUAUUGAUCUUCUUCCCACUCAACUCCAUUGGCGUUGAACUUUCGUUCAAAACCAACACCUUGGUUCUUCCGGUGCCUUCCUUGCUUGCGUACAAUUUCCUCGAAUUGCUUACUCCCGGCAAGGCUCUUGUAAACACCUUUCUCUAUAAUUCCCUUCAAUAAGCUAUUUUCUUGCUCAAGUGUAACUUGGCUAAGAGAAUCAUUAGUGGAAUCAAGAGAACUACUAGAAGCAACAACAUUGGAUUUAGCAUGAUUAUUGUUACUACUAGAGGAAGAAUCCUUCUUGUUCUUGUUACUAGACUUGACUUGAGGCAUGUAAGUAGAUAAAAGUAAACGCUUGGCAAUGUAAGAAGAACUUUUCUUGCGAAUAUCAUCAUUGAUUGCUUUUAAGAACUCAUGUUCUUGCUCAAGGUUGAGCUUGUCAAAGCGUAACUUCUCAUGGGUUCUUAAAAGUUCUCGAUGAUCUUCUAAGAUAAUUUCAUGAGCUAACUUAAGAGUGUUUAGUUCUUUAGUUAGGUGCUCAAUCUUCUCCUUACCAUUGUCAUUCGUUUUAUCGUGAUUAGCAUGAUUAAUUGACGUUUCAUCAUAGUAUUCAUCACUAGAGUUGUCAACAAGUAAACCAUCAUCACCUAACAAGUCAUCUUCAUCACUAUUGAAAUCAACAUACUUGGGGUGUGAUACCUUUGGGUCUUUAGCCAUGAAGCAUCUUCCAAGUCCUUCAUUUGGUGAAUCAAAUAUGUCGUAGGAGUUGGUUGACACAAGUGCUAGACCGGCAACACCUUCAUCUUGAGUAUAUUCGGAGUCGGAGUGAUACCUUCUCUCGGAGUGAUUGUCGGAGUCGGAGCCGGAUACCCAUUCACCAACAUGAGCUUGAUGUCUUCAUUUUGUGUAGCUCCUUGAUGACUUGUCCUUCCUUUCCGAAUGCUUGCUUCUCCGGGAUAUUCUUCGUUCAUAACGACCAUCUCUACUCCUUCUCUCUCUUGAUGGUGAUUCUUCUCUUUGGAGAAUCUUCUCUUCUUUUGUAGGGUGCCUUACACUCAUUGGAAUAGUGUCCGGGUCUUCCACAAUUGUAGCAAUUUCGCUUACGACUAGAAGAUCUUUUGUCAUUGUAUGACCUUGACUUGGAACUUCUUUCCUUGCUUCUACUCUUGUAGAACUUGUUGAAGUUCUUCACCAUUAGGCUCAAUUCUUCAUUGAAGGUUUGUUUCUCACUUGAUGAUGUGGGAACUUCACAUGAGGCUUUGUAAGCACCACUGGACUUGUUGUGGAGCUCCUCCUUAUACUUGAGUGACAUCUCAUGAGCAACAAUUCUCCCAAUGACUUCCAUUGGCUUGAGAUCUUUGUAAUUUGGCAUCAUUUGGAUCAAUGUGCACACAGUAUCAUAUUUUCCAUCCAAAGCUCUUAGGAUCUUCUUGAUGAUGAAUUUGUCGGUCAUCUCUUCACUUCCUAAGCCGGCAAUCUCAUUUGUGAUAAGGGCAAGCCUAGAGUACAUUUCAGCGACACCUUCACCAUCCUUCAUUUUGAACUUGUCAAGUUGAAUUUGAAGCACAUCCAACUUGGAUUCCUUGACGGAGUCGGUACCUUCAUGCAUAUCAAUCAAAGUAUCCCAAAUUUCCUUUGCAUUCUCAAGACGGCUAAUUUUGUUGAAUUCUUCGGGGCACAAUCCGUUGAAGAGGAUAUCACAAGCUUGAGCGUUGUACUGCAGCAUCUUCAACUCUUCCGCGGUAGCUUCACGGUUCAGUUCUCUCCCAUCAAAGAAUUCACCUUGCGAGCCAAUACACACAAUAGCCCAAACGGCGGGGUUAUGUCCAAGAAUAUGCAUUUUCAUCUUAUGCUUCCAACUAGCAAAAUUUGUACCAUCAAAGUAAGGACCUCUACGAUCGUAAUUUCCCUCGCUAGACGCCAUACUCUCCUAGGUUGUGAAACCAAGGCUAUGACCACCAAAAGCUAUGGAAAUCAAAGCAAAUGGAGACCAAAGCUCUGAUACCACUUGUAGGAUCGAAAGUAUGUCUAGAGGUGGGGUGAUUAGACUACUUGACCAAAUAAAAAUCUAGCCUUUUCCCAAUUUUAGUUCUUGGCAGAUUUUAGCAACUUAGCACAAGUCAAGCAAUCAACCUACACAUGCAAUUCUAAGAGUAUAGCAGCGGAAUGUAAAACAAUUGCAUAUGAAGGUAAAGGGGAGGAGUUUGAGGGAGCAAACGCAAUGUUGACACAGAGAUUUUUUACCCGUGGUUCCGAUAGGUGGUGCUAUCGUACAUCCACGUUGAUGGAGACUUCAACCCACGAAGGGUAACGGUUGCGCGAGUCCAUGGAGGGCUCCACCCACGAACGGUCCACGAAGAAGCAACCUUGUCUAUCCCACCAUGGCCGUCGCCCAUGAAGGGCUUGCCUCACUAGGGUAGAUCUUCACGAAGUAGGUGAUCUCCUUGCCCUUACAAACUCCUUGGUUCAACUCCACAAUCUUGUCGGAGGCUCCCAAGUGACACCUAGCGAAUCUAGGAGACACCACUCUCCAAGAAGUAACAAAUGGUGUGUUGAUAAUGAACUCCUUUCUCUUGUGCUUCAAAUGAUACUCUCCCCAACACUCAACUCUCUCUCACAGGAUUUGGAUUUGGUGGAAAGAAUAUUUGAGUGGAAAGCAACUUGGGGAAGGCUAGAGAUCAAGAUUCAUAUGAUAGGAAUGGAAUAUCUUGGUCUCAACACAAGUGUAGGUGGUUCUCUCUCAGAAAAUGUAUGUUGGAAGUGUAGGCAUGUUCUGAUAGCUCUCUCCACGAAUGAAGAAGGGGUGGAGGGGUACAUAUAGCCUCCACACAAAAUCUAACCGUUACACACAACUUACCAAUCUCGGUGAGACCGAAUUGAGAAACUCGGUCGGACCGAUUCAGCAAAUCAUGUGACCGUUAUGUUUUUCGGUGGGACCGACAUGCAACCCGGUAGGACCGAUAUGAUUAGGGUUAGGGCAUAAUGUAAUCUCGGUGAGACCGAUUACACAAACUCGGUGAGACCGAUUUUGGUAAUAAGCUAACCAGAGAGUUGGUCAGGAAAACUCGGUGGGACCAAUUCGGCAAUCUCGGUGAGACCGAAACGUUACAAAAAGGAAACAGAGAGUUUGCAUUGUAAUCUCGGUGGGACCGAUCGCUCAUCUCGGUUUGACCGAAACGUUACGAAUGGAAACAGAGAGAUUACAACCCCAUCUCGGUGAGAUCGAGAUCCCUAUCGAAUGGAAACGCUAUGACACCUGAACUCGGUGGCGCCGGAUAGAAAGAAUCGGUAGGGCCGAGUUAGACUUUUGGUUUGGGUCAAAUGUGGAUGUGAGAAAGUAGUUGAGGGCUUUGGAGCAUAUCACUAAGCACUUAGAGCAAGAAAGCCAUUAAGCAACACCUCAUCCCUCCUUGAUAGUAUUGGCUUUUCCUAUGGACUCAAUGUGAUCUCGAAUCACUAAAAUAGAAAAUGUAGAGUCUUGUCCUUUAAGCUUGAGCCAAUCCUUUUGUCCUUAGCAUUUUGAGGGAUCCACUUUUCUCAUCCAUGCCAUGCCAAUCAUUGAGCUUUCCUGAAAUAUUUAUCUUGAAGUAGCAUUAGCUCAAUGAGAUAUAUGUUGUUAGGAAUUACCAAAACCACCCAGGGAUAGUUGCACUUUCAAUAGGUUACCUCAUCCUGAGUUUCCAAAUUGGUCCUUCUAUAUAGAGAAAAAUGGGAAAAUUUGCUGUAUUAUAACCAUCAUGGAGGUAGAAUGUAUGGGACAAAGCAAAGUAAUUGCCAUGAAUAACAUUACUUACACAUAACUCCUAGACAAACACCUCAACUGGCAUUUUCCUUCAUCUUCAGUAUAAUAUUUCCAUGAUGGGAAGAUACGAGCAUAGGAUUUAAAAACAUCAAAUGCGAUAGAUGCUAAACUAUGAAUGACUGGUUGUGCUUCCUCCACAGGAAUAGGUGUACUAACUGGUGGAGUUGGGGUUCGCCGUGGUAGUACUGGUGCUUUGGGCACUGGAGCUACCUUACUAACUGCUCUUGUUUGGGAGCUCUGUGGUGGCGAUGGUGUUGUGUCAAUAGGAACUGGGUUACUAUCUGCUAGGGUUGGGGUUAGAUUCGGUGAAGCUGGUUCUCUGUCCAUUGUAGUAGGGGUAUAAUCUGCGAGAGUCUGGGUUGUGUGUGGUAGGGCUAGUUCUCGUGCAUGUACAACCGGGUUGCUAUCUCCACCAUGAGGUAGCACUAUUUUAUUUGAAGACCGUAUUUUUACUCCGCUAGAUACUGCCAUCAGCCGCUCCAAUUCAAAGGGCUAAUAAACAGGAAACAUAGUUGAAUGUACAAACAUUGUAUGAGAGAUAGAUGCAAUAGAUAGUGUGGAAAAAAGAGGGCAUGAAAUAGUUGACAUGUAUAUUGUUUAACUAGAACAGAUAGCAUGACAUAAUUUCACAUAUAUGAUGUCUAUCUAAACUGGAUAGCAUAGCAUAACAUAAUUCAAAGAUAUGAUGACUAACUAAACAAGAUUAAAAAAUAAUUCACAUACAUGGUAUCUAAGUAAUCAGGAUUGCAUGAUUUAAUUCAGAUAUGUGAUGUAUAUGCUAAGCAGAGGGCAUUCAUAUAUAUGAUGUCUGAACAAAAACAUGGUGUUGAAUAUUGUGUAUAUGAUGUCUAAACUAUGUAAUGCAAGACACCAUAUGCAUGAUAUGAGCAGUAUAACCAUGCCAAGUUAGAGCAUACACCUCGAUGGGGGAAUAGGACUGGUUAUUUGUCUCUAAAUCCAUCUCCGAGGAGCUAUCGGGACCCAGCAAGAGAUCUACUUCGACAGGUAGCACUGUCUGCUCUAAAGGCCUUGUUUUCACACCAGAUUUUUCCAUCCCCACUCAAAUGGCUGAUUCACAGGAAGAGUAGUUUAAUGUACAAACAUUGUCGACAAAUAGAGUAAUGAAGAAAAGGAUGGGCAAGAUAUCAUUCAAAUAUAUGAUGCCCGGUUAAACAAGAUGGCAUUGCACAUUUCACAUAUAUGAUACUACAUAAUUCCCAUAUAUGAUACAGAAACUAAACAGGUGGCAUUACAGAACAUGUCUAAACUAAGUAGAUGAUAUAUAUGAUGUCGAAAGUAGGCACUGCAAGGCAACAUAUGCAUGAUAUGACUAAGAUCAUCAUGCCAAGUUAGAGCAAACACCUUGGGGGGUAAAUAGGUGUUGUCAGCUGCAUCUGAAUCUGCCUCAGAACAGGUAUCUUCCUCUAGAUUACAAUCUGGAGAGAGGGGAGGGUUUGCCAUUGAACCGGCCACGGAGCAAUGUCUGCAUGACAUUGUAUUGCCGCGCAAAACACUUCUUUUUUUCUCUACAUGUUCAGGAUGCCUGUGUACAAUAUCUGACAUGCCUACAAAAAAAUAUAGCGAUAUUAUGUAAGGAGAGCAUGCGGAAAUAUAGAGUGAUGGUAACAACCAGUGGAUGGAUCCAAAAAUAAUGAUAGCAGGCUGAUGACUGCUUUAAUUGAAUAAAAGACAGAUGAUGAUUGCUUUACUAUUUGUUUACCACCCAUGAUGAACAACAUAGGCAUACCCUAGGUGAACCAGAUAUUAGACAGAGAUACUAUCCAUUGUUUCCUCGAUAUGUGCCCCACAACUAAUUUAGAACCCAAGUUUGAACAUUAAUUUGGACCUGACUUGGAGUCUAAGAGGUGAACCGGACGAUAAAGUAGCAGGUAAUUUUAAGCAAUGCAUAACAUAAGCAGAAACAAAAGAGUGUGACCUCUCUUGUGGACCCAUGUACUCCUCAGUUUCAUCUACUGAGUCGAUGAUGGUGAUGCCGUUGCGGUGGGUGCUGGCGGCAGGGAAGGAGAUCUGAGGUGGCGAAAGACGGUCAGGAGUCGUGAUGUCUGGUUUAGAGGAUGCUUCUGUCAAUGGAGCAGCUCAGGUGAGGUUGACCACGUCGCGGCAGGAGCAGGACAAACCACACAGAGUUUUCUUCGACACCUACCUUUAACUGAAGUAAUUCUAUAAGGGCUCCUUUGGCUUGCAUGAUCUAAAAAUGCAGGGAUAGGGAAAACACCAGAAUAGGAUAGGAAUGCACAUGGGAAACAGAGCAUUUGUAAACACUGGAUUUCUGUCAACUUCGGUGUUUGGUUCACAGGAAUUGGAAGAGCAGAGGAAUGCAAAGAAACAUGGCCAAAUUAAAGUGAAACCAUAUGAAAGCGUGUACAGUUAGAAUGUUAUUCUGCGACUAAUGCACUUUGUCUUGUUUUCAUGCAUAGGAUUUUGAAAAGAAGGUCCAGUUGGAUGUUUUGCUCCAUUCCUUUCAACAAAAUGCAUGAAUAAUUGAAUAGUAGAGUGCCAUAGGAAAAUUUCCUAUUGCUAUGUUUUUCCUUUGAACCAAAAUAGUCCUAAUGGAUCGACAUGCAUGUAGAGUAAUAAGUGAUGCAACAAGUGUACAACCUCUUUGCCGUAGGUGUGUCGACCUCAGCAUCAUUGGGCUGGUCGCUGAAGAAGUUGAGGCAGAGGUGGCUGUCGGAGGUGUGGAGGAAGAUCUGUGGAAUCUGUAGACGACAUCUAGGGCACUGCUCUAUUGUGAUGGAUGAUUCCGUUGUUGGAGCAGCUCCGGCGAGCCGUAAGACGUCGAGGCUGAAGCAGUACAAGAUAGGCAUCAUUAAUCUCAAGUGGGAUUCUAAUAGCAUGUCCAAUGGAUGAAGUAAAAUACAUUACCAAAAAGUGAUAGAUGUAAAAUUUACAAAACCAAAAAACACCUGACUACAACAGGUGAGGUAAAAACUGUUGACUCUAAACUUAACUGUCAAAACUAAAAUUUACUGUGGAAUAUGAAUGUUACUGUUGAAACAGAAUGCAAUGGUAGUAGUGAGGCACUUCACAUGUAGUUUCGGGAGGGCCUGCAGUUCAUCAUCAACCUACACCCCCUGAGCUGCCAGCCACCACCGGCCGAACUGCUGGCCCAGGCCGCCCGCGGUCGGCGGCGCUCCCGCACCACAUCGCCGCCCCAAAACCACUCCCCACCGCCGAUCCACCGUCGCCCCGGCCAGCACUCUAGCCUCCCCCUCCCCCCGUGCCGAGCUUUUUCUCCGGCGAUCCCCACGCCACCGCCCCACUACCGCGCCCCCACCGCCGACGACCACCGCCUCCACCCUGAACCCUAAGAUAGAUAGUAGGGUACCUCUCCAGCGAGCACCCUCCUUGCUGUGGGUGGUUCUUCCUUAACUCCGGUGAGCCCCCCACCCCUUGAAAAUCGAAUGACCCAAAAGUCGAUUCAGUCAACUGAUGUGUAGUUAAAUCAGAGCAGAGCAGCAGCACGAGCGAGGGGGGAGCAGCAGCAACGCCAUGAGCGAGGGAGAGCCGGAGCAGCAGCAAUAGCACGAGCGAGCGAGAGCAGGAGCAGCAGCAGCAGCGCGAGCGAGCGAGAGCUGGAGCAUUAGCAGCAGAUCCGGCUGGUAUGGACACCGCCACCGAAGGGGCCUCGCACUGGGGGAGAGCCGCCAUGGAGAUGUCGCCCGUGGCGCCGGCUUCGAGGUAGCGGCGCCAUGGGGGAUCCGGAUGGAGCACCGUCGGUGCCGGGGGGUUGAGUUAAGGAAAUUAUGCAAUGCGAUGAGUGUACAACCUCUUUGGUGGCACCGAGUAGGCCUCUGCUUGGGCCGAGGAGUCGGCGAGGAUGCGGCGAGGAUGCUGCGGUUCCGGUGGAGCGGGUUAAGGCGUCGUUGUGGGGAUGGAGCAGCCACGAUAGACGAGGUGAUCUUGGAGGAGCUCCUUGGAGGUGGAGGAGGGGUGGCUGAACCGGCGGGACAACGAUAUGGACGAUGGAUCCUCAUCCGGGGAGGUGGAUGAGGGACGUCGAGUUGUUGCGAUGGACGACAUCACCGGGGAAGAGUCUCCGGCUGGGCAGCGGUGAGGUGACGGACGAAGUCGGGUGGGGUUUCGCGGCUGGAGCAGAGAGGUUAUGGCGGCCAGGGAUUUCGAAUGGCGAAAAGGAGGCGAUGGGAGGGGGGAACCAUGACUUAGGGACGCGCUUGUCCAAAAUGUAUGGUGUGUUACUGAAGUACCCCCACCGAUUUGAACUAGCGGCCCUUUCGGCUUAGGGUUAGAAGGGGGAUUUCGCGUGUCGGGAUUUGGCAGCUGGAGGGAGUUUUCGCGCGCGUUGUAAUUUCGGGAUAGCAAGGCGCGGGUUGCGAAGGCGCUAGUUUUGGGAGCACGAUAUCUGAAUUUUCGGGAUAUAACAAGGCGCGGGUUGAAUUUUAGGGACAAGCCUGAUAACCCACAAGUAUUGGGGAUCGCAACAGUUUUCGAGGGUAGAGUAUUGAACCCAAAUUUAUUGAUUCGACACAAGGGGAGCCAAAGAAUAUUCCCAAGUAUUAGCAGUUGAGUUGUCAAUUCAACCACACCUAAAAUACUUAAUAUCUAUAGCAAAGUAUUUAGUAGCAAAGUAGUAUGGAAGUAAUGGUAAGGUGGCAAAAGUAACAGUAGCAGUUUUUGUAGCAAUCGUAACAGUGGCGACGGAAAAGUAACUAAGCAAAGAUCAAUAUGUUAAAAGCUCGUAGGCAAUGGAUCAAUGAUGGAUAAUUAUGUUAGAUGCGAUUCCUCAUGCAACAGUUAUACCAUAGGGAGACACAGAACUAACUCCAGUUCAUCAAUGUAAUGUAGGCAUUUAUUCCAAACAUAGUCAUACGUGCUUAUGGAAAAGAACUUGCAUGACAUAUUUUGUCCUACCCUCCCGUGUCAGCGGGGUACUAUCUAUACAUAUACUAAUUAGAGACUCCCUAAAAAUUACCACAUUCAUUUGAAAUUAAGAGCCGUUGAUCUGGUGAGACCGAGUUAUUAUGGUGGAGAUUAACCCAAUUAACCCAUGUAAUUUUGCUUAACGAUGUGCUUAAUUCUGCAAAAAAAUGCUUUGGAGGUCCAUGGUCCUUUUCCUCAUGGUUGUCGUUCUCCCGUAUCCCUAACCUCACGAACCCCACUAUCCCACUCAUCCCCUUCCAUGGAUGGCGCCGCCGCCCUGCUCCCGACUGUUGUCGUCGCUCCGCUUCCCAUCUGCCGCCGCUGUCCACCGCUAUCCACUACAUCCAGCCUCUUUCGCAUCCCACGGCCUCCACCACCACCAUGAACCAUCUCUCUUCUUGGUCCUCUCUCUUGGACCUUCACAUGGCAGCGGAUGCUUCUGGUGGCGUGUGGCGACGCGACCGGUGGAGGGAACGGGGUUGAGGCCGACUGUGUCCCGUUCAUCGAUCUGUGCCCACCACAUGUUCCUCCUCUCCAUCGAAUGUCACGUCCCCAGUUACUGCAACACACGGCGCUCUCCUCUCUUGAGACGAUGCUUAUAGGCGACAAUAAUGGUGUCCUGUUGUGCCCCUCCACACUUGGGACCACCGAGGCGCAAAAGUAUCCAGAGAAGAUCGGCCGUGUUCUAAGUGGCUACCCAGCAAGGUAAUUUUCCGCUCUGAAGUUCUCUCAUGGAAUGUGGGUGGAAUGGAUUGGCGGAUGUGCUAGGUGGAGUGCCAGUGGAUGGCCAUGUUAGUGGGCAGAAUCUCCUCUCCUGCACACACAAACUUGGGUUUGGCAAGGAACUGGGUCAAUACUACUAUCCUUUGGCUUUGCAAUGGUGAUUUAGGUUGUUUUGUUUUUUCGAAUCAUGGUGGUUUAGUUAAUUUGUUAACAGGCGCUUCAGUUAGGACUAAUAGUCAAGAGUGGUCAACUGGAUUGAACUUAACAAAGGACAAUGCAAUUUUGUUAUAAUUGGUAAUUUAGUUAGCUUUAAUGAAAUGGUUCAUUGGCUCAACUUCUAUUUAGCUUACUAUAGUAUAGUCGUGUGGAUUGUCGGUGAUGAAUAAUACCCAAUGCAUUGUUUCCUAUUGCCCAGUGUUCUACAGUUAAAUAUGCAGAACUUGAGCUUUGUUUGCCAAGAAAAUGUCUAUUAAUUCCCACAAGGAGUAAUUCAUUCCCCGUCCAAGUAUUUAUAUACAAUCAUUGAUACAUUAUUUGUUUAUGCUGCAGAGACGUGGUCACAUGGAUGAUUAUCAUCUUUUGGCAAAAGGAUACUGAAGAAAUAGCACUGCACCUAUGACUAUGAUCGUAGAUGUCCAGUCCUGAUUUUUGAGGACCAGUUUAGGAUGUGAUCAUUUGUGCGGAUUCAAAGCUGCUUGACAUGAUUUUUACUAAUCUGAACGUCGGGCAUAAUCAAUGUUAAGUAGGCUUCAUUGAAUUCUUAAUAAGGAAAUUAUACAAUAUGAUGUGUCUGCCAUAGUAUUAGUGUUGUUUGAAGAAUUUCUUCUUCUUACCAAUUAGGCAGAUGCUUUAACUGUCGAUGCAGACCCUGUGCAGGAUGUUCAUCAGCAACGCCAGUCAGGGAUUCAGGAUGUUCAUUGAAUUUCUUCUUCUCAUUUCCUAUGGAGCUCAUGGGAUCAGUCAUAUGAACCUCAUGUAUUUGAUAGUUUUCUCCAUCACUUUUAUGCCUUCAACUAUAGAUAAUUAAGGCUACCCCAAAAGUUCAUUGAGAUUUGUUUUUUAUAGGACUUGGAUUAAUAAUCUCCAACAAUAUUGUUAUUGCCUCUUAUAUAUAAUUUCAGUUCUAGUUACAUUUCAGAUUUUCUUUAUGCUGUACUACUAAACUGUGUGUUCUAAACCAAAGAUGACAUCUGCGUCUUUUUAUGCAUGCAUGUUUCAAGACAAUAUAUCUAAUAUGUAGUAUAUAGAAAGGUACCUAAAAUAUUAGCUUAUAUUGCCAACUCUUGAAAAUAUACGAUCCUUUUACAUUUUUUGCCGUGAACCUGGGGAGCUUGGAACGGAGUAUGGUGUCAAUAAUCAGUAUAUACCAGGAUAAUAUUUCAACAAUGACGUUGCUUGCCUCAAUACUUCCUUCACCACCAAUCUAGCCGCAAACUCUGUUUCUCCUUGAAUGUAGGUCCACAAAGGUUGUGCUUUCUGUGCAUCUAAAAGUAAGGUUACUAUCAUAAUUACAGUAAAGUUUCUUCUCUAUUCAAAUUGAAUUUGAUAAGCAACAAAGUCCUCUGUGUCAUGCUUCAGUUAUAUGGCUCGAGCUGGCCAAACCUGAAAUGUUCGGUGAAGAUCCAAAGUACAUCUAGAUUACUUUGUGUUGCCCACAAUCCUAUUACUUGAUUUUUUUUGCUAACUAUCUCUAUGGAUAAAUCUGCAAGAUGAUGCAAAAAAGUUGCAUGCAGAUAGGCUGUGUACAAACAUGCAUGGUGUAAGUUUAUACCAAUUUUACAAUAUUGAGAUUUGUUCAGAUGCUUCUAAGCAGUGCUCUAGCAGAACGGUGCUACAUUUCCUUACUGUUGUUGCCAAAUAUUUGUAUUGUGGCAUAUUAGGACUGGACAGCAUCAUUCUAACGACCUCACCCUAGGAGUCCACUUCUACACGGUCAUGGCAUCCGCCUCCACCAAUUAUCUAGAGGUAAUUGAUUUGGUGCCUCCGUUGGAUGAAGAUGCUCUAUUAUGUGUGGUUUAGUCGCACGUGGUUCAUGCAAGCUGCCCUUAAGUUCUUAUUGUCAUUGGAUAGAGCUGAGAAAAAUCUAUUUAUGCUUACAAUUUUGUGUGCCUUUUUCUAGCAGUUAAGUUCUAGAGACGAUCGGGGAGGUCAACUUUGAGAUGCAGCACUCUAUGUGUUCACGCAAUCGGAACGCCCGAAAUAUCACGCCAAUAUGAGGGACGCCCGAAAUAUCAAGCCAAUAUGUGAUUUAUGCCUUUUCUGUUAGGUAUGUGAUCAUUGAUUCAUAGGAUUAGUUGGUACUUAGGAACAUGCAAACCCCUGUUUUCCAUCAUAAUCCAGAAGGUCCAAAUUUUAAAUAUGGAUGUUAAGCUAAUGAGGAGAACCUUUUUGGCUUGGACAUCAUAUUUUUUUAGGUAGGUGAUCAUUAGUUCAUUAUGAUUAGUUGAUAUUUCUAAACAGGGGAAGCCAUGGUGUCCACAAGGCUCAAGCAAGUCGGAUUUCUGAUAUGGAUUUUAAAUGAUCAAGACAACCUAAGUGGCUCUUUGCUUGGCCACCAUUGCCAAUAUUUAUGGAGCAGUUUUCAAAUAUGCAAAUGUCCAACCCAUUAAAACAUCCUCUUAGGUUCAUACGCAUAAGCAACUGCUGGUAUUUUGUGAGAGUGCAUUUUAAAACGAUUUGCAAAACUUCUGACGAGGAUAAUCAUAAAAUGCACAAAGCGUUUUAAAUUAUUUUUCCAAUUUUGUAAAUACUGAAUCAAAAUAUCGAAUAAAUAUUUUUUAGGUUCAUUAAUAAAGAUAGAGUGGCAGUGACAACUAUUAGAUGUUCCAUAUCUAUAUUAGCUUUCCCUAAAUAUAAAAUACUAAAAAGGUCUGAGUGGUGAGUGCUACUUCAUUGGUAUUUUAAUGUGUCUUCACAUUAUAAAAUACAACUGAUGGUCUUGCAGGAUUAUCUCCCUUCUCCACAGAUAAAUUGCUUGAUGUGUUCAAUGGUCCUGUUGAAUUGGAUACAAGCAUGCUACAAAUCUAACAGUAAUUUAAUAAGGUAUUUGAUGAGCUCCUGUCAUUCUAAUCUACUUCUCACAUUUUAGUGUUGAUGUUAUUUAGUACUCUGUAGUUAGCAUAAGAAAUAGUACUAUGGGAAGAACCAGGCAACACCUAAUAUGUGUGUCGUUUGAGAAAACUGAAACUUCCUACUUUCCAACUGUUGAUUGCACAUGUACAUGUAUAAAAGACACUAUCUAAGAAAAAUAUAUGAUUCACUAGGUUUAGUGAAAGUUAGCUUAAAUACCAUGUAUUUUUCUGCACACAGAUUAUUGCCUACUGUAGAUCAUCCUCUGUACAUCUGUUAGUCUAAUAGUCAAGAAGGACGAAAAACUUCACUCCAGUAAUGCCUUUGCUCCAUAAGAGCUAACAAUUGUUAAAAAAACAAAUCAAAGACUAAUGAUUUCAUUUGUUUGCAGGAAUAGGCACUGUAUUUUUCACUAUUAUGCAAAAACAACUUUAAGUCAUGAUUUUUUAAAAUAUUUUUUUCAUGAAAGAUCUCGAGGGUGAGAAAAUUAUCAUCAUAUUCAGAAGAAUAUUAGCUUGAGUACCAUAUAGAGGGUGAAAAAAGUGGGGCUCUUACGUCAAUUUUCUUAUUCAGGUGGUACACUACGUGUAGCAAACUCAUUCAUUGUAAAGAAAUGAAUGGUAUCGUUUAUCAUGCCAUGGAAGUAUGGUUUGAAGUUGCCUUACUCUUAGGACUUUUUUCAACAUCUAUGAGCUAACUAGCAAAAUUAUGGCAACUGCAGUCACAUCAGGCAUAAUAACGUGUAGGGCCAUCACCUAGCUCCAUAAAUCUUAAUCUCAUUUUCAGUGAUUGUUGUUUUGCUAUCUUAGUCAUUGAUGAUGAAGGAAUGUAGAAACCACAUGUUGGGUACAAUAUUUAACCAUACAAUUUCUGCUAGAAGCCAUCAUAAUCCACUCCUCCCCCCUAUUUUUCUUACAGCAAACCUAUAGAUAUCAACUAACCACAAGCUUAGCAUGUGGUAUAUUGCAUAAAUAUCUAGCUUAUGGAAAGCCUGGUAAGUGGAGCAAUGGAGCAAUGGAGCGCCUUCUAACUAGCAGUGCCCACUUCACUGUUUUGUACAUAGAUGAGAAGUUUCCUUGCUGCCACUCAUCUAAUAUUAUAUGUUUCUGUUCCAUGUGGAACUAAGAGUUCACAUCUCUAGCUUCUACUGCUUUAUUGUUGUACACAGAAGCUUUUGUAACCUGCCACCACAUUUGUAGGCAGGUUUCAAUAAAAGUAUUAGAUUACAAUUUUCCACAUUAAUCCAGUAUUCAGUAACGGGUUUUUGGUUCUAUUUCUAUUGCAAACCAGUUCAUUCUUCGCAAACAAGAAACUCUACAUGCUGUGGAGAACCACUUCUACAACAGAUUAGGUUACUUGGUGGGAAGAAAUUGGCAUGGGCCACAACUCAGUCUGUCUCACAUGAGUUUACACUAUUACAAAAAAUUACUACAGGUGUAGAACAAGCCAGCUGGAAUUUCGCGUCUUGACUAUCUGUCAUAUUUUAUAACUAUCAUACUUUGUUGUGCUUAUAACGGGGGAUAGAUUCUGAGAUGUACUACUACUGAUGUGACCAAGGAUGUCCAGUUUCUUUACAUGAUAUUGAGUACUGCAACUUCAAGGCUUCUUCAACUCAUGUAUGCUUAAUUCAUUUUUUGGAAUUUAAUUAUAAUAAAAAGAUGUUCUUCAAUAUAAA